Molecule: long non-coding RNA, 133085 nt
Filed under: Lactuca sativa (garden lettuce)
Lineage: Eukaryota; Viridiplantae; Streptophyta; Magnoliopsida; Asterales; Asteraceae
Description: long non-coding RNA (LSAT_LNC006709)
Rfam family: Small nucleolar RNA snoR104 (bases 33394-33525)
Source: RNAcentral
AACUGAGCAGCGGUCAAGACGUGUUCACCCAGAUCGGCAACGGCGGUGUUGCGGUAUUUGUCGGGACAAGUGUGGUGUUGACGUUAGCGUCGUUGGUGCCGUUGUUUAAAGGAGUGAGUGUGCAGUCGAAGUCGAGUGGACUGAUGACAUCAGAUGCAGAGCUUUGGAAUGGGCGGGUUGCGAUGUUGGGUCUGGUGGCUUUGGCUUUUACUGAAUAUGUUAAAGGCAGUGCCCUUGUCUAGAUAAUGUAUCAUAGACUUUUCUAUUACAGAAUUACAUCUAAGAUAGGCAAAUGUAUAUUCUUUUGAAUAUUUAUGUGUAUCGAUUUACCAUACAUAGUUCAAAUCAUGAAAAUCAAUUAAUCAUGUUUUUUUGAUAAUAUAGUAUAAAACAAAUAUGAUCAAUCAAAUUGAACGAUUGUGGUAUCUUUCAAUAUAAAAUUCUUUUUAUAAAAUUAAACAAACAACAUACUAAGAUAAAUUUUAGAGGCAUGAACCUAGAUUAGCAAUAUAAGAGUCAAAGUCUACAAAGAUAUUGAAAUCCUAGUUUCACAACUUCCUCUUUGAAUGUUGAACUGAGGUGAUCUUCAUUAAUUCAGACCAAAUAUGUGCAUAAGUCCAGCCUAGUCAAUUAGCCAAUUUAAGAUGACAAGUAUCCAAAAUUCAAAUACAUUACAUACCUCAAUUUCAAACAAAACUGAAAAAUAUAAUGACUAAUGCUCACAAAAUGAUCACUUUCGGGGAGUGGUCACAGUUAAACUACCGGAAAAGCGCUGCAAACUCAACGUUACAUCUGCUCCAUCACCAAUUCCCUAAACAUUGGAAAUAGUUACCACUCUAUAUCAUUUAUAUUUAUAUUUUAUUUAUUUUUUAAAAUUAGAUUAAAUAAAAAACAUAAUUAUAAACUUAAGUAAUCAUUUUACUAAUUAAAAAAUCAACUAAACAUAUUAUUAAUUUUUAAAAUUAUUAAACAUAUCUAGUUAUAUAUAGUUGAGGGUUUAACUUAAUUCAAAGAAAAAUAAAAGGGUAUAAUAAGAUUAAAAGACACAAUUUUAGAGACCAAAUUUGUAACUUCAAUUAAAGCAAAUUUGAAUCGUCUUCUUCACCUGUCUUCUUCAACCUUUUUCUGAAAAACGGGUCAUUGCUCAAUACCAUUUUUUUUUCUUUUACUUUGAUGGAUACAAAAGAAAAGGAAAAAAGGGUUAAAUACGUGACCUUUGUUGUUGCUACUUUCUUAUUCGUUGUCUUCAUCCGUCUUUGCACCCACGUUACACCCAAACCACUGGCCUUAGGGGCGGUGUGGACAUAUCCUUAGGCCGGACACAUCAGCAAGAUGCGUGGGUUAGUCCUCCCACUCCGGUUAGCCUUAAACACUUAUUAAAAGCUAGUGGACGUCUUUGCACCCACGUUACACUCAAACCACCGGCCUUAGGGGCGGUGUGGACGUAUCCUUAGGCCGAACACAUCAGCAAGAUGCGUGGGUUAGUCCUCCCACUCCAGUUAGCCUUAAACACUUAUUAAAAGCUAGUUUAUUUCUUGUUAGUUUGAAAUCUAAUGUUAUCAUCAAAUCUAUACAAGAUUGAGAUUGAUAUCAGAGUAACAAUCUCCAAAAGAAAAAUAUUUUACUCAAAAGAAUAUAUAUAUAUAUAUAUAAUGAAUUAUAUCCUAAGAAGUACUAUGCAUGAGUAUAAGAUUACUAUUAUCUUGGGAUCUAUUAAUUGGUAACUAAGCAUACUUCCAAGUUACUAUAUGAAAUUUAGUUAAGGAUUAAUGUCAAGUUGGGUGCAUGCACCUCACUCAAAGGCCUUGUAUUUUUAUCGGUCCCAAGUGACAUCUUACAAGGGCCGUUUUGGAGUUUUUUCUUUCCCCAAUGUAUUAACAUUUAUUUUUUUUUGAUAUUUUUGAACUUUUUAUUUUCUUAGAAAAGUAUACAAAAUAAAAUAUAUACAAGUUUACUUGAAGAUAUGAGUGUUUAUCAGGUUAUUCUCUUGAACUAUCUAUUCUUAGAUAUGAAUAAAUGUGUUUGUCUUUAUCAUUUUUCCCCUUUGUCAAUUCUUGACUAAUAAGGUAAUAGUCGUUCUUGGUGAGGGAUUCACCUCUCUAUUGAUUCUUCAUUCUAAUUAAAUGUUUGGAUUCAACAAUGUCCGAUUGAGUAGUUCUUUAAAACCGCAUUCUACCAUUUGCAUCUUUAUAUUAAUCCCAUGAAUUGGGGAUUCCAUAAACUGAAACUCUUGGAGCUCAAUAGUGUAGUUGAAAAACAUUUGUCGAGCCUACCACUUCCAUGAAAUAGGAGAAUUUUUUCAAUAAACUAAGUAGUUCCUUCUUUAUGGAUCAUCUUUUCGUUACUCGACCCCUGCUUACAUGCGAUUCCUACUAGAAAAUAGAAUUGCAGACUAACUGCAGCUGCAGACAACCCUUCGUUUGGCCAGAAGGGGUUUGAUAUUCCUUGGAGAAAAAUCUCAUCCUGAAAAUAACAAUAUCCAUGAACACAAUGGCUACGAAAUACUGAUUUUCUUAACCGACGAACCGAAAUGUUACAGCCAUAAUGCUGAAACCUCAUUACUUGCCCGCCCUUUAAACAGGUAGAACCAUCCCUGAGCAUAGAAACAUAAACUAAAUCCUGAACCCUCCAGCUGAGGUCUUUGAUAUCCAAUUUUCUUGAUCCACAUCUUUCUGAGUAUAGAUGUUGCACUAAUACACUCGCGAUUCCCAAUGCGAGCUUUCACCAAAAACCCACUCGAAUAUGGCCACUCAUAUUCUUCUCGAAGACCCUUCCCUACAUCUAAUGAGCGUCCAAUUAUGAAUCUGCCCGCAAUUCCUGACUGGAGACACUAACAGAAACAUGCAUAACUGAUCCUCGAAACAUACCGACCACGAUCUUCACCCAAAACCAAACCAUAUGAUGUACCAAAACCUUAUUAACCCUUGAUCCUCUUCUAUUCCAUUACUGACCACUGCUUCGCCGAGCAAGAGAUAAAUCCAAGAAUUUCUGCUUUACAUCCAACCCCUUAUAGAAUCAGGUGUACCCCCACCUGGACAACCACUUGAGACAAUCAUAAAGAACUUUAUGACUUGCGACUUUCCAACCAAUCCCAACUUGAAAACCACAACAAUAGCAACAACUUGCGAACAACCAAAAAUAUAAUGUAUACAUCCCAUAAGGACUUUCUGAUUCCUGACAGAUACUCCCAACAACCUUUACUACUUCCUUUAUCCAACCAAUAGAUUUACGACUCGCUCGUCUCCCAUCAGUGUAUCGAUACCGAAAGCACCACAAGCAGAAUAAAUGAACAACCAUGUUCACUAGGCCCUCAAAGUAUGACUGGAAUACCCCUUAUAAUGUCCUCUGAAUAUGUUUGGAUUGCCUCUGAGCCCACAACAUGAAUCUGGAAUGCCCUCCCUGGCCUUCAGCCCAUGUCUGGAAUGCUCUCGAUAUCACAACGACCUUGACGCCAUCGCAUCGCUCGCCCAUCACUCCAGGCCCACAGAUACUCACCUCAUUCCAUUCCCUUGAAGGGACUUAAUCAAUUCCCUCACCACGCCAAUUGUGCAUCACAAAGAUGCCACCAAAGCAAACCUUACAAAACAUGGACGUACGCGACCCGUGAAUAGGAAAAUAGAUGCACCAUUGGCCCGAUUCGAAGGCUAAAAUCCAAAAGAACCAUGCACAUGAUUCGAACCAAGUGCUCCAAUGCUAUCUUUACCAGAUUACAUGAACUACCCCCAUACACAUACUUAAGAAACCUAGAAUAUCAUCCAGAGAGAGAAGGAAUGUCAGAUAUAAUCUAAAAAUACCUCAAUUAAUAACAUAAAACAUCCCCAUGAUCAGUUGAAACAAGAUCCCAUACUUGAUUGAGACUGAACGGAUUCCAUCGCUACACAACUAGGUUGAGAAGACUUCCGCGGAUAUCGAAGGUUGCCUAAACCUGAGUCUGCUAUUAACCAAGUUCCCACUCCACCAUUGAGGGUAAACACACUCGAAGGACCAAAGAACAUAGAUCAUACCGAACUUGAUGACAGAUUGGCCCGACCACUGCAUCUCGGCUGACACAAUUAAACUUCCGAGUGAACUUUUAUUGAAUGAUGAACCCCAAAAUUAGUGGUCGAGGACACAUUGACACUUAAUCCAGAGAAUCAAGACCCACAUGGAACUGAACAUACCCGCUUCUGGAAAGAUCCACUGACUAACGUCUGCCUAACUAAUCUGAAAAUAGCAAUCCAACAACAAACUCGCAUAUCCCUCAAUGGCUAAAAAUACUCAACCUUAGAAUCCCUAUUCUCCCCCACUUUAGGCUCAAACUACCACUUACUGGCGCUAAAACCAAAUCAUAACUCAAACCAUCUUGAGCAUGUACUACCCUUCCUAACCCUGGAAGUUACGAGUCUGCUCACUGCUUCCCCGAACUCGGAAAAACUGAAAGGGCGUAACCCUAUAUCUUAUAUUCUUCAAACCUAGAGAUAUGAGUUGUUACUAUGAGUUGGUUAUACAUUUGAUUGCACGAAAACGCAUUGGUAACUCGAUGAUAUAAAACGUGCCUUUGUGUAUGAUUCAACAAGUAGUAGAACAAGCCAUAUGAGUCGAAGUUUAUCCAUUCCUUUUACCUUCAGGAUAAAAGCGAUAUCCAUGGGCCCCUCGAUGAUUUAUUAAUGAUGACACAUGUGAGUGCUUGGGCAAGCCAUGACUGAUUUGAUCUGUUCAAUCAGUCAGUCAUCAUGAAUCGGAAAUCAGGAAACAAUAAAUGGAUAGAGAUAAUGAUUUAUAAUCCAUGUCUUAGUCCAUAUGAUAUUUAGAAUGGAGGAAUAUAUGAUCCCUUAUCUAAUGGACUAGUCAUUGACAAAGGUCAAAGUUCAUCGACGAGGUCAGAGUUCAACAACGGCUUUUGAGAGUUACGAUUGCCAGUUGGUUUUUGAAGUCAUCCUCAAUAAUAGUUUUAGACUUAUCCAAGUAGGAGACUAUUGGAUUAGUGUCUAAGUCCAUACCUAUAAUUGGUAUGUACUUGACCGUACUCGUCAUUGUCCAUUUGGGUUGCAUGGCAUCGGAACAUUUGGAUAAACUGUUUGUGAGAAAAGGACAUUUGUGACAUAUUAAUAUAUUAUAAGUUCUAAUAUAUUAAUAUUAAAUCAUGUUAUUUAAUUAGUAUUGAUCAAGAAUUAAUUCAGACUUAAUUUAGUGAUCAAAAGAGACUAAUUAAAUAUAUGGGGAUUGAUUGUGUAAAUCAUUCAUUCUUAUAUAUGUGGGGUUAUGAUCCAUUAUUCCUUAUGUUGGGUUUAACCCAUGUGGUGAUCCAUGGAUACUCCAUGGAGGUUAAAACCCAUGAAGCAUAAGGAAUUCGUAAAGUCAUGGGUUACAUAGUGUAACCCUAAUGCGCACACUAUAUAAGGACCCCUUUAGCUCAAGAAACGGCACUAGUGAUACUUAUAUGAGGGCUAGCCGAUUUCAACAUAGGGUUCUUCUUCUCAUGGUUAUUCCAAGUGUUGAUGAUGUUGUGUGNNNNNNNNNNNNNNNNNNNNNNNNNNNNNNNNNNNNNNNNNNNNNNNNNNNNNNNNNNNNNNNNNNNNNNNNNNNNNNNNNNNNNNNNNNNNNNNNNNNNUUUCCAUUGCAGUCAGAGGGGCCACAAGAAGGCCCAGUGUCCGAGAUUGUAUCCAGUAGGGCAGGUGCCAGCUCCUGCCCUUGGGAUUUCGAGUACCGCCAGCAGUUGUCGAGGCCCGGCAAGGGUGCCUACGGCUCAGAGCCGAGUUUUCCGGUAGAUUUCAGCAGGGAUUCGAGCAGCACUGAGUAAUGAAGGUACGUAACUUUUGUUUUUCUGUCAGCUUAUGUCAUGAUUAUAUUGUUAUGGUUCUGCAUCAAAUUGUGGUAUAAGUGUUGUGUUAUAGUGUGGCUUGCUUGUGAUUAUGUUAUAUGCCAUUUGCAUACCUCGGAUAAUUGGUUGGUAGUUAGGGAAUGUGCUCUUAUGGAGAAGGUUUCGGAGGAUGCAGNAUGGUUGGGAGAGAUUUGGUUCGUUUCGCGAGUUCGGAGUGGUUAGUGUUGGGUUGGAUUGGUUAGAUCCCUAGCUAUGGCAGGCUUGGGCUCCUUAGCAGAAUGAUUAUGGAAUGGCAGCAAAGAUCGGGAUCUCUUUUGAGUGUGAAGCAGCAAGGGGUAAGCAGGAUCGAAGUGGGGGAGAACCCUCCGGGUAUACAUGGAUAAGAGUCUCGUAGACUCAGAAUGAGUGCGCGGCCUCUGAGAAGAAAUGGUAGUAGCACAGUGAUGGAUGGAUUGAGAAGUUCAGAAUUGGGAGUUCGAGAACUUUUCCCAGCAGUUAGUUCAUGUAAUCGAGAUGGUUAGAAGCUGGUUGGGAAUCCAGGAUUGGAGGACCACCUGUCGGACGCAUGAGAGUCGGAAUGAAGAUCCUGAGAACGGGUAACAAGAGAUGUUUUCGUAUUAGUAGCCAGUGUCUGAGGCAGCAUGCAGGUUGUGUAGAUUCAGGAGUUGGGAGGUUGGAAACUUCCCAACAAUAGCUUCUUGUAUCCGGAUUAGUAGACGGUUGGUUUGGGAACCAAGCCGAAGGAUUCCUCGACGAAGCGCUAAGUAUAUCAAGGAUAUAAGAUGUCGAGGAUGAUGCAGAAUUCAAAGUCUAAGGACUGUUUUUUUUGAGAAAUCGGGAUGAGGAAUCACUAGCAGGACUAGGGAUAGUCAGGAUGUUCUCGAGAUAGUAGUAGUGUUGUAAGUCUGCGGGGGUAGCCGUAGCAUUCACUAGCAGUCAGAUAGCAGUAGUAGUGUUGUAAGUCUGCGGGGGUAGCCGUAGCAUUCACUAGCAGUCAGAUAGCAGUAGUAGUGUUGUAAGUCUGCGGGGGUAGCCGUAGCAUUCACUAGCAGUCAGAUAGCAGUAGUAGUGUUGUAAGUCUGCGGGGGUAGCCGUAGCAUUCACUAGCAGUCAGAUGGUAGUAGUAGUGGUGUUGUAAGUCUGCGGGGGUAGCCGUAGCAUCCACUAGCAGCCAGAUAGUAUUAGAGAGUUGUAAGUCCGCGAGCGUAGUCGCAGCCUUUUAUCAGAUUGGUAAGUAGCAUGAGCGCGUGUUAGACGCGGGAAAGCAGUUGUACCCACCAGUUCGGGUGUAGCAGUGAGGAUAUGGGAAUCCACGGGUUAGAUUUCGGAUUUCCCAAAGGGAUCAGUUACGGCUAAGUUAGCAAUUUGGGCUUUGGAUCGUCACAUCAGUUAUGAGAUCAGAGUAGCAGUGGACCGUUAGGGUUCAGGUAUGUUGCGGACUACAGUCAGUCUGGGAACCAUCAUGUUGUUAGUCGUGGAAUUGAUGAUGUCAGGAUGUGACGUAUGGACCCGAUCGGUUGGAUCGGAAAGUUGCUAGAGCCUCAGUGACAGGAUAACUAGUGGAAACUAGUCCUAGAGGAAAAUUUCGUUCAGAAGUCGUGGAAGCGACUAAGUGAGGAGUCCCUUGACUCCACAGUUGGGUUGGAGUUCAGUGUUCCAGUCAGUUCAGUGUUUCAGGCAGCUCAGCGUUUCAGGCAGCUCAGUGUUUCAGGCCGUUCAGCGUUUCAGUCGGUUCAGCGUUUCAGGCAGGUUCAGUAUUGCAGCUAGUUCAGUGUUUGGAAGGUUUCAGGGUUUUGGGUUAGUAUUGCAUUUGCGUUGGAAUGCAAGUGCUGACGGUAUAGUUGGUUGAUUUGGAAUUGGCAAGUCCCUCUCAGCAGGAUCAGUUGAGCCUUUUGCCGAGUAUAAGUGAUUGGUAGGGAUGGCUAGGCAGGUAGCUUUUCAUUCAGGAAGAAAGGCUCGAGUAAGUAGGAGAUGAGUAAGCAGGUGGGAUAAAAGCAAGCUGGUUCCAGCAGCAUCGUUUCAGUAUGAACGGCAGGAUGGAUAGAACAGUUAUAGAUAAUCAAAGUAUCUUUAGGAGUCGCUGGAAGAGACUAGGAGUUUGCGAUGGAGUGUAGUGACCGGUGGGAGUCCGGUAACUCAGAUAUAGGGAGAUUGGUUAGACCAGAGUAGUCUCAGUACAUCCGGUAGGCGGAUGGGAGGCAGCAGGAUUUUCAGUCGGAGGAAGUAACGUUGAGGAGAUUAUGGGAAAGAGAAGGAUUUAGUAUGUUCUAUCGGUAGUGAUCGGCACUGUGAGUGGCCGGAGUGAUGGGCAAAAGAGUGAGGGAUUUUCCAGACAAAGAGUUGGAGGCAGUUCGCAGGCAGUUGAUCAUAGCAAACUUCGAGGACGAAGUUUAGUUUAAGUAGGGGAGAGUUGUAACACCCCAAAGAUUGGAAAGUCAAGAAAAGAAAGAAGACCUCAAUUUUAAGAAGAGACUCGGCGAGUCCAAGGAGGGACUCGGCGAGUCCNNNNNNNNNNNNNNNNNNNNNNNNNNNNNNNNNNNNNNNNNNNNNNNNNNNNNNNNNNNNNNNNNNNNNNNNNNNNNNNNNNNNNNNNNNNNNNNNNNNNNNNNNNNNNNNNNNNNNNNNNNNNNNNNNNNNNNNNNNNNNNNNNNNNNNNNNNNNNNNNNNNNNNNNNNNNNNNNNNNNNNNNNNNNNNNNNNNNNNNNNNNNNNNNNNNNNNNNNNNNNNNNNNNNNNNNNNNNNNNNNNNNNNNNNNNNNNNNNNNNNNNNNNNNNNNNNNNNNNNNNNNNNNNNNNNNNNNNNNNNNNNNNNNNNNNNNNNNNNNNNNNNNNNNNNNNNNNNNNNNNNNNNNNNNNNNNNNNNNNNNNNNNNNNNNNNNNNNNNNNNNNNNNNNNNNNNNNNNNNNNNNNNNNNNNNNNNNNNNNNNNNNNNNNNNNNNNNNNNNNNNNNNNNNNNNNNNNNNNNNNNNNNNNNNNNNNNNNNNNNNNNNNNNNNNNNNNNNNNNNNNNNNNNNNNNNNNNNNNNNNNNNNNNNNNNNNNNNNNNNNNNNNNNNNNNNNNNNNNNNNNNNNNNNNNNNNNNNNNNNNNNNNNNNNNNNNNNNNNNNNNNNNNNNNNNNNNNNNNNNNNNNNNNNNNNNNNNNNNNNNNNNNNNNNNNNNNNNNNNNNNNNNNNNNNNNNNNNNNNNNNNNNNNNNNNNNNNNNNNNNNNNNNNNNNNNNNNNNNNNNNNNNNNNNNNNNNNNNNNNNNNNNNNNNNNNNNNNNNNNNNNNNNNNNNNNNNNNNNNNNNNNNNNNNNNNNNNNNNNNNNNNNNNNNNNNNNNNNNNNNNNNNNNNNNNNNNNNNNNNNNNNNNNNNNNNNNNNNNNNNNNNNNNNNNNNNNNNNNNNNNNNNNNNNNNNNNNNNNNNNNNNNNNNNNNNNNNNNNNNNNNNNNNNNNNNNNNNNNNNNNNNNNNNNNNNNNNNNNNNNNNNNNNNNNNNNNNNNNNNNNNNNNNNNNNNNNNNNNNNNNNNNNNNNNNNNNNNNNNNNNNNNNNNNNNNNNNNNNNNNNNNNNNNNNNNNNNNNNNNNNNNNNNNNNNNNNNNNNNNNNNNNNNNNNNNNNNNNNNNNNNNNNNNNNNNNNNNNNNNNNNNNNNNNNNNNNNNNNNNNNNNNNNNNNNNNNNNNNNNNNNNNNNNNNNNNNNNNNNNNNNNNNNNNNNNNNNNNNNNNNNNNNNNNNNNNNNNNNNNNNNNNNNNNNNNNNNNNNNNNNNNNNNNNNNNNNNNNNNNNNNNNNNNNNNNNNNNNNNNNNNNNNNNNNNNNNNNNNNNNNNNNNNNNNNNNNNNNNNNNNNNNNNNNNNNNNNNNNNNNNNNNNNNNNNNNNNNNNNNNNNNNNNNNNNNNNNNNNNNNNNNNNNNNNNNNNNNNNNNNNNNNNNNNNNNNNNNNNNNNNNNNNNNNNNNNNNNNNNNNNNNNNNNNNNNNNNNNNNNNNNNNNNNNNNNNNNNNNNNNNNNNNNNNNNNNNNNNNNNNNNNNNNNNNNNNNNNNNNNNNNNNNNNNNNNNNNNNNNNNNNNNNNNNNNNNNNNNNNNNNNNNNNNNNNNNNNNNNNNNNNNNNNNNNNNNNNNNNNNNNNNNNNNNNNNNNNNNNNNNNNNNNNNNNNNNNNNNNNNNNNNNNNNNNNNNNNNNNNNNNNNNNNNNNNNNNGUCAGCUUCGGACUUCGGUCCGAUGGAGGGGGCAAGGCCCCAGUCAGUUAGCUUCGGACUUCGGUCUGAUGUCAGCUUCGGACUUCGGUCCGAUGGAGGGGACAAGGUCCCAGAUAGUCAGCUUCGGACUUCGGUCCGAUGGAGGGGGCAAGGCCCCAGUCAGUUAGCUUCGGACUUCGGUCCGAUGUCAGCUUCGGACUUCGGUUCGAUGUAGGGGGCAAGGCCCCGUUAGUCCGGACUUCGGUCCGAUGCAGUGGGCAAGGCCCAAUAUGUGCUUUAUAUGUUUUGUAUGAUAUGUGGUAGAUUGGGGGAGCUCACUAAGCUUCGUGCUUACGGUUUUCAGUUUUGUUUUCAGGUACUCGAUUUCCAAAAGAGGAGCUCGGGAAGAUUGCAGAGCACACACCAUAGUCAGUUAGCCUGGGAAUGUUUGACUCUGAUAAUGAUAUUAUGUUUUGAAUUGAAUACUCAAAAGUUAUGUUUGACUUAUGAUACGUUGUUAUAAAUCUAUUUUUAGUAAUGUUUAAAAGAAAUUUUUAGUCAUGAUUUUUGGGUCGUUACAAAUACCUUGGAAUAUUCAUAUUUGCAUGUAUAAUAGAGAAAACGUAGAUCCAAGGUAUUUAGGGUUGCAUGUACACCAUAGGAGUGAUAGAGUGCUCAAAACCCAACAAAUAGGUCCGAGUCCUUCAUUCUAAGAUUAUUUAACCUUCAUAGCAUGUAAUUUAUUGUAUUCACUUGAUGGUUAACUCCCAUCAACAUGGGUUCCACAAAGCUCAAAGCAAGGAACAUUCGGGCAGAGAAGUCGGUUGUCACUAAAACGCAACAAAAUUUGACAGAUCCUCAUACAAAAUCCUCAAUCUCAAACUCCCCGCACCACGGGUGCACCUUUGCCCUGCUCUCACUCUCCCCAGAGUGGCUAAUCAUUCCUCGUGCUGACCAGCUAUACACUGUACCCACUCAUGAAACUUCCACCAACCCUACAACACUCUUGUAUGCUAGCUGUACAUAACACUGGAUCCUAUAGACAGUCGAAUAUCUGAUCCGAACCUAAGUCCUUCAUCAAACAAGAACAGAAAAUAAGGCCGAAUGAAACAUUCUCAGGCUAAAGAAUCUUAGUUAUGUACAACUAUAAUGCAUACUCUAAGCAAUUGUAGUAAUGAUGUCAAUUUCAUCUAAGGAAGAACCCUAGGCUAUCAUGCAUCAUAUAAUCAGGAAACUCUAUCAUGCAAUUCCUAUAGAUCCCUAGCCUAUCACUAACAUGCUAUUUUAACAUAUCACAAGAUCAAUAACAGUGUAGCAAUUUGGGGUCUACUUACUGGCUCCGACUGAUCUUACACAUAGUAUCCUCUUUAGUUUGAAAGCGACUUUGAAAGUUAUUUUUAAAACCUUUACUUUGAAAAUUAUUUUUUAAAAAACCCUUUUUCCUUAGUUUGAUACUGGAUUCACACGAGUGUUCCUCCAAUUCACUCAAACCAAGGCUCUGAUACCAACUUGUAACGUCACAAAAAUUUCAACAAAUUGAAACCUUUCGAAACAACCCAUUUAUUAAGAAAAGUGUUUUGACCCGUAGGCGCUUUGUACGCCUUGAACUCCCGGAAUGAGGGAGUUCGAUUCCUAAUCUGACCCGUAGUGAUCUCAGCUCAGAAAGAACAAUUUGCUCCUCUAUAAUCUCCAUGAUCCCCUCCUUGACGGUAUUGAAAAUCACUGGGGUAGCGUUAAGGAUGUCGCGAGUAACAUCGACUACGAUAAUCUCAUGCAACCUCUCAUCAAUCGGCUUUGCCGCAGAUCCUGAGCCCGAUCCCGAACCUGAACCUCCUCGCGUAGCCAUCACCAUCCUCAACUGAAAAAUACAACGUAGAAAGCAAUUGAUAAGGAAUAUCAAAAGGAUUUCUCCCCACCAGACUGAUGGUUUUUGAGCACUACACCAUUCCUAUGGUGUACAUGCAACCCUAAUGCUUCAGAUCUAUGUUUUUCUCAAGUUAUACAUGCAAAUCAAAUCAUCCAAAGCAUAAACCCUAAAUAGCAUACAAUUUUUGGAAUUUGUAACUUAAAAAAAAAGUUAGAAGAAUACAUUUUCCUUGUAGCUUGUAGAUCUUGACCUUCAAGAGCUUAGUGCCUCAAUUGUUGCACUCUAGUGAGUCACAAACACCAAGUAGCAAUUUGGAAGAAUAUGAGAGAGGUUAGGAGGCUCAAAAUCGGCUAGGGUAUUAUCUUAGAAGCAAUUGACUAAUUUCAAGGUGUCAUGGGGUAUUUAUAUAGUUGUGCAAUUAGGGUAUUUAACUGAAACCCUAAUUCUCUGCUUAGGCCUUAAGCAAUCCAGUAGAUCCUUCCAGAAGGCCUCUUAUGGACGAAAUCUAUGUGGGCUAUACAUAAGAUUUCGUCCAUCCCUUCUUAGGGAUCCACAUGCUCAACUUGGCAACUACCAUAUAAUUGCAAUAUCAGUCCUUGUAAUCUAACCAGUCUCUUUUGAUCACCAAGUUAAUUCCAAAUCAAUUCCUGAUCAAUACUAAUUAGUUAAUCUGAUUUCUCAAUUAAUAUACCAUUCUUAUAAUAUAUUAAUAAAUCAAAAUUAACCUCUUUCUCCAUAAUUCAUCUAGUCAAGUUGCUAUGGUGCAGGCAACCAAAAGCACCAUGCUACUAUCGGGUCAAGUACAUACAAUUUAUAGUUAUGGGCUUAGACACCUAAUCCAACAGUCUCCCUCUUGGAUAAGUCUAAUAACUAUAACUACAAGUAUGACUUCAAAAUCCGAUUAGCAAUCGUAGCUCUCAAAAGCCGCUGUUGGAAUCUGACCUAGUCAAUAUGUAACAUCCAUAAAUUUUACACCAAAUUUAAACUUUUCAAUCAUAAAUAAAAACCAAAUAGCAUUAUGUUUUCAAAUCAUUAUCCAUCAGAGUGUCCCAAAAUCAUAACAUAAGGAUGAGGAGUGGUAGGUCACGCCUACGCGUUGCUAGAUCUCCUGAAGUACCUGGAACAAUAAACCGAAAACUGUAAGCCCGAGGGCUUAGUGGCUACCCCCAAAAUACCUAUACCACAUUGACAAUACCAUAUCAGUAAUAAUCAAUCAAUCAACAUGCAUAUCGGGCCAUCGGCCUGACUGGACCGCCCUAUAGGGCCUACAGUCUAUCUGGAUCUAUCCCGAGCCUUCGGCAUGACUGGUCCGCCACAUGGCCCUACAGUCUCCCCGGACCGAUCAUAGGGUGUGCAUACUUUCAGCACAAAGCAGGACCGCCUCAACCCAACUAACAAUCAAAUAACUAUGUGCGCAUAACUAUCAUAUACUGGCAUAUACAAACAUCAAGCAUAUCUAUCACUGGUCAUCAAUCAUAGAAUUCCCUCGUAACUAGAGUACCGACCUAGCAGGUCACUAACAUACCAAUCCCUACGGAUCAUAAGAGCAUAACAUACUGUCUACCCUGAUUCCGAUCAAACAGAUCAUAACCACAUAUAGCAUACCAUAACAAUAAAAACUAAAGGGUCGACCUUGGUGCUGUAGACCCUAUCGAUAUAGUGAGGAUAACUCACCUCAUAGAUGUCGACUCGGAAGGUAAACUCCAAAUCUCGGAUCAAUUGACACAGGCCCCACCACAUAUCGCAUAACAUACACGUAAGUCCUUAACCUUAUAAGGUACUCCAUAACCUACUAGUCAACCCCUGAUCAAAGUCAAAGUCCUCAGUCAAGGUCAACAGUCCAUGUUGACCUCAACUCGCCGAGUUCCUUGAAGCAUAUUCAAACUCGCCGAGUCAUCGGGGUGACUCGUCAAGUUCCUUUGAUUCUCGAUCAAACUUUAAGGCCACCCGUCGAGUUCCCUCCUUGCAACUCGACGAAUACACAUGCAUACAUAUCCAGGAGAAAACUCAUCCGCCUCGCCGAGUUGUUCUUCAACUCGUCGAGUCUAUGGAAAUCAUCAUCGGACUCGUCGAGUUGUUUAUCCAACUUGUCGAGUUCACGACCAUCUUCAUGUGACUUGCCGAGUCAACCUUGCGACUCGCCGAGUCCAUUCAGUCCGUUUUCCAUACAGAUCUAUUUUGAGUCAUGCAGCGGCUCCAACUCACAGAUCUAAGCUUCUAGGACAUGCUUAUCACGUAAGGAUGCAAACUUUACGUGCAUGCAUGGCUUUAAAGGCUCCAAAUGCCAAAUCUAAGAUCUUAAUGAGGCUUCAUGCUCAAUAGGGACCUCAAUCACGACCAAAAUUGUAACUUUAUGCUUCUAGAAUCCGAAGAGGGUCCAGAUCUGAAGUUACAACUUCAGAUCUAGCCCAUAGCUCAUCAUACCAACUUGAUAUUACAAGAAAACCCUAAAACUCAACCAAUAGAGGAGAUUCAUAAGGAAAAUGAUGGUUUGGGUACGUCUGGAAGAUGAUAUCUGAGAUGAGUGUUGAUUUCCACACUCUAAAUGCUCCAAUCUCCUUCUCCUCCAAGUCUUCUCCUUCCAAAGAUCCUCUUUUCAAGCUUCAAACACACACAAGGCACCCACACACGAAUAAGGGCUCUCAAGGACUCUUUAGAACUGUAAAUAGGUCCAAGGGAGGCUAAGGCCCCUUUAAAUAGGGAUACAAACCCCAAGAUUUAGGGUUUCAUCUGCCAACUCCUACUCACCAAGUCCCAAUAUGGAAUCGUCAAGUAGGUCACUUAACACGGGAUCUCACCCCGCUGCUACUCGACGAGUAGGGCAACCAACUCGUUGAGUAGAGCGUAACUCAAUACAUCUUAUUUAAAACAAUACCUAAGAACCGGGGCGUUACAAAUCUCCCCCACUUGAACUAGACCUCGCCCUCGAAGUCCGCUGGAACAAACAAUGUCGGGUAAUGCUCGCUCAUCUCCGCCUCCGGCUCCCAUGUCCACUCGGAUCCCCUCCGAUGUUCCCACUGUACCUUUACCAAAGGUAGUUCCUUGUUCUGCAGAAUCUUCUUCUUCCUUUCCAAAAUAGCCACAGGCCUCUCCACAUAGUUCAGGUGCUCAUCGACCUGAAUGUCAUCCAACGAUACCACUGCCUCCUGGUCCAUAAUGCAUUUUCGCAAUUGCAAAACAUGAAACGUGCUGUGGAUCCGGCUGUGCUCCUCCGGAAGCUCUAGCCUAUAAGCCAGCCUGCUAACCCUGGCAACAAUCCUGAAUGGCCCAAUGUAACGGGGACCUAAUUUUCCCCUCUUCCUGAAGCGGAUCACACCCUUCCAACGUGAAACCUUCAGGAGGACCAUGUCACCCACCUGAAAUUCCAGUAUAGAUCGGCGUCGGUCGGCAUAACUUUUCUGCCGACUCUGAGGGGUCUGCAAUCGCUGUCUAAUCUGUUGUAUCAUCUCGGUAGUUUGCUGAACUACCUCUGUCCGACCCAUUACCCUGUGGCCAACCUCGCCCCAACAGACUGGGGUCCUACACUUCCGCCCGUACAACAGCUCGAAAGGCGGGGCGGGAAUACUGGAAUGAUAGAUGUUGUUGUAGGCGAACUCUACAAUCGGUAGGUGGGAAUCCCAACUACCAUCGAAAUCAAUGACGCACGCCCUCAAAAUAUCCUCGAGGGUCUAAAUGGUCCGCUCACUCUUGUUGGAUAAGGUGUCUAAGUCCAUAACUAUUUCUGGUCAGUACUUGACCCGACCCGACAUGGUCCAUUUGGGUUGCAUGGCACCAUGCAAUUGGAUAGACUAAAUGAGAGAAAUAACACUUGGAGAUUAUUAAUAUAUUAUAAGUUCUAAUAUAUUAAUAAUAUUAUUUAAUUAGUUUGAUCAAGAAUUAAUUUAGAAUUAAUUAAAUGAUCAAAAGAUAACUAAUUAAAUAUAUGGGUUGAUUAUGUAAAUCAUCCAUAUCUUGUAUAGUGGGCUAAGAGGCUCCAUGGAUUAUCAAGUUGGGUUCUACCCAUAGGAUGCUCCAUGGAUGCUCCAUGGGAGUUACAAACCCAUGGGUCAUGGAAAUGAAGAGUCAUGACACAUUAGGGUUUACAUGGUGUAACCCUAGAUGUGUCAACACUAUAUAAGAAUCCCAUUCUCCACCAAAAUCUGACACACAUAUGAAACAAGAGGGCUAGUCCGAUUUCAAGAAGUGUGUGUUCUCUCAAAAGUCUUUCCAAGAGCAUUUGGUGUUGUGUGAAGCAUUUAAGGCAUCACACUUGGGGUGCUAGGCUCACAAGGUUUCAAGGAACAUAAGCAACAACAAGGUAAGUUAUUCUAUCUUUCAUUCAAGUUAAAAAUUGUUCCCCAUGUAUGCUAGAUAGGAAUAUAACCUUGGAAUUCAACUUUGCAUGAUAAUUAGACAAACAUAGAUCCAAGGUUAUUAGGGUUGCAUGUACACUUAGGAAGUGUUAGAAUGCUCAAAACCCAUCAGUGGUAUCAGAGCCUAGGCUUGUUUGUUUGUUAUUUGUGCUUAAAAGUUGAAGAAAGUCGAAAAUCUUGCUGUCUGACUGAUGGACUCGGCGAGUCCAUGGGGAGGACUCGACGAGUUCAUGUGUAUCUUCAACCUACUCGGCGAGUAGGUUUAUGCACUCGGCGAGUAGGGUCGACAGAGUGCAGAAUUUCGACUUGUGUUGCUGGAAAUGGAUUAGAAUCAUUACCCUAAAAUGUUUUGGUACUUGAAAACUUAUUUUAGAAGGUGUAAUGUCUUUUCUAACUCAUUUACAACAACUAGUUAUCAAAAUUACAAAGAUUAAAUGUGAUUUUGAUUCUUGAAAGUGUUCAUAUUCAUAUUCUUGUUCUUAUGAUGUUUAGAUGAUCAUAGGAAUUAUUUGUAACCUAUGUGGUAGAUUAAUUCAUGAUCAUAAUGUGUUUUAAUGGAGUCCAUAACUUGUCCUCAAGUUAUGGAAAACCAAAAGUCUCUUGGAUUAAAAAACAUUAAAAGAACACAAGAGUUAGGAAAAAUGAAAAGUCCUCAUUUUAUUACUCUAUUAAACUCAUAAGUUACAAGAAAUGAAAAGUUUUGAAAGUUUACAAAACUUGCCCUCAAGUUUUGGAACAAGUAAAGUUAAGUUAAAACUUUAGUUCCAACCCCUAGAAUUUUAAAAGUUAAAAUUCAACCCUUAUACUUAUAUUAUUAUGAUUUAAUAAUUAUAUAUAUAUGUAUAAGAACAAAGUCGUCUUACCGCUAGUACGCCUCAUUCACGAAGCCGGUCUAUAAGGUGGGUAUAAGGUUGUUGCCUAUAAAAUGGUGACUUAAUGGGUGUCCACUCUCACCCACCGCUUGCUUGAUCGGUGGAGGGUCGUUAGCCGAACGGGUAAGACAAGGACUUAUUAAUUCUCAUUCAAAGUAUGAUGAAUAUUAUAAAGUAACUAAAUGUUUUAUUAAAUUCCCAAUCUUAGUUACUUUAGGAAAAAUGUGAAUAAGGUGCUAUUCCAUGAAAUUACACUUUACACUUUGAUUAAGUCGUUGGUGGAGCGUGUGUGGUUAACCGGCACACUAACUUGGACUUAACAAGGUAGGUAAAGGGUGACUUAGGGUUUAUUAUAGUAUCGAUGGAGCGUGUGUGGUUAACCGGCACAUCGAUUGAGUGAUAAACUUUAAGGGUACCAAGUGAUUUGCAUGGUUACUUCACACCUCGUUUUGUGAUCCUCGGUAUCCCAGUCACAAAACUUGGAGGGCACACUCGAGAUUGAAACAUGCCUUUGAAAAGUUCAUUGAAUCUCAAAGAAUCUAGGAAUUUCUAAGAACCAUUCAAAAACCUAAUACUAAAAUAUUGCGGUUUUCGUGGUGGAAAUUGGUGAAUCGUCAUUCACCUACCUUUCAAAUAUGAUAUAGCUUAGAUUACGGCAUACCUCUUCUAAGUUAUAUUAUAUUGUGAUUGGAUCCUAGCCUUAAUAUUACAUUUGGGUGUUUUAUUAAGGACUCUCUUAUAUCUAAACUAAUCUUGUCCUCUUUCCUUCAGAUGUCUUUCAACAAUGCUUCUGGCUCUAAUCCUAAUGGCUCCUUUACCCUUAUGAACUUGUGUGGGAAAGUCACCUUUGAUGGAUCCAACUUCAAUGAGUGGAUCAGAAACAUCAGGAUGAUUACCCGCUACGAGGACAAAGAAUAUGUCCUUGACAAGGAGCUUAAGGAGAUUGAUGAGUCCACUGCAACUCCUCAGGAGAUCGCUGAAUUUCGGGCACAUGAAAGGGAUGCUACGAAAGUGGCUUGCAUCAUGAUGGCCACGAUGACAGCGGAACUCCAAAAGUCUUAUGAGGAUUUCUACCCUUAUGAAAUGCACCAAGAUUUGAUGGAAAGAUACCAUCAAAGUGCAAGACAAGAGAGGUAUGAAAUCAUCUGCUCCAUGAUAACAACCAUGAUGAAGGACGGGGAAUCCGUCACGAGCCACAUGCAGAAAAUGCAAAGGUAUGUGGAUCGUUUGCUGAAGCUUAAUGUGAACUUCCCGGAGGAUCUUGCAAUAGAUAUUAUUUUGCAUUCCUUACCAUCGUGCUAUGAUCAAUUCCGCAUGACAUAUCACAUGAACAAGGAAGAAGUCACCCUCAGCAAACUUCAGGGACUUCUCAAGACCGCAGAAUCAGGUCUUAAGGGGAAGUCGGUUGCUAUCACUCCUACUCAAAACUCUACUCCGGUUUUGGCAAUCGGGAAAAGUCGAGGGAGGAAGAGAAAGAGCUCUUCUAAGGGUACCAAGGUUCGGACCCUUGAUGGCUCUUCUUCAAGUGGAACCAAGAAAGGUUUCAUUACUCCUUCUUCUGACCCAAAAGAGGCUGAAUGCUUCUAUUGCCAUGAAAAAGCUCAUUGGAAGCGGAACUGCCCAAAAUACCAGCAAGAUGUGAAGGAUGGGAAAGUUAAACCCAACCAUGCAGGUAUUUACACUAUCAUUUCUAAUAACUCACCCCAUUCUAAUUCUUGGGUCCUUGAUACCGGGUGUGGUAUUCACAUUUGUUGUGACUUGCAGGGACUAAGAAGAAGUGAGGAUGUGGAGCAAGGAAGGAUAAACUUGAUCAUGGGGAAUAGGAAAGCUAUACCUGUUACCAAGAUUGGAGUUUAUACUUUAUCGCUAAGUAGUGGGUUUAGUUUAGAUUUGAAUAAGUGUUGUUAUUCGCCAGGAAUGGCAAGAAAUAUUAUUUCCUUUCAUGCUUUGUACAAACAAGGGUUUACCUUUUCAUUUAAUAAUGAAGUUGGUUCUAUAGAUGUUUUCUAUAAUAAUGUCUUUUAUUUUAAAGCAUUACCUUGUGAUGGUGUGUAUGAAGCUGUAUCUGUUGUAGAUAACUUGGGAAAUAAUGUUUUGUGUAUUGAUUCUACUAAUAAUAACUUGGAUAAAGCAUCUUUAUGGCAUUGUCGUCUUGGACAUAUAAGCAAGAAACGCAUAGGCCAACUCCAAAAGGAUGGAGUCUUGGAGUCGUUUGACCUAAAGUCAGAUGAUAGUUGCGAAUCAUGCUUACUUGGAAAAAUGACAAAGUCACCCUUCACAGGUUCGUGUGAGAGGGGUGAAGGUUUGUUGGACCUUAUACACACGGAUGUGUGUGGACCAUUCAAACAUGCCACAAGGGAUGCUAAUCGUUAUUAUUUGACUUUUACUGAUGAUUAUAGUAGAUAUGGAUAUGUCUACUUGAUCAAGCAUAAGUCAGAGACUUUCGAGAGGUUUAAGGAAUUUAAACAGGAAGUCGAGAAUCAAUUGGGCAGGAACAUUAAGAUGCUUCGAUCCGAUCGUGGUGGUGAGUAUCUUAGUUCAGAGUUCCUCGACUAUCUAAGGGAAUGUGGGAUAGUCUCACAAUUGACACCUCCCAGGACACCACAGUUGAAUGGUGUGGCUGAGAGGCGUAAUCGAACCUUGUUAGAUAUGGUUCGUUCCAUGAUGAGUCGAGCUACGCUACCAAUCUCAUUCUGGGGGUAUGCCUUAGAGACUGCCGCCCAUAUUCUUAAUCUAGUCCCUACAAAGAAAGUUGCCAAAACUCCUCACGAGAUGUGGACUGGUAAAGUACCUAAACUAGACCACAUCAAGAUUUGGGGUUGCGAGGCUUUCGUGAGACGCGAGACUCAUGAUAAGCUCGAACCUCGAAGCGAGAGGUGUAUUUUCAUCGGUUACCCACAGCGAUCCUUUGGUUACCUCUUCUACAGACCUAGUGACAAUGUGGUCUUUGUAGCAAGAAGAGGAGUCUUUCGAGAAAGAGAGUUUAUAAGCCAAGGAGACAGUGGGAGGCAAAUUGAUCUUGAAGAAAUUCAAGAAUCAAGCGGUGAAGGAACUUCAAACUCUAGCCCUCAACUUGAGGAGGAAACUCCUGUUGAGCCAAUUGACAAAUCUGUACCUCUGAGACGUUCCACGAGAGUUAGGAGUGCACCUGAGCAUUACUAUGGAUUCCAUAUUACUGCAGAAGGUGAGACACUUAUUAGUGAUGAGACACUAGUAAGUCAAGAUGACCCUAACAGCUACGAGGAAGCCAUGGCAGGCCCCGAGUCUGCUAAAUGGAAAGAGGCUAUGGAUAGCGAGAUACAAUCCAUGUAUGACAAUCAAGUUUGGAACUUGGUUGAAAAUGUACCAGGUCGUAAGACAGUAGGGUGCAAAUGGGUCUUCAAGAAGAAGACCGACAUGGAUGGUAAAGUACACACUUAUAAGGCUAGACUGGUUGCAAAGGGCUUCUCUCAAAUUCCUGGAGUGGAUUAUGAUGAGACCUUUUCUCCGGUAGCCAAGAUUAAGUCUAUUCGGGUUCUGUUAGCCAUAGCUGCAUUUCAUGACUAUGAAAUAUGGCAGAUGGAUGUCAAAACCGCUUUCCUUAAUGGAAAGUUGGCUGAAGAUGUUUACAUGAGUCAGCCAGAGGGUUUUGUCAGCAACGAGUACCCUAAUAGAGUGUGUAAGCUUGAGAAAUCCAUUUAUGGAUUGAAGCAAGCACCUCGCAGAUGGAAUCUUUGCUUUGAUGAAAAGGUCAAGGAAUUUGGCUUUUCUAGGAGUGAAGAUGAAUCUUGUGUGUAUGUCAAGGCUAGUGGGAGUAUAGUUAGCUUUUUGGUAUUGUAUGUGGAUGACAUACUACUCAUAGGAAACGACAUUCCAACCCUGCAGGAAGUAAAGUCCUGGCUUGGGAAGUGUUUCGCUAUGAAGGACCUUGGUGAAGCUGCCUAUAUUCUAGGGAUAAGAAUCUUGAGAGAUCGGAGUAAAAGACUAAUUGGACUUAGUCAGAGUACCUACUUGGAUAAGGUGCUGAAGAGAUUCAGCAUGCAGGAUUCCAAGAAAGGAGAGUUACCCAUCCAGAGUAACACCAGAUUGAGUAAGACACAAAGCCCUAGCACUGAGGCUGAGAUAGCAGAAAUGAGUCGAACACCUUACGCUUCGGCUGUAGGAUCGAUCAUGUAUGCUAUGACGUGUACUCGACCCGAUGUAGCUUUUGCCUUGAGCAUGGUUAGCAGGUAUCAGGCGAACCCUGGCAAGGCACACUGGACUGCGGUAAAGAAUAUCCUCAAGUACCUACGGAGGACUAAGGACUGGGUCCUUACCCUCGGUGGGAGUGAUGACUUGAGAGUUGUAGGGUAUAGUGAUGCUAGCUUCCAGACUGAUAGGGAUAAUUUCCGCUCUCAGUCGGGCUGGGUCUUUACCCUAAACGGAGGAGCAAUUUCUUGGAAGAGUUCCAAGCAAGAGACAGUGGCAGAUUCUACUUGUGAAUCAGAGUAUAUUGCAGCUAGCGAAGCAGCAAAGGAGGCGAUAUGGCUGAAGAACUUCAUUGGAGACCUUGGAGUUGUACCAGCUAUUAAAGAGCCAAUGGAAAUUUUCUGUGAUAGUGAAAGUGCUGUUGCCUUAGCCAAGGAACCAAGGGAUCAUGGGAGAUCCAGACACAUCGACAGAAAAUACCAUUUCAUUAGACAUCGGAUCGAAGAAGGACUCCUCGUGGCAAAGAGGGUAUCAUCGGAUGAGAACCCAGCAGAUCCCCUCACGAAGGGACUGAGUAGGGUUAAGCAUCUCCAGCAUGCUCGGAGCAUAGGGCUGAAGGAUGAUAUAAGUUUUAGUAGUUAGAUAACCCAGAAAUUUGUAAAGUGUAAUUGACAUUUGAUGAUGAAUAAAAGGUGUUUUAUUUAUGAGUAAAGUGUUGCUAUCUCUUGUCAAUCGUUUACUAUAUUUCUUUUGCAUGUUUUGACUUCCAGAAUAAUUUUGUUUGGUGUAACAUAUUAUUCAAACCUCCACAGUCGGUCAUAUGUCGGAAGUAGGUAUGAAUCAAGACUGUCAUGAUGGGUUGUAGAGGUCUAAGGUGUUGGACAAGGCUACAACAAUCAUGAGUGCUCAUAAGUUCUGAGCAUUGGACUCAACCCACGCUCACUGGAAUCACUUCAUGGAAUUCUAUCUCGAGUGAUCGUGAGACGGUAAUAUCAUAUAAGUCUUCAAACCUAGAGAUAUGAUUUGUUACUUACAAGUUGGUUAUGCAUUGACUGUACGAAACCGCAUUGGUAACUCGAUGUUAUAAAACGUACUUUUGUGUGUAAUUCAAUGAGUGGUAGAACAAACAUAUGAGUCGAAGUUUAUCUGUUCCUUCUUGGAUUAGAAGCUGAUAUCUGGGCCCCUCGAUGAUUUUGUUUUGACCCAUGUACCGGGCCCGGUCAGAACUAAGUUGAUGUGUUCAAUUAAGUUCUAUGUCAAACAAAUCGGAAAUCGGGAAACAAAUGCUGGACAAUAAGCAAGACAAUGUUCCAUGUAUUUGUCCGGCUGAUAUCUAGAACGGAGGAUUAUAUGAUCACUUAUCUUAAAUGGCGUACCAUCAUCUUCUCAGUUCCGAGAGACCUUGAAAGAGCUACGAUUGCCGGUCGGUUCCUGAAGUACUAGAGAUAUAGUUAUUAGACUUAUCCAAGUGGGAGACUGUUGGAUAAGGUGUCUAAGUCCAUAACUAUUUCGGGCUUGUACUUGACCCGACCCGGCAUGGUCCAUUUGGGUUGCAUGGCACCAUGCAAUUGGAUAGACUAAAUGAGAGAAAUAACACUUGGAGAUUAUUAAUAUAUUAUAAGUUCUAAUAUAUUAAUAAUAUUAUUUGAUUAGUUGAUCAAAGAAUUAAUUUGGAAUUAAUUAAGUGAUCAAAGGAUAACUAAUUAAAUAUAUGGGUUGAUUAUGUAAAUCAUCCAUAUCUUGUAUAGUGGGCUAAGAGGCUCCAUGGAUUAUCAAGUUGGGUUCUACCCAUAGGAUGCUCCAUGGAUGCUCCAUGGGAGUUACAAACCCAUGGGUCAUGGAAAUGAAGAGUCAUGACACAUUAGGGUUUACAUGGUGUAACCCUAGAUGUGUCAACACUAUAUAAGAAUCAUAUUCUCCACCAAAAUCGGCUACACUAAGAAACUAGAGGGCUUGGCCGAUUUUGAGAAGUGUGUGUUAUCUCAAGAGUCUUUCCAAGAGCAUUUGGUGUUGUGUGAAGCAUUUGAGGCAUCACACUUGGGGUGCUAGGCUCACAAGGUUUCAAGGAACACAAGCAACAACAAGGUAAGUUAUUCUAUCUAUGAUUCAAGUUAAAAUUGUUCCCCAUGUAUGCUAGAUAGGAAUAUAACCUUGGAAUUCAACUUUGCAUGAUAAUUAGACAAACAUAGAUCCAAGGUUAUUAGGGUUGCAUGUACACUUAGGAAGUGUUAGAAUGCUCAAAACCCAUCAACUCUGCCCAUCAGUCUGCGGAUGGAACGCCGUGCUAAAAUGUAGUCUCGUGCCCAGUUCCUUGUGGAACUUCUGCCAAAACGGGAAGUAAAUCUGACAUCCCGAUCGGAAACAAUGGAAAAUGGGACCCCAUGGCGAGAGACAAUCUCGCGGACGUACAGGUCGGCCAACUUCUCUGCCGAUGAACUCUCCCAUAUGGCUAGGAAAUGGGCACUCUUGGUCAAUCGAUCCACGAUGACCCAUAUAGCAUCAAACCCCUUUUCCGUCUUCGACAACUUCGUGAUGAAAUCCAUCGCGAUCAGUUCCCACUUCCACAUGGGAAUCUCUAGAGGCUGCAGCUUACCGUGCGGCCUCUGAUGUUCGGCCUUGACCAUCCUACAGGUCAAGCACCUCUCAACAAACCAAGCGAUAUCUCGCUUCAUACCAGGCCACCAAUAACUCGAACUCAAAUCACAGUGCAUCUUGGUGGCUCCCGGGUGAAUACAAAACUGAGACUUAUGAGCCUCCUCCAUCACUGUCUGCCGGACCCCUUCGGACAUCGGAACCCAAACCCGACCGUAACGGGUCAACAAUCCGCGGCUAUCCUGAACAAACCGGGCGCUUUCACCCUUAAUCCUUUCCAACUUCCAGUUCUCCGGCCUCAUACCCUCAAUCUGAGCAUCCCUGACCAAACCCACCAGCGGGGAAUCCACCGUUAUCCUCAUACACUUGGCUGGGGGUAAAGGACCCAACUGAAUUACGGCUCAGAGCAUCCACAACUACGUUCGCUUUACCAGGAUGGUAAAGGAUCUCAUAAUCAUAGUCCUUGACCACAUCCAGCCACCUGCGCUGCCUCAUGUUCAGGUUCGGCUGAUUCAUGAUGUGUCUCAAACUCUUGUGAUCCUUGUAUAUAGUACAACGGACCCCGUACAGAUGGUGCCUCCAAAUCUUGAGAGCGAAGACCACCGCUCCCAACUCAAGAUCUUGCGUGGGGUAUCUCAUCUUGUGCGGCUUCAAAUGACUCGAUGCAUAAGCUAUCACUCAUCCCCUCUGCAUGAGGACUGCCCCCAAAUCUGUGAUGGACGCAUCACAAAAUACCACAAAACCCUCAACUCCCUCGGGGAGUGUCAACACCGGCUGAAUAUACUGUUGAGCCCUAGCUGCCGAACAAAACCCUGAUCCCAACCUGGUGCCCUCACCAUAUGUAGUGACAAAGAACAUGGUUUGGCAUGCGGAAUUAAAGCUUGCACAAUUGAACAUGGUGAUUUGGGUGUUUAAGAGAUAUAUUGAAUGUAUAUGGUGUUACAAAAAGGACUAGAUCUAGACUACAUAAUUAACACACACUUACACACUCACUUCUACAUCUCUCAAGCACACCUCUAUAAGUGGACAAACCCACCUUAUAUAGAGGGGUUUACAUGCCUCUCUCUCACUCUAACAAUCAAAUGGGUCUAAAGGCUAAAGCACCACAUGCAAGUGGGUUUUACAAAAGUCAAACAUUUACAAAGUCAUGAAUGAAGAGCUUUGCACCCCAACAUUCUCCCCCUCAAAGUUAGGAAUGAAUCACCCAUUUCAAAUCUUCCAAAAUCAAGCACUACGCGGUUCGAGCCUCAAAGGUGACACAUGUCGAAACGAACUUCAAUCUUCAAUUCUUCCAUGACUCUUCAAUUUGGGCUCUAGGAUGUGAGACCUUACAAACCGAGCAGCAACGAAUGAUUAAGAGUAUUCCAAACUCCAAAUAAUCACCCAAAAGUUGCGCAUAAAAACACACCCCAAAAAUCUUCAAUAAAACCAAACCCAUUUCGAAUACAUCACUUCCGAACAUCCAAUUACAUCAUCUCGUAGGCUUCAAAACUUCAAGAUCACUUCGGUCUUCAAAUCCGCGUAAUAUGAAAAAUUCAAGUUCGAAUUUCCAUAUAAAACUUCUCCCCCUUUUUAUAAUCGAAAUUUGAUUAUAAAACUCCAAAGGAAAAAGAACGUGCUAUAUUCGGAAUUUUUCAUGUCAAAACUCCCCCUUAACAUGUGGCAUAAACUUUGAGCUUCAAUCCGGAAAACCCAAAAAAUAAUCAAUUUGUUUUUCCAUUGCUGUUCAUUGAUCUUGAAGCCCUUAACAUGUGGAAUUUUUCACGGAUCGCCUUUGACAAAAUUUCUCAAAAAUGGGUAGAAAUUGUCAAUUUCAAAAUUCUGCAGUGACCCGUUGCGCCCAAAACAGCAAAAUAUGCAAAACUCUCCCCCUUUUCCAAAUCUGGGUAGAAAGCGUCAAUUUGCACAAACUGCAGGGGCCUGAAAUGCACAAUCUUCAAAUUUUAGCAAAAAAUAGUCCUUUUUCGAUUUUGGGUGAAAACUGCCAAAAAUUCGAAGUCUGAGGGACCAUUUUCGAAAUUCUGCUCUUUGUUCACAAUUCAUACGAAGAUUCCGCAAAUAUUCGAAGCUCCAAAUUUUUUUUUGAAAUCGGGUGAAAAGUGUCAAAUAUUCAGAAAUUGUGUUAAUGUUCGAAGUGCCAAAAAUUCGAAGGAUCAGGGGCCGUUUUCGAAAACUUGCCAUUUCAUCAAAUCAUACGAAGCCUUUUUCCAUUUGUCAACUAUUCAAAACAAUAAGGGCCAUUUUCAAAAAUUCUAUCUUCCUUCUUUUUAAUUCAUAUGAAGACUUUUUGACAAAACAUAUCAAGCAUACGAAGAGUGACUGUGAACAGUAAUGCACAAUGAUACCCUUCGUAUGUUAACCCAGUUCUUCGUUUUUUUUUUCAUCUAUUACCCUUCGCCUUUUGCAAUCCAUUCAUAUACCCUUCGUUCCAAAAUCAUCAAAAUCAAUAGAUCCUUCGUUCAAACACCCUUCGUAUGAAUCUUUUAACAUCUCUUCGUACAAAUCCAAGUUUUUCCCAAACCAACACCAACUUAGUCUUCGAAAAUUAGUAACCCAAACCAAUUCUUCGCUUUUUGGUGUAAACCAUCUGUUCUUACAGUUCUUCUUCACUUCGUACAUCAAUCACCAAAAACCAAUCCUUCGUUCAUUAACCAUGUAAUGCCCUGUCGUCCAAAUUGAUUUCAUUAAAAUCCAAAUAGGCUUCGCUUUUCCAGUUGAUGCCAAUGAACAAACGUGAUCAACCAUUUGAUUUUACAGUUCACUCUUCGAAUCUUAACCCAAAUCGAUCAUUAACCCUUCGUUUUUUCAGUUUAUCCCAAAACUGAUUCCACUACUUUCAUUCUUCACUUUUCAGUUUAACCCAAAACGAACGAAAUCGUUUCUUUGUUCCUUACAGUUCUUCCCAAACUCAUCGACAUCAAGAACAAACACAUCUAUUCGUUCACUACUUCAAUCGAUAUCAACUUAAUCAACACAAAUCAAGCUUGCAAAAUCACAGAAUGAACGGAAUCAACAAACCAAACUUGAUUAUCAACCAUACGAAAUCAAAAUCAUCAGACUUCUCUAUUUAUGUAAACUCGAUUUUGACUUUUUGGUUGACCCUGACAAACAACAAAACUAUUGAUCUUUAAUCCAAUUUUGGAUCAAACACCCAUUUUUAACAUAAAUCGUAACAUUCUUCAACUGUUCUUCAUCGAGUUCUUGACCGAUUUUAUCAAAAUCAAAAACUAAAUUGUUGACUUCUCAACUACAACUCGAUCAUAAUCGACUGAUAAUUAUCCAAAUCAGAUUCAGUCAAUUCAUAAGUUCAGAAUCGCAAAUCGUUGAUCAACUUUCAUAAGCGAAAAAGAAAACUCAAGAACAUUAUGAUUACAAGUCAAAAUAUGUUUGAGCUGAUUACAAGAACAUUAUGGUACAACCGAUAAAAGCGUACGUACAUAUCAAACAAAGAACAACGAAUUUUAGAAUUAAAUCACAUUGGAUGAAUUUUGGGUUCCAUCAAAGAUAUCGGAUAAAAAAAUAUGUAUGGGCUCAAAUUUAAACAUGAACAGUGACAGAUUCGUACAUUGGAUCAUAAACGAACAAAAUAUUGGGCUGUUGAUAACCACACAUAUCGAAAUUAUCAAAUAAGAGUAUGAAUUGGGCUCCAAGUUCAUUUAUGAACAGUAAGAUGUCAAAAUUUUUGGCUAAAUCAAAAUAAAUGGAUCAUAAUGAAUUUUGAGCUCAAAUCUCGAUUCAAACGAACAACUGUAAAAUCGAGUCGAACAAACAAAUAUGAGAUUGGAUCGGACUUUGAUCAACGAAAAAAUUAUUGGAUCAUAACAAAUGGGUUUUCAAAGAACAUUUGAUCCAAUGAGUCAAACGAUCAAAAAUUAAGAACGCAACGCACGAUUCAAAGAGAUUAAGAGAGAUCAUAGAGAGAGACUCACCAAAAUUGAUCAAAUUACGACAAAAUUUGCCAAACCGGGAAUCAUUCUUCAAAUAUCACCUUGAUCUUGAAGACCCGCUCUGAUACCAAUUGUUGUGACAAAAAUACUACAAGUUCUCCCCCACUUGGGGUUCGAACCCCCACCCGCUAUCCCUCAUAGUCGAUCAUGGCGCCAAAACGGCUAAGCCAAUCCAUCCCUACAAUCCCAUAUACAUCCCCCAUGGGGAUAGGAAUCAAAUCUAUCGGGAAUGACACCCCGAAAAUCUCCAACUCGCAUCCCCGGUAGACCGAAGAAAUAGAAACCCCGUGCUCUUUGGCGAUCGAAACUCGCAACGGGCACUCAAGAUCAUCCAUCGGCACACUAAACCCUCUAGUGAAAGUCUGAGAUACGAAUGACCGACUGGCCCCCGAGUCAAACAAAACCAAAGCAGGCAAAGAAUUUACUAAAAACGUACAUAAUCAUAGGUACAACCAAUAAGUACAACACAAAUACGAUAACUGAGACAGAGAAUAGAAACGUACCAGCAACCAUAUCCGGUGCUGACUUGGCCUCCUUGGUCGUGAGCUGGAAGGCACGACCCUGAGCCUUCGGAGGCUCCAACUUAACUGGCCUCCCGUCUCAAAUCAUUACAGUAGCUGGCACAGAACCCUGCACCGACUUCGCGGCGAGCUGCGGACAACUGGUCUUCACAUGACCAACCUGAUGACAAUGGUAACAAAUCCUCAUAUCUGUGGGAGGGGCGGGCUGAUGGUAGCCCUGGCAUAGUGCCCCUCCUUUCCACAUUUGUGGCACCCACUUCCUGCUCUACAAGUUCCCGAAUGAACCCUGCCACACUUUCCACAAGUGCGGCUCUGCUGACCCACACCGUGUAUCAGCGGUCUUAGCCCGCUUAGGCGCCGGCUGAGACUGUGCCGGUGCCUGACGCUGCUCCUUCAGCUGCUGCUCUAUCUCAACUCACGCUGCCUCGCGGCUUCCUGAAGGUCCCGGAGGGUAUCACAACGCUGUGUAGCCACAAACUGCCAUAUAUCCAUCUUAAGCAUACUCAGAUAACGAGUCAUCUGAGACUGUUCUGACGCAAACUCUGGGCAAAACAUAGCCCUCUCAGUGAACAUCCGGGUGAUCUCCAUCACCGACUCCCCAUCUUGUCUCAAUGUCAAAAACUCCUGAGCAAGCCACUCCCAUUCCACGCGCGGAACGUAGCGGGUGCAAAACAUAUCCCGGAACUGCUCCCAAGUAAUAGCAUCCCACUAAUCAUCAGAAUAUGAACCUGUCUUCAAUCUCCACUAGUCCUUUGCCCCGAGCCUAAGCAGUUUCAGAGCACACCUGACCUUCUGGUCAGCAGGACAUGAGCACGUGAAGAAACAGCCCUCCACGUCAGACAACCACCACAUAGCCCUGAUCGCAUCCUGUGUACCAUCAAAUGUCGGGGGCUUCGUAUUAUCGAAGUCCCGAUACUGGAAAGCCCUGCCGGCUCCUCCUCCAACCCCUGCCGCAGUUACAGCCUAAGUGGCUGCAACGACAGCUAUCUCUGCUAGAGCUGCAUAUCGCUCAACAAAAUACUCAACCAUUGCGGUCUUAAUCGACCCAAACAUCUCUGGCAGCUGUGCUCGGAACAUAGCAACAAUCUUGUCUUGCAUGAUCUCCCGGAUCCUGGCAUCCAACUCCUUGGUCCCUAUUUGUACCACGGGCUUAGGUGCUACCGGCACCUCCAACCCUCAGUCUCCCGACCCCGAUCCUGAUCUUGAUCCAGAAGCAACACGUCUCGUCACCACCAUACUGAAAUAUAUAUACAAGUCAUCAAAUAAAUAACAUAAUGUCGGGAGACCAAAACCCACAAACCCUAGGGGGUGUGAUUUCCUUGCUAAGCAUAUGGGUCCUGUGCUUUAAGUAGUACGGGCCCAUACUACCUUCCACACCUACCCAUAUUUGUCUCAAGUAACACCACAACGCCCUAACAAUAUUAUCAACAUAGAAAUGCGCUCAACCCUCACUUCUAGGGGAAUACCAACUAUCUCGCACCUAGUCUCACCACUUAUCAUGACUCACACAUCCAUGAAACUUCCAUCAUCCCCUGCCGCGCCAGUGCAUGCUAGCUGUACGUAACACUGGAACCAAUAGACUUUCGAAUAUCCAAUCCAACCCAAAGGUCGAAUCAACAUUUUCAGGCUAUAAGGUCUUUAUUAUGAACAACCGUGAUGCAUACACUAAAAAUCUACAGUUAUGAUGUCAAUUCCACAUACAAGAAACCCUAGGCUAAUAGGCAUCAUGUAACUAGGCAAAUCUAUCAUGUGAUUCCUGAAGAUCCCUAGCCUAGCACUAGCAUGCUGUUCUAACAUAUCAUAAUAUCAAAUAACUAUAUGGUAUUUUGGGGUUUACUUACAGGCUCCGGCUGAUCGUACCCUCUACAUCCUCCAUCCUUUAUUUUGAAAACCAUUUCAAAAACUUACUUUCUGAAAAUCUCCUUGAUUUGAGACUGAAUUCACACGAGAGUUCCUCCAAUUCACUCAAACCAAGGCUUUGAUACCAACUUGUAACAUCCAUAAAUUUUACGCCAAAUUUAAACUUUUCAAUCAUAAAUAAAAACCAAAUAGCAUUGUUUACAAAAAUGUUUUCGAAUCAUUAUCCAUCAUAGUGUCACAAAAUCAUAACAUAAGGAUGAGGAGUGGUACGGUCACGCCUUCGCCACUACAAGAAAAAGACCCUUUUACGACGCGCAAGCAACGACACUCGGAGAUUUAUGUUACGCAAAAGAGAGUGACGUUAAAAAAAAUGUUAUCUCUUUAAAAAAUUUAAGAAUUUAGGUUGCACAUUAUUGCGUGCCCUUAAAUUAGUGUCUCAUGUAAAAAAAUUAAAAACACGAAGGGCACUUUAUCUAAAAGGUGCGCCGUCUAUGAAUGUCGUUUUAUAUUUUUUUAAGGAACGCGCUUCUCCUUAGAGGGAAAAUGAAAUCUCCAAAUUUUUUAAACCCCCACCUUCUUCUCCCUCGUCUCCACCCCCUAAUCGAAGCUACCAGUUGAACAACCCCUAAUCCACACCACCACCUUCUCGUCUCUCCUUCUCCACCAGGUUUUCUCUCAUCUCUAUCCUCCACCUUCUGGAUUGUAAAGGCGUCAUUUUAUAAUUCUUUUACCAAACGCACAUCCAUUAUCCUCAAUUACAAAAGGCGUCCAAAUCUAGGGGUUUUUUUUCAAGAAGAAACCAAACGGGAGUGCUCUCUUCAACAUUCGAUACCUCCGCUCGCCCCACCUGCUGGCGACCUUGGUUCUUAUAUCCUCCCAGUUUUUUGCGUUCUUCUUUCAGAAAUUUAAUCGAACAAGAUCUUGUGCCAGGCAGUUAAUCUAACGAUGGCGACAUUUUGAUUUUGAUCUCAAAAUACAUCAAAUACGAGCUUAUGUUGGAACUGAUUACCUAUAUAUCUUUUCCUUUAUGGGAUAAAUACAUCGAAUACGAGUAACAACAACAAUAGUGUUCCAAUCUUGCAUUGAUAUACACACACGGAUAUCGGAGCAUCCUAAUCAGCAAUUGGACCGCUAUUAUAACAGGUGAUAUACAAUUUUUUACGUAGAAGAGCCUCUAGCUUUUGUUAGGUCCAAAAUAAACUAAACAUGGUCAUACUCUUUCCUACAGUUUACAGCUUUAGGGAUUAAUAGCAAGUCGCCCUUUAUCUGAACUAAAAACCGCUGAGGAAGUUGCAGCUGCAACAAAUUCUAAAGACGAAGCCAAUAUUGAAGAAAAUGAAUGGGAAUUUCAUCCGGAUGCAGUGGAAAAACCUUCUAAACCUGUAAGUGAAGGCGUAAUAGAAGCUGAAGAGGUGGAGUCUUAUAUUGCCAUUAGAGAAGAGCUGUACAAGAAGGCUAAAGAAUUUGAUUCAAAGAUUAUUGAUUUUGGGACUGCUAUCAGAAGACCCUACUUGCAUAAGGUUUUUAACAUUUUUUUUGAUAAUGUAUACAGAGGCAACCGGAGAUUCACUUAUUCACUUGAUCUUACUUGUGAACUUUGAAUAUGUGUGGGUCCGAAGGGCUUCAUAUGGACGGAAAAGUGAUAUAGGAUAACGAAAGGAAUAUAACUGUUAACAGUUGAUCAAAAUCAAAAGAUACAAUUGGUAUUCUUUGUUUAGGUUUUGUUACUGCUUAAUAUAUAACUUCUGCAUGUUAAUUGCCACAGAGACGACAACCUUUAGGGUUUGCGUUAAGGUUGAUUGUUACAGAGAUAUGGAAACUUUAAUGAGAAAGCUUAACUGAAGAACUUAUAAAACGACUAGAGUAUAGAGUUUCCUUGGCUGAUGAAUGGAUUAUCUCUAAUUAUGUAGCAGGUACUCCACACUCAAACAAACACUGAUAUAGUUUCGUAGGCUUUCAAGUUUCAAUAUUGUAUUCCUAUUUAACAUACUGAGUCUACUCUUGCAAAAGUUGUGGCGAAUUUUUUUUUCUUCAUGCAACUGUAUCACAAAUAUAGCUAACUGGAAAUAUUAUUAUGAUUAGGUUAUCUAGUUCUUCAUUUAGACCUCUACUUGUAUUGCCUAGUUAAAAUAUAUAACUUUUAGCACUUUUUGUGUUUAUUUGGACUGAUUAGAUGUUACAUGGUUGAGAAUUUGGAACUGCUAUCACCUUUGUAUGGUUACCUUGGUUGUUCACGGUUGUUAUCUUCUAUACAGGUUUAAGAUACAAUCAAUCACCUAUUUACUAUGGGUGAUAGUGAAACAGUUGUUGCUCAAUCAUCAGCUAUCCAAGAGCAUCCAUCAACUACAGUUAAUAGAGAUUUGGCUGCUUCUACAGGUAUCGAUACCAUGGAUGUAGACAAUGUCAUUCCUCAUGAGGAUGAUCGAGCAUCCAUCCAGGUAGUAUCUUACUGCUGCUAUAGCAACCCCCUAUGUUCUUUAGAGUUCUUGGGCAUAAACUUCCUCUUUUUGGUUCAUAUGGUGGCUUUUUUAUAUAUAUUAGUAGAAAACCAUGUUACACAUCACCCAAAAAACAAAAUGAAAAGAAACUGAACAAAAAACUAUGAGUUUUGAUUUAUGUUAUAGAUAAUAACGGGCAUUUGAUUACUUAAUAGUUUUUAGAAUCAGUCGGGAGUCUUUCCAAGAAUUCAGAAAGUUUUCAAGAAUCAAAAGCUACAGAGUCUUCUUUGCACUUUUUGAAUAGCAACUAGCAAAUCCCUUCUAUCUUAAUGUUCUUUAUAUAACUUAUUUGCUGCAUGAAAUCUUUUCUUAAUGCAUAAGAAUUUCAUGCUUUCAGACUUUACUUACAUGGUUGCUUUUUAUAUCAGGCAUCACCCGAACAUUGUUCUAUUGCUUUUUAUCAAGAGGGGUAAGAACUAAGAAUUACUUUCUUAUUUUAUCUUUUUCUGUUAUUUUUUCAAUCUGAUAAUUUAUAUAUAUUUAAAAUGACUUGUGAUAUUAAUUUGUCCAAUAACUUUUGAUGAGCAUGUGCGUAGGGGUAAAACGGGAAGAGGAAAUGCUCGGGAGAUGGGCUUUGAGAGUUUCCUUGACUUUGUUCUAGCCCUGGAAAACAAAGACACUCCAGAGGGAAUUACAUAUCUUUAAUGAUGUUUAGAUCUUAAUGGAAGAGGCUUCUUUACAACAGCUGAUAUUCACACCCUUUUCAGGUAUAACUAAUUAUUAUUAGGAAAUAGGAAAUUGAAAAUUGGAAGUAAAGGAGGGGAGCAUUUAAAGUUUAAAUGUUGCCUGAUAUACCCUUCCUACAACAAAAAAUAAAAAUGAAAAAUCUCUGCUUUUCCUACUUGUUGCACGCGAGACACGUCUGCAAGCCUCUUGACUAUGAGAUACAUAUUUUCACCAUAUAUUAGUAAUAAAAAAAUAAAAAAAUGAUUUGAUAAUUGAUUGGUACACUACACUACAGGGAUGUGCACCAAAAUUAAAUUUAUUUACUAUUAGUGGAAUUCAAGAUAUGUACAGGAGUGUUUGUUGCCUUUAUAAUUGGUACAAUGCUAACAUGGAGGACCUUGGCAUUGACAGGUUUUAAAUUAGUCUAAAUUAUAUUUAUUUACUACUAGUGGCAUUCUUAUGGAUAAAGAAAAUAAAAGGUGAUGAAUUCUAGUGUUCUGUUUGCAGGAUUAAUCCCUUGUGCUGUUCUAUUAGUGGGACUUUUCUUUGUACCAGAAUCUCCUAGAUGGCUGGUAUGUGAAGUAUCAUGAUUCAUGAAGCUGUUUAAUUUAUCUUCAAGAAAUUAUGUUUGACAUCAUGCAUGCAGGCAAAGAUUGGAAGAAAGAAAGAGUUUGAUGCAGCCCUAAGAAAACUUAGAGGGAAGGAUGCUGAUAUAUCUGAGGAGGCGGAUGAAAUCCAGGUGUUCAUUUCAAAGCUCUCAACUUUUUUUCUUAUUUUUGUUAACGAAUAAAAAUUAUAGAAUUCUUUUUAUGUGUUAUCAAUGGGGUCUUGAAUAUGUUGAUAGGAUUAUAUAGAAACACUACAAAAGCUCCCGAAGGCCAAAAUAUUCGAUUUGUUUUAGAGAAGAUAUUUGCGAUCUGUCACUGUAAGUUUAUUUUCUUGAUAACUCUUGUUGGCUACUUUAAAAAAAAGAUUUUUAUAAUUGUAGUCCGAAUCUUGUUUUGACCAUACAUGGUACUUUUUUUUUUUUUCUGUAAUUGUAGUCUGAAUCUUGUUGGCUACUUUAAAAAAAGAUUUUUCUAACUUGCUCCUGGACGUGAUUGUGCUAUUGAGUUUGAUCUUGGAAGUGGAAGCUAUAAUGUAACUUGCUAUUGCUCAUACAACUUUUGUUGGAAUGUGAGUAUCAUAAUUCAUGCAUUUUUAUAAAAGUUUAAAAUAUUAGUUUAUGUUUUUUCUAUAUAAAAGAUAAAAUAUUUUUGUUGCUAUUGUUGUAGUGUACAAAAGAAACUCAUCGCCUUGUGGACUGUGAAACUGUGUCCAAAUGGAUUAUGAAGAAAAGUGCAGAGUCUGAAAAUAUGAAUUGGUAAAGGUCUAAAUUGCCCCUUGGCAGGUAUGCUGAUCGAAUUGCUAAUGCUAAAUGGGAAGUUAAAGAACAUGGAAUGGAACGCAAAGGUGAUUAUUUUUAAUUUUAGCACCAAAUAUUUUAAAAUAUCAUUUUUUUUAUGUUAAAUCAUAACUAUAACUCAAGGUGCUAUAUCUUUUAUCUGUUGUUUGUAAUGUUGAUAUGAUAACAUUAGUUAAUAACAUAUUUAUAUAACAACUCUAUCAGUUAGCUAAAACUGAUUAUGUCAUUAAUAUAUUAAAUUUCAUAAUUAUUAUUUAUUACAUUAAUGCUUUUAAUAUGUUCUUUAGUUGCUUACACCAUCAGUUCUCAAUGGUCGAUUAGUUAAUGCCCACCAACAUCUCCUAGCACUAAGGAUAUCAGAUUAUCUUGGAAUACACCAAGUUCUGUGAUAUUUUCAAUACCAAUCAUAAGGAGGAAUUACAAUAUGGUGUUAUGGAAGGAGUCAAUCUCUUAGGGAAGUAAUGGAGCCAAAAGAAGGUAGUCUACUCUAGGUGCAGUUUGUUAUUAUUCUAUUGGUGAUUUGAAGCAUGGAGUUGAUUCCUCCUGCAAGUGAAGUUACUUAGUUGGAAUUUGAUGUACAUAGUAGAUUAGAUGCAAAUUUAUUUAUUGUAAGAAAUAGAAUUGUAUGACAUUAAAUUUAAGCAAUGGAUUCUAUUUUUUGUAUAUAAUAUUUUAUUUUCAGUUAUGAAACAUUAAAUACAAAUUUAAUUAGAAAAUAAGUAAACCUAUAAAGAUUUUUUUUAAACAUUUAAAAUUAUGAUACGCAAAAAUGUGUGUCAUCUUCAUUUAUGACAUGGCCUUUCUUGACAGGGGCUUUCUUAAUACGCAUUACGUGUCAUUAACACGCGCGGCGUAAGGUUACGACACGCGAAUGCGUGUCAUCUUCCUUUAUGACAGGGUCUUCCUUGAUACGCAUUGCGUGUCGUAAACGCACGUCGUAAUUGCGCGUCGUAAAUGAGCGUCGUAAAUGCGCGUCGUCUAUAAACGACGCGCAAAAGCGCGUCGUCUCUCUUUAUGACAGGGCCUUCCUUGACACGCAUUUGCGCGUCGUCUGAGCCUUUUACGACGCGCAAUGAGCGUCGUAAAAGGCUGUUUUUCUAGUAGUGCGCCCUAGCGGCAUAUCACACACACUCUUGUUUCCGCAGUUAUGAGUUCAUUAUGGGAUUGAUACUUUGAUAUUUUGGUUGUUUACAUGUUGUGGAUUUCAAAUUUGGGUUUUCGAUGUGAAAUGGUUUAAUUGAACAAUGUUUUNGGCCAUCGGCCUGACUGGACCGCCCUGCGGGGCCUACAGUCUAUCUGGAUCUAUCCCGAGCCUUCGGCAUGACUGGUUCGCCACGUGGGCCUACAGUCUCCCCGGACCGCUCAUAGGGUGUGUGGGCCUUCAACACAAAACAGGAUCGCCUCAACCCAACCAAAAACAAAUAACUAUGUGCGCAUAACUAUCAUAUACUGGCAUAUACAAACAUCAAGCAUAUCUAUCACUGGUCAUCAAUCAUAGAAUUCUCUCAUAACUAGAGUACCGUCCUAGCAGGUCACUAACAUACCAAUCCCUACGGAUCAUAAGAGCAUAGCAUACUGUCUACCCUGAUUCCGAUCUAACAGAUCAUAACCACAUAUAGCAUACCAUAACAAUAACAACUAAAGGGUCGGCCUUGGUGCCGUAGACCCUAUCGAUAUAGUGAGGGUAACUCACCUCAGAGAUGUCGACUCGGAAAGUAAACUCCAACUCCCGGAUCACUUGACACAAGCCCCACUACCUAUAGCACAAUAUACUCGUAAGUCCUUAACCUUAUAAGGUACUCCAUAACCUACUAGUCAACCCCUGAUCAAAGUCAAAGUCCUUAGUCAAGGUCAACAAUCCAUGUUGACCUCGACUCGUCGAGUUCCUUGAAACACAUUCCAACUCGCCGAGUCAUCAGGGUGACUCGUCGAGUUCCUUUGAUUCUCGAUGAAACUUUAAGGCCACCCGUCGAGUUCCCUCCUUGCAACUUGACGAAUACACACGCAUACAUAUCCAGGAGAAAACUCAUCCGCCUCGCCGAGUUGUUCUUCAACUCGUCGAGUCUAUGGAAAUCAUCAUCGGACUCUCCGAGUUGUUCAUCCAACUCGUCGAGUUCACAACCAUCUUUAUGUGACUCGCCGAGUCCAUUCAGUCCUUUUCCCAUACAGACCUAUUUUGAGUCAUGCAACGGCUCCAACUCACAGAUCCAAGCUUCUAGGGCAUGCUCAAAAGGGACCUUAAUCACGAGGCGAUCCUGUUUUGUGUUGAAGGCCAAGUUUCUAGGGCAUGCUCAAUAGGGACCUAUUUUGAGUCAUGCAAACUUUACGUGCAUGCAUGGCUUUAUAGGCUCCAAAUGCCAAAUCUAAGCUCUUAAUGGGGCUUCAUGCUCAAUAGGGACCUUAAUCACGAUCAAAACUGUAACUUUAUGUUUCUAGAAUCCAAAGAGGGUCCGAUCUGAAGUUACAACUUCAAAUCUAGCCCAUAGCUCAUCAUACCAACUUGAUAUUCCAAGAAAACCCUAAAACUCAACCAAUAGAGGAAAUUUAUAAGGAAAAUGACGGUUUGGGUACGUCUGGAAGAUUAUAUCUGAGAUAAGUAUUGAUUUCCACACUCUAAAUGCUCCAAUCUCCUUCUCCUCCACGUCUUCUCCUUCCAAAGAUCCUCUUUUCAAGCUUCAAACACACACAAGGCACCACACACGAAUAAGGGAUCUCAAGGACUCUUUAGAACUGUAAAGAGGUCCAAGGGAGGCUAAGGCCCCUUUAAAUAGGGGUACAAACCCCGAGAUUUAGGUUUUCAUCUGCCUGCUCCUACUCGCCGAGUCCCAAUAUGGACUCGUCGAGUAGGUCACUUAACACGGGAUCCCACCCCCGCUGCUACUCGACGAGUAGGGCAACCUACUCGUCGGGUAGAGCUUAACCCAAUACAUCUUAUUUAAAACAAUACCUGAGAAUUGGGGCAUUACACAAUAACGCGUCCUUUAGAUAAGGGAUCAUGUAGUCCUCCAUUCUCAAGAUAUCGUGUGGACAAAGACAUGGAAUAAAGUCAUACUCAUUGUCUAAUAGUUUGUUUCCCGAUUUCUGAUUUGUUUGACAUAGAAAUUAAUUAAACACAUCAAUUUAUUCCUGACCGGGCCCAACACAUAAGUCAACACAAAAUCAUCGAGGGGCCCAAUAUAUCGCUUUUAAUCCUCUUAGGAUAAAAGGAAGAGAUAAUCUUUGACUUAUAUUCUUGUAGUAUUUACUUCUUAAAUCGUACAAAAUAAUACGUUUAAUAACAUCAAGUUAUUGAUGCGUUUACACACUAUCAAUGCACAACCAACUUGUAAACAAUAACUAAUAUAUCUCGGUUUAAAGACUAUGCUAUUAUCGUCUCACAAUCAUUCAUGAUAAAUUCCAUCAAGUGAUUCAUAUGAGCUUGGGUUUAAUCUAAUACUCAAAUAUUAUUUCAGGAGCACUCAUGAACAUUGCAACAAACCUUUGCUAUGUCCAAACACUUAUACAAUCUACAAACCAAUUCAUGAUAGUCUAACCUCAUAGCCUACUUCCAAAGUAUGAUCGACUGCGGAUAAUUCGAAUAAUCCUAUUAUUCUGGAAGUCAAAACAUGAAAAAGUGAAACAAUAGUAAACAAUUUACACAAGAUAGUAACUUUACUCAUAAAAAAAAACCUCUUUAUUUAAUCAUCAAAUGUCAAUUACAUUUUAUCUAUUACAAGUUUCUAAACAAUUAUCUAACCACUGAAACUAAUAUCAUCCUUUAGACCAAUGCUCCUCACAUGCUGUAAGUGCUUAACCCUGCUUAGACCCUUUGUGAGGGGAUCUACUGGAUUCUCCUCUGACGAUACCCUCUUGAACACGAGGAGUCCCUCCUCUACCUGAUGUUUGAAGAAGUGGUAUUUUCUGUCGAUGUGUAUGGAUCUACCAUGAUCCCUUGGUUCCUUGGUUAACGCAACUGCUCCUUCGUUAUCAUAGAAAAUUUCCAUAUGCUCCUUUAUGGCUGAUACAACUCCAAGGUCUCUGAUGAAGUUCUUCAACCAUAUUGCCUCCUUCGAUGCUUCGCUCGCUGCUAUGUACUCUGAUUUGCACAUUGAAUCAUCUACAGUCUCCUGCUUGGAACUUUUCCAAGUCACUGCUCCUCCAUUCAGGGUAAAUACCUAGCCCGACUGAGAGUGGAAGUUAUUUCUGUCGGUCUGAAAACUAGCAUCACUAUACCCUAUCACUCUCAAAUUUUCACUUCCACCAAUUACAAGGACCCAAUCCUUCGUCCUUCGUAGAUACUUAAGAAUGUUCUUUACUGUUAUCCAGUGAGCUCUACCAGGGUUCCUUUGAUAUUGACUAACCAUGCUCAAAGUAAAAGCCACAUCAAAACGAGUAGACGUCAUAGCGUACAUGAUCUAGCCAACGACAAAAGCAUAUGGUACUCGACUAAUUUCCACUAUCUCGGCAUCGGUACUCGAACUUUGAGUCUUACUCAAUUUUGUAUUGCCCUGGAUUGGUAACUCCCUUUCUUGGAAUUCUCCAUGCUAAAACACUUUAUCCAAGUAAGUACUUUGACUAAGUCCUAUUAGUCUCUUACUCGUAUUUCUCAAUAUCCUUAUCCCUAGAAUAUAAGCAACCUCUCUGAGGUCCUUCAUAGCGAAACACUUCCCAAGCCAGGGCUUAACCUCUUGCAAAGUUGGGAUGUCGUUUUCUAUGAGUAGUAUGUCAUCCACAUACAAUACCAAGAAGCUAACUAUACUCCUACUAGCUUUGACAUGCACGCAGGACUCAUCCUCGCUUCUUGAAAAACCAAACUCUUUGACUUUCUCAUCGAAACAAAGAUCCAUCUGCGAGAUGCUUGUUUCAAUCCAUAAAUGGAUUUCUCAAGCUUGCACACUUAGUUUCGGUACUUUGCAUCCACAAAACCCUCUGGCUAAUUCAUGUAAACAUCCUCAGCCAACUUUCCAUUAAGGAAAGCAAUUUUGACGUCCAUCUGCCAAAUUUCAUAAUCAUGAAACACAACUAUGACUAGCAUAACUCUUAUAGAAUUGAUGUUGGUCACUGGUGAGAAGGUGUCGUGAUAGUCAACUCCCGAAGUUUGAGUGAAACCCUUCGUAGCUAGUCGUGCCUUGAAUGUGUCCACUUUCCCAUCCGUGUCGGUCUUUUUCUUGAAGAUCCACUUACACCCGACCGUCUUACUACCUGUUAUAUUGUUAACCAAGUUCCUAACUUGAUUUUCAUACAUGGACUGAAUCUCGUUGUCCAUCGUCUCUUUCCAUUUUGCAUACUCUGGGCCUGCCAUGGCUCUCUUGUAGUUGUUAGGUUCAUCCAUAUUUAUUAGUGUACUAUCACUAAUAAACAUAUCACCUCAGCAGUUAUAUGGAAACCAUAUAACACGGGCGGAUCACUAACUCUAGUGGAACGUCUAAGAGGUAAGGACUCGUCGAGUCCCACUAUGGACUCGUCGAGUUCAUCUGUCAGGGGCCAGAAAUCGAUUAUUUUCAGCUUUGAACAAUUAACCAUGACAUCAAAUACAACAUAAAAACAGCCUAGGCUCUGAUACUACUGAUGGUUUUUGAGCACUACAACAUUCCUAUGGUGUACAUGCAACCCUAAUGCUUCGUAUCUAUGUUUUUUUCAAGUUAUAUAUGCAAAUCAAAUCAUCCAAAGCAUGAACCCUAACUAGCAUAAAAAUUUGGAAAUUUGUAACAUAAAACAUAGUUAGAAGAAUACUUUUUCCUUGUAGCUUGUUGAUCUUGACCUUCAUGAGCUUAGUGCCUUAAUUCUUGCACCUCGAUUGAGUCACAAACACCAAGUAGCAAGUUGGAAGAAUAUGAGAGAGGCUAGGAGGCUCAAAAUCGUCUAGGGUAUUCUCUUAGAAGCAAGUGGUUGAUUCCAAGGUGUCAUCGGGUCUUUAUAUAGAUGUGCAAUUAGGGUAUUUGAUUGAAACCCUCAUUCUCUGCUUAGGCCUUAAGUAAUCUAGUAGAUCCUUCCAGAAGGUCUCUUAUGGACAAAAUCUAUGUGGGCUAUAUAUAGGAUUUCAUCCAUCCCUUCUUAGGGAUCCACAAGCCCAAGUUUGCAACUAGCAUAUAAUUGCAAUAUCAGUCCCCAUAAUUUAAUCAGUCUCUUUUGAUCACAAAAAUAAUUCCAAAUCAAUUCCUGAUCAAUACUAAUUAAAUAAUAUGAUUUCUCAAUCAAUAUAUCAUUCUUAUAAUAUAUUAAUAAAUCAAAAUUAACCUCUUUCUCCAUAAUUCAUCCAGUCAAGUUGCUAUGGUGAAGGCAACCCAAAUGAACCAUGCUACUAUUAGGUCAAGUACAUACCAAUUAUAGUUAUGGGCUUAGACACCUAAUCCAACACGGGCUCCUUAGAGCUUUCAGGUCUCUCCUUGUCUCGGGUACAAGUCUUGUGCUUUUAGUAGUACGGGCCCAAUACUACCUUCCACACCUACCUGUACAUUCCCCCAAGGCCAUACCUGAUACCUCUAAUUCACCAAAACAUAGAUAAAACAUGACAUACGAAACACAACACAUAUCCUAGAAUCCUUGGGGAUUUCUCAAUCCUCAUAGAACCAGAAGUCUCAAUCAACACCGCAGGUUGCCUUAUGCAUGCAAGUUAUACAUACAUAUAAUCACAUAGACUGUCAAGUGAAGUUUCUACCCUAAGACCAAAAUGAAGCAAGGAACAAGAAGUAAGGAAGAAUCCAUCGUUCUAGGGCUAUGAAAUCCUACACGUAUACAACUUUGAAAGAAUACACUUAGCAAAUAACAAAGACAACAUCGAUUUCAAGCAUUAUAUUCAUAGCAUUGAAUUCUAGCUAGUAGGCUACAAGGCAUCACACAAAUCAGACAAUUCUCAUAACUCCUGAAGGUAUCCUUAGCCCUAUUCUAGCAUGCAUUUCACACAUUAACAUACUGGUUGUAAUUCAUAAGCUUGGUUAAAUUUUUGGAAACACUUACUUGAGCUUGGCCGAUUGCGUGCAUUGCACUCUCCCUUUUUACUUAAGAAAACCGGUUUAAGAAAAAAUUUACUUUUGUUUAUUUUUUAAAAAGGGUUACCAUUUCCUUAGUUUGAGUUCUGACACACCUUCGAGUGUGGCCGAAUUUCUCAAACCAAGGCUAUGAUAGCAACUUGUAACAAUCCAAAAAUCUAGAUAAAAAUUUUCAUUUUUUUAAAAAUAGAAAUUACAAUCAUAAUUUGUUUAUGAAAAUCCAUUACAUGAUUUCAUAUCAAAAUAUCAGAGUAUCGCUAUCGAUAAAUGAGGAAAUUCUUGGGAGUGAUGUUGCGCCAUCAAGCUGGUCCAUUCCCAUCAAUACCAGAAGUACCUAAAAACACCCAAAUAAACUAUAAGCAAAAUGUAACAUCCCAAAAAUACAGGCAAAAAAUUUCAUUUUUAAAUACAUUAUUAUAACACCAGCAGUAUAAUAAGACAUCCAUAAUAUCAUGUCAUGUCAAAACUAAAGUAGAAAUAAUCAAAACAUGUUAUAAUAAAACAAUAUCAAGGUGUAAUCUCAAAGAUCUCAUGUGCGGAAAACCAUAGCGUGAUGCACUGUGAUCAAGCCGACUCCUUUCCUUUAAAAACGAGUACCUGAAACCAAAACUGUAAACCGUAAGCAUGAAGCUUAGUGAGUUACCCCAUCAUACCACAUACCAUACAACAUACAUGCUACGAAGCAUAUCUGGGUGUUGACAUACCCCUUUGGUAACUUUAACCGAUAUCCGGGGACUGUUUCACCCCUAUCACUACCACAUAAUAACAUAGCAUAACAUAUAUAAAUAUACUGUCAUGCAUAUAUGGGUGCCCGACCUACCCCUUCGGUAUCUUUCAACCGGUAACCGGGAGCUAACCUCCCCAUCGGUAUCUUUCAACCGGUAACCGGGAGCUAACUACCCCUUCGGUAUCUUUCAACCGGUAACUGGGGACUAUUUCACCCCUACCACUACCACAUAAUAACACAACAUAAUGUACUGCAAGGCAUGCAUGGGUUCUGACGAUCCCUUCGGUAUCUUUCAACCGGUAUCCGGGGACUAAUAUUUCACCCCUAAUACUACUAACUCAUAUAACAUAGCAUCCUAGAACAUAGAGCAUAUCAGAUAGUUGUAAACUAGACAAUUAUCACAAAGACAAUCAUCUCAUACAUAGUCACCUACUAGUGGGUCAGCAUUGGUGCCUUAGACUGUCACACCCCAAAACCGAGAACGGCGGAAAUGUUCUGGGGCGGAGGACGUCAUGUAUAAUAUCAACAACAAUGUAAAGUAGUAAACAAGCAACAACAUCAUCCAUUGCAUUAAUAAAAUAAUUAUUAUACAAUUGUAUUCUGUCAAAUUUUGAUAAACACUAAAGCAUAAAUCAAAAUGAAAGAUAAGUCUUGAACAAGCUCCAUCUUCCUUUCUCCUUGCAUCGGUACCUGUCUAUGAUGACCUGAGGAUACAAGUAAUUUUGAAAGCGAGUAUCAGCUUUAAAGCUGGUGAGUUCAUAAGUAUAUAAGUGUCAUUGCCUUGUUUGUGAAAAGCUGUUAUGAAGGCCAUGAAAACCUUUAAAUGAAAAUGUUGAGGUAAGUAUGAAAUCCCUAGAAAAAACCCUUAUUUUCUAUAAGUAUGAAAUGUAGUCUUCUACUAAGACCCGAAUGUUCUGUACGUAUGAAGUGUAGUCUUCUACCAAGACCCGAAUGUUUUGUAAGUAUGAAGUGUAGUCUUCUACCAAGAACCGAAUGUUCUGUUUGUAAAAUGAUAGUUUUCCCUUUGUAUUGACUAGUACUAAAAGUGCUUAGUCUAACUCAUCGUCUAUGUGAAUGCAUCACAAAAUAAAGUAAACAGGAAAAUGUACUACUGUAAGUGUUGUCACUGGGUACUAGGACCAACACAGCCUAGGUAAAUAUUAUCCCGAGGUACUAGGGUUAACACUACCUAAAAAUAAAGUAAACAGGAAAAUGUACUACUGUAAGUGUUGUCACUGGGUACUAGGACCAACACAGCCUAGGUAAAUAUUAUCCCGAGGUACUAGGGUUAACACUACCUAAAAAUAAAGUAAACAGGAAAAUGUACUACUGUAAGUGUUGUCACUGGGUACUAGGACCAACACAGCCUAGGUAAAUAUUAUCCCGAGGUACUAGGGUUAACACUACCUAAAAAUAAAGUAAACAGGAAAAUGUACUACUGUAAGUGUUGUCACUGGGUACUAGGACCAACACAACAUCGCAUUAAGCGAAAUGUAUAACCUAAUGAACAUCCGAAGAUUGUCCAAUUGUCCUCUGUAGCAGCAGCAGGUGGGUGGAAGGGUUAGUCCCAAAUCGAUCUUCCUAAUAUAAGUAGUAACCUUAGACCUCCGUAGAUGGUCAUCGACCACUGGUGCUAAUCAGUGGGGUUCGGAAUGGUGAGUCCCGCCUAGAUAUCCCAUUGAACCGGGAUAGGAAAGAUAAUUUACACAGAAAGUACUAAUAAAUUAUCCUCUUAGUUCUAAGUACAAGUAUCCAGGUAAGUGAAUACAGGAUAAUGCACCUAUGUAAAAGUGUUCCUGUAUGGCAUUCAUGUAUGUGCGUCCAUGUAACAGGUAAGUAUAUGUGAACAUAUUCAUGUAUCAGGUAAGCAUCUGUAAGUACUCAUGUAUCAGGAAAUGUACUAGUAUAGACUCAUGAAUGAACUGACUCUUGUGUGAUUCUUUGUAAUAGAAAUAAUGUUUGAUAUCUUCAAAUUAUCCCUAUGAUAAUUUACUGUAAUAUAACUGGAUGAUCAUGUAGGUUUAUACACUCUUACUACUCAAGGGUGUGGGAAACUAAAUGAAAGAUGUAAACUAUAAACUCAAUACAUAUAUAAGAAUAUAAGUGUAUAUGCAUAGUUUAGUUCAAGAAUGUAAAAAUGGUUUUGUAAGACCUCUUAUGGGUUUUGAACAAUAAUUAACAAUGACUUGAUGUCAUUUUAAUAAACAUUUCAAAGGUAAAACAUUUGGUAACAAUGUGUUUUUAAUAUGUAAAACCAUUUCAUGCAUCACAUUUUGUAGCAUGUGAAAUCCGUUAAAUGACAAACAUAGUUAUAAAAUGCAUAUCAAUGAUUCAAUAACAUGUAUGUUUCUACUUGUAUUCCCCCCAUUAAAGCAUUUAAAAUCAUUUAAAAUAUUGAUUAGGGGUAUGAACUCACUUGAUUGAAGUGGUUGAUUUGAAAUAGUCCAGAGAAGAAUCAAGCAGAACUUCGACAGGAAGAGCUGAAAACGCGGGAAAAUCUCAGGAUUCUCGGGAAUCUCGGGAAUCUCGAGAACACAAAACCUUCCUUCGGGACUUGAAGGUGAAAACCGGGGCUUUGGGAGGGUCUCGGGGGCUUAAACGCAGAGUUUCGGCGCGAGAAAGAAAGGAACUGAGCAAUGGAACUCGGAGCCCUUGAAAUCUAUUUAUAGGGGCAUUUUUGGGGUGUGCCACGUCGUGGCAAGUGAUGGCCACGUCGUGGGGAGUCAAACCUAUCCUCUUCCAUUGAUUGGACGCCCUCAGUCACUUGCCGGGUCGCGGCAAGCUUGUGCCACGUCGUGGGGCCUGACAGCAUCGGAUUUUGGGCCCCGAACUUGUAAAAUCCAUAACUUUCGCAUACGAGCUCCGUUUUCGACGUUCUUUAUAUGCACACAUAGCUAAAAAUAUGAUCUACAAAUCUCGUUUAGACUUCAAUUGCAAAUUUUGACUUUAUUUUUAAUUAUUUAUUUUUAACGGGUCGGGACACGAAAAGUCUGUUAAAAAUCCAUAACUUCUUCAUCCGGUGUCCGUUUUCGUCAGACUUUUCGCCGUUGCGCUACUAAUGUUGAGACCUUAGAUUCUCAUUUAGGUUGUUUUGGCACNUUUGGUCAAAAGUAUCUCGAGCUCUAUUUCGAGUUUUUAGCUGUCUACUGCUAUACUCGAAUCUUGGAAAAAUCAUAACUUUCUCAUACGAAGUCAGAUUUGGACGUUCUUUUUAUGUACGCUCACGGUUUGAGGUUAUCUAUAACUUUCAUUUAGAUACUUAAGGCUAAAAACUAUUGUAUUGAAACUUCGCGUUUUUCGUUUAAUCGGUGUUGUCGGUUUUGCCGAGAAUCUUCGGUUGGUCAUAACUUCUUCGUUAUAACUCGAAUUUUAGGGUUCUUUAUAUGUACUAAAACCUUGAUACGAUUCCUACUACUUUAUUUAACCCAAAUAAGAUUUUAGGAAAGUUAUAUUUUGACCUAAAUUUGAUUGGUUUUACAUUUCAUUGUCUCGAAAUAUCGGGUUGUCACAUAGACCCACCUCUACUGGAAGGUAAUUCACCUCGAAUGCAGAAGCUUCCUAAAGAAAUUCUUAUUGCUGCCCUGCCCACUUCCCGAGCUAUCAAUACCAAUCAAUAUACCAAAUUAGCAAUUGGUUCCCAUACCAAAAUCCUUAAUCCAUGCAUGGGAUAAAAUGACCAUUCUACCUAUGGCCCAGUAUGAUCCGGAAUUAUGGCCAUAACCCAAACAAAAGCCCAACACUAUAAUGUCCAUAAUACAAUCAAUGGCCCAAUUUUCUAAAUUGGGCCCAAACCUCUACGUGAGUCUUGCCAUGAGGCCCAAUCAUUCUUUCCAGUCCAAUACACCUCAUAUUCUGAUGGCCCAAUAAUAAUCCAAACAUUUAAACCCAAAAUGCUAAAACUCACUCAUGGCAUGGUCCAUGGACUAGUUUUCCAAAUUGGGCCCAAGACUUUAGUGGGCCUCUACAAAUAAAAUAUCAACCCCAAAACUGAUGGCCCAAUAGCGCCCAAAACAACAAGCCCAAAAGAUGGCCCAAACUGAAGCCUAAAAACCAAAGUCCCAUUCUGCUGAGUACGCGGGGCGUACUCAGCUUGUACGCUAAGCGUACUGGCUUAAGGGCUUGUACGCUACAUGUAGACGCUUGUACGGCCAGCGUACUCCUCCUGUUGACCAACUCUCAAUCCUAGCUCUUAAUCCAUUAAGCCAAGACGUCCAAAACCUCAAAAUGGCUUAAUAUAAGUGACUUGACCCGUAAAGUCGAAUGCUUUAAGCCUUUGCAUGGCUUAUUUAAUCCCAAACACUAAAGAUGAAUUCCAAAAGGUCAAAAUCACUCCCAAAAUGUCUUAGAACUUCUUAAUACCUUAAGACCUCAGUCCAAACUUCCAGAUCUGAUUUCAAGGGACUUCUUAAGUCAUAAAUUUUCCAACUUUAUGACUUAGCAUAACUCAAUGGGGCCUAAAUCUAAAACCUAAGUUCCAAACUUCAUUAAAUGAAUACCAAAUCAUGCAUGGAAGGUUUAUACCUCUCAAGAUCUAGACUUUAUGACUCCAUAACCUCAGUAAGGACCAAAUAAGAGGCUCAAAGGUUCUGGAGUAACUUCUACUCACAAGAACCACCUCAAAGGGACCAAAAAAACAUAACAACGUACCAUUUUGCUAGAUCUACAUGAAAAAGUUGUCAAUGUUGAGACUCUAUACCUUCAGAAGAUAGAUCUAGGUGCACAAAGCUUGGAUUCAAAAGCUCCAAGUCAAACAAUGACUCUUCAAGAAGUUCCUUCUUCCUCCUCUAGCACCAAAACACACCAAAAAUCACUUUGAAGCUCUAAAAUUACUCAAAUGGGGGCUAAGGGUCGAUUUCUAGGGUUUGGAGGGAUGGAGGAUGAAGGUAUUAGGGUUAGGUUAUGAGAUAAGGAGCUUAAAUAUGCUCCAAGACCCUAAAAUAGGGUUUUGAUCUAACUGGCGUACGCUCAACGUAAUUAUGGUACACCCGACGUACUCCAAAGAACAUUCGCGACCAUCCUGGUCAGUAUGUCCAGCGUACUCUAAGGUACGUCCAACGUAUUGCCUUCUUCACUAGUACGCCCUGCGUACUCUUUGUGUACGCCAUGCGUACUCGGCUAACCCUGAAAACCAUGAAACUUCUGAAGGCCAUAACUUCUUCGUUAUAAGCCCGAUUCCAAUGAUCCUUAUAUCCACGGAAAGGUGACGAGAAACUCUAUGCAUCCAUCAACUUAUUCUCACCUCAAAACCUUCUGAAAAAAAAAUCCAAAAUUUAUAAAGAUCUUCAACUACCACUUUACCGAUAUACCCCUUGGCUCCAAAACACGAACCGAACACCCGAAUCACUUAUAAUACAUCACCUGCACCCAAAUGGGCCUAGAUACUACCUUUUCAAAAGCCCUAAUACUUUUGAUGACCAGCCUUCAGGCCACAUCGUUAGACUAGAAGUCAAUCCGGAACAGGGCGUUACAUAAAAGCUUAGUGAGUUCCCAAAAUACAACAUAACAUAUAACCACAGAAUACCACGCUAUAUACAUAAGAUUGCCAUAGGAAACCCCUAUGGUCUUUACCUGGAAUGCCAUGGGCUACCCCCAUGGCCUGAUAUCCAAGUUCCAUGUGCUACCCCCUUGGUCUUUACUUGGAAUGCCAUGGGCUACCCCUAUGGUCUUCACACAAGUGCCACGGGCUACCCCUGGGGUCUUCAAAUAAUGAAUUCAUAACAACUAUCAAUGCACAUGUCAAACAAUGGGCCGAAAUUAGUGCCUUCGACCCAUUGAUAUAGUGAGAAGACUCACCUCAGACUGCUGAUAAAAAUACUACUCGGCUAUCGGUCCAGAUAUCUCACACUGAAUAUACACAAGUUAACCUAAUUAGAAUUAAGUCACAAACUCAAGGCAUAGGCCAAAACCCUAAUUACAAACUCCUCCAAUAAGGCCCAAAAGCCUUUCUCCUUUAAUGGGCCUAACAUCCAAGCUCCAAAACAAUUAUAGGCCAUAAGGCCCAAAAGGCCCAAACAUGCCACCUAUGGUCCAACAACAAGUUUAAAGGCCCAAAUACUCUAAUAGAUCCAGGCCCAAGGCUAAGUAGGGCCCAAAUGGAUCAAAGGCCCAACAAUAGCCUAAAACUCACUGGAAGCAUACGCCCAAUGUACAACAUAUAUACGCUUAGCGUACUGGGUUAUUUGGUGGUACACACAGUGUAAAAGCUAGUACGUCCAACGUACAAGCUGCUUUGCACAAAUAGCCAUUAAGUGCUUACUUCAUGAAGCCGCUUCGUCCGAUUCCAAAUCUUGGUCAUCAUAAAGGUUGUAGGGCAAAAAUUUUGUAACUUUAUGCCUUUGAAUGCCAUAUGGGAACCUAACACCUCGUUUUAUCCUUUAAGACUCCCUUUAAGAUCUUAAACUCAUGCAUGGUGUCAAAACAACCAUCAAGUUAACAUUUUUAUGGUUUUAACAUGCCAAAGGAACUCAAAUCAAACAUUUCUAACCUCUGGAGUUGCUCAAACUCACAAAAGAGGAUCCAUGGACCAAAAAUGGACUUAUUACCAAACCCUAACUCAAACUAGCGAAAGGAUAAGCAAGGUCUGGACUUUUUACCUCCAAAAGUUCCGCAAGAUGAAAUAGAUGCAGGAUCUAGAAGCUCAACCACGUAUAAGACUUGAUCACAACCUUCUCCUUCUUGCAAACACACUAAAAUAGCCACCAAAAUCACUUUUAAUAUCACGAAUCACACUCACUUGCAAAUUAAGGUUUAGGUAUGAUAAGAGGCAAUAGAAGUUGUUUAGGGUUAGGUCUAAAUGGCAUAAGAGUGUUAAAAUGGGGCUAAAAUUAGGAUUUUUGUCUUAGGCCACGUACGCCCCGCAUACAUUGUGCAUGUCCGAGUCCAAACCACCCUAAUAUGCUAAGCAUACACAUAUGUACACCCAACGUACGUAGGGACCUCCUUUGCAAAUAAGUUUCAUUCCAAGGGUUAAAAGGGUAACUUGCAUUCCGAAUGUUACAUAUAGAUAAUCAAAUACUUGAUUCUACCCUAAGCCCUUCAUCAACCAAGAACAUGAAAUAAAGCUAAACCAAAAAUUAUCAGGCUAUAGAAUCUUAAUUAUGUACAACUAUGAUGCAUACACUAAGCAGGUACAAUAAUGAUGUCAAUUCUAUAUAAGAAGUAAUCCUAGGGUAUCAAGCAUCAUAUAUGAGGAAAUUUUAUCACGUAAUUCCUGACGAUCCCUAGCCCACCGCUAGUAUGUUGUUGUAUCAUGAAUAACAUAUCAAAUAACAGUGUGGGUAACUUGAGGUAUGCUUUCUUACCGCGGCUGACCGUACACAUCACAUCAUGCAUUCCUUGGUUACUUUUGAAAACCAUUAAAAAAAACUUUUACAACUCCCUAGUUUGAGUUUGGAUUCACACGAAUGUUCAUCCAAUUCUCUCAAACCAAGGCUCUGAUACCAACUUGUAACACUCCUAAUAUCAUAGAAAAUUAAAAAUUUUAAAUUUCAACCAUUAACCAACAUUGUUUAUAAAAAGUGCUCAUUGCUUCAAAAGUAUUAUUCAAAAUCAUAGUUUUUCCCAAGACAUAAAAACACAAAACAGGAAGAUGUGCACGAUCACGCCUUUGCCUUCCCGCGAUUAUCAGAAGUACAUGAAAUAAUAAACUGAAAUUGUAUUUCAAAGCUUAGUGAGUUCCCCCAAAGUACCAUCAUGAAACAUAUAAAAUACAUAGAUUAACAUGAUGGGCCCACAACCUCCCAGUUGGAUUACCUUGGCCCACAACCUCCCUGUUGGAUUGCCCUGCAUACCAUAUACUGGGUCCAUAACCUCCCAACCGGGUUGACUUGGCUAGUUUGUGGAGUUUGACCUAUUUUGAGCCAAGUAUAUUUUGGAUAAUUUGGUAUUAAUUUAAGUUGGGAAAUAUUUUGGGAUAAUAGGUGUUGAGUAGAGCCGGGUGUCGGGGAAGACAUUUAUUCAGCUUGUGUUUAGACUGAGAGGUGAGUUUUCCUCACUAUACUUACAAGUCGAAGGCAUCAAGGCCGACCUAAUGGAUUGAUAUCCUGUUAGAUACUAAUUGAAGAUAUGUUGAGUAUGCGAUACAUCUGUAUGAUUAUAUGAUAGGUAUUGAUAUACAUUAGACUGGUAGAUCUGUAGGACUACAUGUGAUUAUUGGUUGUGUAAUCACCUGUUUGUUGUAUGUAUAUUAUCUAUUAUAUGUCGACAUGUUACUUUAGGGUUGAGAAUAUUGCUUUGUGCUGUCAUUCGACAGACCGUGACAAUCCAACCAGAAUGUUUUGGGCCAGAGUAAUCCAACAGGGAGGUUGUGGACACAACAUGCUAAUCUAUGUAUUUUAUAUGCUGCAUGAUGGUACUUUGGGGGAACUCACUAAGAUUUGACUUACAGUUUCAGUUUAUUGUUUUAGGUACUUUUGAUGAUCAUGGUACGAUGAAGGUGUGAUAACGCACAUCUUCCUAUUUUGUGUUAUUGUGUCUUGGGAAAAACUCUGAUUUUGAAGAAUACUUUUGAAGCAAUGACUCUUUUUUUAAACAAUGUUGGUUAGUGGUUGAAAUUUAAAUUUUUUAAAUUUCUAUGAUUUUUGUAAUGUUACAUUGGUUUGGCUUGUAACCGAUCUAAACCCCCCACAUACCCUUGUUAAUCAUAAAAGAAGAAUCCAUUUAGAACUAACUAUGUUCAAAAAUAAGAACCAUAGUGUGUUAAAUAUUCAUUACCUCAAAUGUAGGGAUCUUUUGAUGUCGAAGAACAUUAGUUAAGAUAAAUUAAAAAGGAUAUUCAACUAAACCAAAGGUCUUUUGGCCUAGCACUAUCAUAUGUUGGAAAUGUGACCCUUCCUAAUAUCAGAAAAACGUGUUAUUUCGAUUGCUUGGAUUACACUGAAAGUCAUGAUACACUUACGUAUUAAAGUAUUUCGAUGGUACAAUCAAAAUUUAAAUUGGAUAAAAUUCUGUGAGAACAACAGAGAAUGAAAAUGUUAUGAUUCUUGUGUGUACCAGAUUCAAAUGACCAAAAAGGGAUAUGACUCCUUGUCCGAAAAUUGUCAUAUUUCCAGUUACAAACUGCCACAAAACCAUCACUAAACUGACUUAGUCGGCUUAACAAACAAGAACUACAUAUUUAACAUACAAAGAAAAGCUAACAAGUCUCCUGAUACUUGUAAAAAUCAAAUGAUGUAAAAAAAUUAGAUAUCAAAAAAUCUAGUAUUAACAUAGAUUUAAUUAAACUUAUAGAUUAUCUGUUUAUAUAUCAUGGAAAUUUAUUCCCAAGGUCAUCCUUAACUCGUUAACAAGUUUUGGGUGUAACGAUAUAACAAUAUCUAAUCAUUACUCCUCUGAUAAAAUUUUGGAUUCUGUGGUCUAUAGGUUGCAUUUUUUGUUGCUAAUAGGAGUAGAAAAGCUAAAAUCAUUUGGGUCGAUUGGAUUCAUAAUCCUACUUCAACUUGCACUCUUAUGUAAUGUUUUUUUUCCUAGCUUACUGCUAGUUUUUAUAAAAUUUUAUCUUGUUCCGAAAAAACUCCUCUUAUAUAUUGGUCAACUUUGAGAUACAAUUAAAAAGGUUCUCUUGCCACAUCACACGCCAUCCACCCCAACGACCACCACACAAUAAUAUCGAUUUGGUAUAGACCAACAACUAUCUCUUUCCUCAUCUCCCUCAAAUCGGUCUUCAUUUCCUUUCUUUUCAGUUUGCUUUUUAAUAUUCAUACAUAGAGACUCAUUUUUGAGAAGUUAAGACACAUAAAUGUGUUUAAUAUUGGAAUCCCACAUGACAAAGUAGCAUCUAGGGAUGUCAAUGGGGGCAAACGGGACGGGGGUUGCAUUCCCCACCCCCACCCCCAAAANNNNNNNNNNNNNNNNNNNNNNNNNNNNNNNNNNNNNNNNNNNNNNNNNNNNNNNGCCCCCGAUUGAUUUUGGGCUACCUUAUUUGCACUAAAAGAAGUUCUUGUUUGGACUAAUAGAAACUAUAUUUUGGGUUAUAAAUAGAUAUUUAUAACAUAAUUUUACAUGUACAAACAACUUAAAACAUGUUUUAUUUUGAAGUUUUGUAUGCAAAAAUCUUUUUAUUGUUUAUUAUAUUUAUAUAAUUAAUAUAUGUCAAUUUAUAUAAUUUAUUAACGGGGCUCCCAUGGGGGUUUCGGGACGGGACUACCAACCCCUGCCCCAGCCCUUGAAAUUAAAACGGGGGUUAACCUUGCCCCUGCCCCCGUCCCCGAUUAUUUUCAACAAAUGCCCCCAUACAAGAUGGGGUCCCCGCGGGAUCGGGGUCCUACGGGACUUUUUGACAUCCAUCGUUAAGUAAAGAAUGUUUGUGACGAUGUAACUUCCUCUUGAUAUACAUAUCUUUUAUUAGAGACCGACCGAUGUCAUCCUUUAACACUGUAAAUUUUCAAACAAAGUUUUCAUUUUAAAACACAAUAAAACACAUGUCACAUUCCUUUCAAAAAUCACAAGUAUCAAUUUAUCAAUACAUUUUAAAAGUUGUUUAUCGCAAAUCCAGAUCCUCAAACAUAACUCUUUUCUCUUGUGUGUACAAUCAAACCGGUGCCUUAUCGUGAUCCUGAUAAGAACCUGAAACACAUAACACAUAACAUGGUAAGCAAGAAGCUUAGUGAGUUCCCCAAAACACCACAUACAGCUCAUUAGCCACUCGAGGCUAUAACACAGUAAGACCCUCCGGUCAAUGUAUCUCAGUGGGAUCCUCCGGUCCCAAACUCUGAUGGACCCUUCGGCCGAAUAGAAUUUUCCACCCGCGUCCAAGAUUCACAUAUACUCGACGAGUUUGGGGACUCCAACUCGUCGAGUCCCAAUGCAAAAAUGCAAAAAUUCAUAUGUAUAAUACGUAUCGGGAACCGGGCGUUAGAUAUUGGUUGUAUAAUCAUUUGUCUGCUGUAUGUAUAUUAUCUGAUAUAUGUCAACAUGUUACAUUAGGGUUGAGACUACUGCUUUGUGCUAUCAGUCAACAGAGAGUGGCAAUCCAAGCAGGAUGUUAUGGGCCAGGGUAAUCCAACCGGGAGGUUGUGGACACAACAUGCUAAUCUAUGUAUUUUAUAUGUUGCAUGAUGGUACUUUGGGAUCACUCACUAAGCUUUAGCUUAUAGGUUCAGUUUAUUGUUUCAGGUACUUCUGAUGAUCGCGGUAUGACGAAGGUAUAAUCAUGCACAUCUUCCUGCGUUGUGUUAUUGGGUCUUAGGAAAAACUCUAAUUUGAAUAAUACUUUUGAAGCAAUGACUUUUUUAAACAAUGUUGGUUAAUGGUUGAAAUUUAAUUUUUUAAAUUUCUAUGAUUUUUGGAGUGUUACAUUGGUUUUGGUUUAUAACCGAUCUAAACCCCCACACACGCUUGUUAAUCAUCAAAGAAGAAUCUAAUUAGGACUAACUGUGUUCAACAAUAACAACCAUAGGGUGUUAUAAAUCCAUUACCUCAAAUGUAGGAAUCUUUUAAUAUCGAAGAACGUUAAUCAAGAUAAAUUAAUAAUGAUCGUAACAUCCUGUUUAUUAAAUAAAUAAAUAGAUAAAAAUUUGAUGAAAGAAUAGUCGCCCUAAAUUCAUAUUAUUUAGUGGGGCGCUGGUUUUGGGGAGCCGAAUGGUAUAAUUUGGAUUAUUCGGAGGUUAAAAGUGUAAGUUCUAGAUUUAAUUUGAAAAUGAUUUUAGAAGUCAUGGUGUGUUUAGUAAUUAAUGGACUUAAAUAGAAAGGAUUUGAUGGCUUAAGGGGGUGAUUGGUAAUUUCGGGACCUAUUAUGAAACGACUUUCAGAGAGAGGGGUUAAAGGGGUAAAUUUCUGAUUCAUUUUGAAAAGAUUAAUAGAGGGAAGGCUACUGUUGUUAUUAUGGGGAGAAGUUUUAUGGGGAUUGGGGUAUAAGACCUGUCAGCCCGGUAAACCCUAAACCUAGCCAUGUGUCCCAGCCGCCGCCACCUUAUACCCCCCCCCCNNNNNNNNNNNNNNNNNNNNNNNNNNNNNNNCUCCGGCGCCGCCGCCAUCAUCCCGUUUCCGAUCAGCGAGCUGCCGAGAAGCUACUCCAUUGGACUUCUGCCACUCUUCUCUUAUCCUUCUUCAGUCGUUGCCAUGUGAGGCCUCAUCCACCACCCGCUACUUCAUCGUUGGAGUGCUACCACCACUGUCGGUGCACCAUUGUUGUCGCUGCUGUUGAGGCCAAGGAUGAAGACGGAUGUUGGGACGUCGGGAAUGAAGAAGAACAAGCCACAAGUCGCUGUAACGUUGGUUGUAGCGCUGCUGCUCCGCCACUGCCCAUUUCCGUUAAAGACAAGGUCGUCACUUGUUUCUCGUGGAUGGCUUAGUCGGAGGUGUCGUUCGUUUCCGUGUGGUGCUGUUCCUCCGUGAGCUGCUGCACUGGUGGUGCUGCCACUGUUGCCGUUAGUGUUGCUGCCACUCUCUACCGUUGUCGCCGUACGCCACCAGGUGGGUGGCAGGGUUCUUUUGCGAAUGAAAACAGUUUGUUUGUGUGUGUGUGUUGUAUGUGGUGAUGUUUGGCCUGAAUUAACGAGAACAAUCACCACCACCUUCGUGAGGUGGUAGCUGCCACCAUGUACCACCACCGGCCACCACAAGGGUGGAUGUGUAUGUGUGUGUAUUGGCAUUUAUGUUGUAAAUUGUAAUUAGUGCUAGUGUAAUCAAAAGAAAAACUCAAAACCACCACCGUGAGGUGGUGGCUGCCGCCACCAGUCGCCGUGUUGGAUGGCGGUGUGCUCUGUUUAUAUUUAGACUUUGUUUGGGUUGGACAAAAUAGACUAGACCCAUAACCACCACCGUGAGGUGGUGGCCGCCGCCGUGAGCCGUCGUUGACCACCACUACACGAGGUGGUAGUGGGUGGUGCCUGACUUAGGAACACCCUAAUUGUCUUAAUGAAACCUUAAUGGGCCUAAGGACUUAGCUUUUGGGCUUAAUUGGAUUGUAAUGGGUUGGAAACCCUAAUUAGGGUUUAGAAAACCCUAAUUUUGGAAUUAUUGGUUUGGACUUAUCGGGACCCACAUUUGGGACCAUUGGAGUGAUGACUCAAGCCCGUUUUCAUUGUAUGCUUGGACUUAAUGGAUUAAUGUAAUGACCAAAAUUCUCUAUGUUAGUGAAGUUGGUUUUCCGUUACAUAGAAUUAAGUCGUACAUGCGUCUAGGAUGUGAGAUUAGACCGGUUUAUAUAAAAAAAAAUAAUAAAUAAACAAAAACAUAUUUUUUAACAUUUUAAGAAUUUAAUAGGGAUUAAAAUAAUUUAUAAGAUUUAGUUAAUAAUUAUAAUGAGCUAAAGAUAUUUAAGUAAUAUUACGAGUUAAAUAAAUACUCAAAUUAUUAAAAAGUGGCUUAUUUUAUGUGUAAAUUAAUCAAAUUAAACGACUAUAAAGAAAUAAAAUAAAAGAAAAGGUAAAGUAUAUAUAAUAUGGCCAGGGUUAAUAAUGAAUUGAGUAUAAAAGAUCAGGGACUAUAACUGUAAAUUGGAAUUCAAUCGGUGAAUUGAAUUCUAUAAGCUCGUUACCACUGAUAAUAAAUUUGUUUUAAUUAAUUCUAUUCGAUUGCCGCAACCUAUGUUCUUCUUAUUCGUUUCCGUUACCAGGCAACUUAUUCGCCUUGCCGAUUACACCUUCUCUUUAGGGUUGCCAUAUUUGUGUCGACCAGAAAAAAAGAGAGAGAAUUGAGUGUGAGAGAGUGUCUGCGUGAGAAGGAAUGAACGAGGCUCACAUCCUACUGCUAUUAGAUCGAAACAAGGUAAGCUCUUGAUCCCGAAAACCUGUCAUGUUUUUUUUGUUCAUCAAUGGCUUAUUGUGAAUAUCUUGCUGCCAAAAUACUUGUUUUUAGAAGCCACACAAACCCGUGAACUACUUCAAUUCAUCUCUGUCAAGCCUUAGGGAUGAAGCACCCAUGUUUGAGUCGUGUCGGGCUUAGUCGAGACAACCCCAUAAGCCAUCAGAACACCAGAAUCACAUUUUGGAAUGGUGUCUUCUCUAAAGCGUAGCCUCAAGUCCCUUAGACGCUUUGUUAAGGCUUUGAAACAGAAGCAGGGGAAGCUAUAUGUGUUCUUUCGCAAUUUUAAUGCAUGCCUCUGAAUUGCUACCGGACAAUCAAAAUAGACUAAUGCUUGAUGGAAUAUGAUAGUUACAGACAUAAUGGUUGUAUAGUUUCACUAAUGACUAAUUCAUAUCUAGACUUAGCUAUUUAAAUCAAUAGAAAGAGUCUGGAUAACAUAUUUCAUGAUAAACACUUAAAGAUUAAUUCAUCGUCUUGUGUUAAUGUAUGUAAUUCCAUAAAAGUUAAGAUGUUAAAAAAAUGGAUUGCCUACGUAAUAUUGUCUAAUUAGAAGUCUACUUCACACUAGGGUGUCUUAUAAAUAUAUGAGUGUAAUUUAUAAAAGAGUUUCAGUAUUAUAAAAAGUGAUUUAAUCACUAAUUAUAUGUCAAGGAGCAUGAUAUGAAAUAGUUGAUUAAAAGCAAUUGAUUACAAAUCAGUGUCAUCGGCUAUAAGGCUUCCUUAUGGUUAGUUAACAUUACAUUAUUCAUGAUACAACUUAAUUAUACUAUAGAUUAAAAUUGUCUAUCCUUAGCUACAGUAAAUAUGCUAAGGAUUUGGCAAAAAUGAUCCUCCAUCUAUAUGGGUAUUUAUAAUUCUGGAUCAUUUCUUUUAAGAGGUUAUAAUUUGCUAUUUUCUAUAUUUUGUGUAUACGUGUCGUUCUUUUUACUGAUCAAAGGUUUGAUCGUGUGCGUGUCAUGGACACGCGUUUUUUUCCUGUGUUUAUUAUCGAUCACCCUAUUCUUUUCAUCUGCCCACCGCCCUUACUUCCAACAUAUAUUCCACCGGCUUCCUCAUUCAUUUUUUCAUUAUCCCACCCCUUCAUUGACUAACUUCACCAACUGUGUUAUUCUUUCUUUAAAGAAGCUCAUCGGUUCCUUAUAUGUUUUUUUCAGGGCCUAUGUUUGUUGGAAUCCUUACGCUUGCUGACGUCUUUUGUGAUUAAGGGAUAAUUUUGUUCCUGGUUGCAUAUUUGAGUCUCAGGCACUCACUUCCUUUCUCUUUCUCUGUUUUCUUUCUACUCAUGGCAUCUCUAAUGGCAUUCUAUUACCGUGUUUGUAGGUUUACGCUUCGAAUUGUGUGAUUUUGUAUUUUUCAUUUCCGCUUUCGCUCUUGAAGAUGAGUAGUAGAAAUCGAUUGGAUGGUGAUUACAAAUACCUCUUGUCAUAUCGAUUUGAUUGUAAGUAUCUCACCUCUAAUUUGUUUUCUUUUUUUGGACUUUGUUGUUUUUUCAAAUAACACUUCUUACCUUCUAAAGCUCGGUUUCAUACACUUCUAUCACUUUUCUGUUAUCAAAGCUUCUUGACUAUGGUAAAUAUGGAAAAUCCUGUGACAUGUAUGUUUAUGCCCACAAAGUGUUUGAGGAAAUGCCUUUUGUGUUUAGGUGCCUGAUUGUUAUUCUGUUGAGUGUAUAAUUUCACAAUAUUGCGUAAAUUUUUAUUAUUGAGGCUCAACUGUGUAACUUGAACUGUUUUAUUGUAGUCUUACGGUUCUCUCCGUUCGAGGCAACAUACGACACUCACAUUCCACUACGCUGAAGCAUGAGACUUUCCGAUUUGUUGGUCUUGCCAAGUAGAUUCAGAUAACAUUUUCUUUCCAUAUAUUCUUCUAAAAAGCAGUAAUUUAUGAAAUUCUCAUUCUACAAUCCAGAAAACUGUUAAAAAGGAGCUUGAAAAUCUCCAAAAAGAUUAAUACUUUUAUUGAUUUGGCUAUUACCAGUGCUUUUUCAAGGGAAAUUAAAACAAUCAAAGGGAAUUUUCUACAAAAUACGUAAAUAUGUUAAUAGCUGUGUGUUUUUUAUUUUUUUUUUUGAUAGCUAAUUAGCAUUGAAGUGGUAGAAUGAAUUGGUUAUUAUUUACCCAUAUACCAGAUUAUGUCAUCUCUCUAUAUGUUUGGAAUGUUUGUGGGUUUGAUAUGUUUGCUGCUACUGUCACACCACAGUUGAAAAAACAUAUUUCCCUGCUAAAGGGGUUGUGUAAUUGUGACCAUUUUACAGUUUUGAUUUCAAAAUUAUAUUAAAAAAUUUAAAUUGCAAUCAAACUCAUAACAUGUGCAUGUUUGACUGAUUGAGUUGUCCUACAUCUCAAAAAAUCAGGGAACAAUCGACGGUGUUGACAUUAAGCCAACUUCAAAUUCGUGGGUCACAGUAACUGGAGGUAAUUUUCUUUCUUGAAUGCUUUUGGUUCACCUGUCAAUUUUAGUAUUUAUUUGAAGUAUAAUUUGUGUUUUGUAAUGUAAUAAUAUACUCUCACACAGAAGUUUUUAAAGCAGUGCUAUAUAGGAAAAAAUUAUUAAACUUCUACAAAGGGCAUUAGCAAAGUUAUGGGAUAAAACUUUAAACGGCCUAAAACAUUAACAAACUGUGAAACAGGGAAGACAAAAUUCAAUGGUUUUUAAAGAUUUUUGUUUUUUGGUUGUCUACGUUAACGAUCCUGCUGUUAAAAUGUUAUGAUUAUGACUAUUUUGUCCUUCCUUUCAUUACUUUCUGAAGGUGGUAAAGAAAAGGGAUAUAAUCCAAGGGUAAAAUGGUCAAUUUACAAAUUUCACAGCUGUGAUGUUAAGUUAGAUGGCCUAGGGAUGAAACACAUUACCAAACAGUGACAUAUGAAAUUUUUGUACGACGUUAAAGUUUCAUAUCUAUAUUUCAAAAAAAAAAUUCAUUUGCAAUUUUCAUCUGUAGUUCCCUGUUUUUGACUAUUUAUUGCCUCUUUUAUAUUGUGAAAAUUAUGUUUGGGUUGUUGUUUAUGAGGUAAUUGGUAUUGAUGUCAAUACAUAACUUUCAAAAGUGUUAUCUGCCAUACAGGAGAAUUUGGGAAAACAAGCACAUAAGCAAGAAAAAAGAAGGGAAGGUCAUAAUGUAAAAAGAGAAGGUUAUGACGAUGAGAAUUUAAUUUUGCACCUUCAACUUUAGUCACUUUCAUCAUUUUUAAUGACUCAUAGUUUCUUGCCAUUCUCAGUCUAUUUUGAUUUUUAGAUAAACUUAUUUUAUUGAAAACUUUUUUGUAUUAUCAAGGAACAUCAUUCGAUAUCUCAACUGAAAAUUAUGAUAACAACAUUACUAGAUGAGGUUGUUUAUGAAUUUUUAGCUAUAUAUUUUGCUGCUAAAAAAAAGAUAAGAAUACCUUGACAUUCUGACCCUCGCGAAGCGAGGCUCACCCUCUAGUUAAUAUUAAACCAAGGUGAUUUGUAAUUUAUAAACUACGAUAGACUUAUCUAAUCAAUUAAUAUGACAUAAACUAAAUAUAGUUUAAUAUUAAUCAUGUUUAUCUUAGCCUAAACUAAAUAAAUAUAUACUUUUUGUUUAGGUAUUUGUUGAGUAAAAGAGCUACGAAUUCACGUUUUGAAGUGAUUUCACUACCGAACUAAAGGUGAGUCAAUAGACUUUUCAUAAACCCUAUAUAUAGUCGAAAACUACUUUCCGAAAAUGGCUCGAUUAGUCAAAUUAGAAUAUUAUUAAUUGUUGAUAUUAUGCCUAUAUGUGCAGUAUGAGAUAUGCCAUUGUUUUGCUUUCUGUGACAUUUACAUGCUUAGUAAAUUUGGUUUAUAUGUCUAUCUUGGUACUUGAUACGAUUAAUUGCAACUAUGAUAUGCUAUAUGAAAUGUUUGAUAUUUGACUAUGACCUUGUUGAGUAUCUUUUAGUAUAAACUAGGUUACAACCCGUGGAAACCAUGGGUAAAAAAUUUAAAAACAAAUUUAUAUUAUUAAUAAGAGUUAAGAUUGUCAAUCCUUUUGUAUUGAUUAUUUAAAAUUAAAAUUAAUACAAAUUUGUAAAAAAGUAUAUAAAUUUGAAUAUAUGUUAAAUAGAAACGCAAUCAAUCCAUCGAAAGUUAAAUAUGAAUAUAACUAAAAUGCAUCUUUGAAUAUGUGAAUGAUUUAUGAAGUGUGAGGGCAAAUCAUUAUUUUUUGUAAUGAGGGAGCAAUCAAGAAACACCAUGUGGCGUCUAUUAAAGUCUGAAAAUCAAAUAUCGAAACGAACUGAAUAUUAUGGAUUACAAUUACAAUGCUAUAUAAAGAAUAAAUUAUUUAAAAAAAAAAUGUUACAAAAAAUAGAAAAAAACACAAUUGUUAGAAGUUAAUGGGUACGAAGCAUUUAUAAAUUCCUAAAAACUUCCUUAUACACAACAUUUGAAGUUUUGUUUGUAAGUCUACCAUCCUUAUCUAAAAUUAACAAUUUCAAUCCUUCUCUACUUUGAACUCUAGAUAAGGCAACAUACUGUUGUCCAUCUGAAAAAAGGAUCCUUGAGAUACAGACCAACCUUUAAUAACGACUGGCCCUGACUUUUAUUAAUUGUCAUUGCAAAACAUACAGCCAAUGGAAAUUGUCUUCUUUGAAAUUUGAAUGGAAUUUUCUUUCCAGAUGGACUUAAAGACAUUCUUGGAAUAAAUGUUUGCUUUCCAAUAUUAGUUCCAGAUAUGAUAAUUGCCUCAAUAACACGUUUGCCCAGAGAUUUCACUUGUAGUCUAGUGUCGUUUCAUAAUCCAUUUUUCUGAUCAAUGUUUCUUAGUAACAUAACUGGAACACCGACUUUUAGAAUUAACUUGUGAUUUGGCAAACCUGAUACUUUAAGACCAUUUAAAAUAUCCUGGGAGUAUAAAUUGGGAUCAAACUGAUCAUGAACAAACUCUGAUUGGCAAAGAGUAUCUGAACUUAAAUAUUCUACUUCAUCUUCGGGAAACAAUGCUAGCAAACGAUCAUUGAUUUGUUGGACAACUUCAUUUUUUGGAGCUAGUAUAGCUCUUUCUUGAAAAUAACUCGUACCGUUGAAUUUUUCAAAGAUUGAAGGAUAUACAAACUCAAUUAAUGAACCUAUAGGAUCAUGUGGAUCAUUAAUGAGAAUAUCAUUCGGAACAUCAAUAAUCGAUUCACCAUCCUUCAAACCACCAACUUUUCCUUCUCCUAUGUCCAAAAGCCAGUUUGCAAAAUUAUGUAUUUUUUGAAUAUCAUAUGGAUCCUUUCCAACGGUUAGUCUCAUCUUUUUUGUUAAUCUAUGGACUUUGCAUUGUUGCCAUAUAUAUGAAGAGCUUAAAGAAGCAUUAACGAUAUUUUGUCUGCUACCUCCUUGAACAACAGGUAGAAUCUGUCUAAAGUUUCCUCCAAAAACAAUCGCUUUCCCUCCAAAUGGAAUAUUUGAGUUGGUAGACUUAUCAAACUUACAUACAUCUCUCAGAGCUCGAUCUAAAGCUUCAAAUGCAUGUUUGCGGACCAUAGGUGCUUCAUCCCAGAUAAUCGAUGAGCUUUUUCUUACUAAUCUGCUGAGUUCACUAUCAGGCGGUAUCUUACAAACAGAAUACUCCGUAAGAUUCAACGGAAUUAUAAACCGAGAGUGUGCUGUCCUACCUCCAGGCAAUAAUAAAUAUGCAGUACCACUUGAAGCAACAUUUAAAACUAUAUCACCAUUACAUCUAAUUGCUGCAGAUAACGUCUUCCAAAGAAAGGUUUUGCCUGUUCCACCAUAUCCAUAAACAAAAAACACACCUCCUUUAUUAUCAUUGACUAUAGUCAUGAUAUCAAGAAAAAUAUUGCUUUGCUCGUUUGUUAAUGCAUGAAACAUACUAUCAAACUCUUUCUUUAAAAGCGGUAUGUCAUACUCUAGCUCCUCCAUGAUAAAUCGAUUUGUUGAAGAAGAAACUGUAUCGAAAUCAGGGUAAGGCCUUUGUUUAUAAUUUUUAAGACUGGUGUUGUUAUGAAGUAAAAUCUGUUCGAUCUCGAACAAAGUCAGGUUUUUGAGUUGAUCCUUAUUGAGUGAUAAACCUGUAUAAAAUGAACAAUAUGUCAAAAAGAAUAUAAUAUUAAACAGUUUAAUGGUAAUAAAAAAAUUAUACCGUGCAUAUUGAUAAUAUAUAGUAUCCGUUUUUACAAAUACUGAUAGGAAAUUAUAAUACCUGGAGACUUUAAUCUACGCUGUUGGUUGUAAAGAAUACCAUCCGACAAGUGUUGCCAUGUAUUUUCCCAAACAAACUCUGGUCUACCCAAACUGUUAGACAUUAACAUCGUAGCAAAUAAGAAACGAAGAUAAAAACCAGUUCCUGAAUGACUUGCUUCCUUAAUUGCAUCAACGUAUUCUUUGUCAUCAUCUAAGAGGCCCAAAGCAUAGCAUGCAUCUCGAAAAGUAGGAAAUUCUUCACCGUUUACCGUGCGAAUUUCUUCAAAUGAUUUUGGACCUUUCACUUUAUUUAAAAGAAUCCGUAAGAAGUAGACUUCGCCAAGUUUAGGUGAAACAGAGUGAAUCCUUCCUAUUGAACGUCCAAUUUUCCUUGGCUUCCACAACUUAUCAUCAGGUUUCCAAACAAACUUUGUAGGAAAUUCAACAUAUGUAAGUUUUCGUGCAUCUUUAUUAAUUUUAUUACAUUCCAUCCAAGAUGUGAACAUAGAAGCAGCAACUGAAGGUUGUUCAAGAACAUCGUCAAUAUCAUCGUCUGCAGCAUAUAUGACUUGUUGUUGAUCAGGAAGAUAAAAAGGUAGUCGCAUCACAGAAGGAUAUCGGUAAUGGACAUCGUAUUUAAAUAUUCGCCAUGAUGCUUCACAUGCAGAUAUAUAUCUACAAUCAUAAUAAUCUUUUAUUUCAUCGACAACCUUUUCGUGAUUAGAAUCAGCGUUGAUGUCAUCAACAAUUAUAGCUCUAUCUGGACCUUUGUUUAUAUAUUUAAACAUAUACUUUAUGGAAGAUCCCUGAUUGCACCAUUCAACAUUAAUGUGUGCCUGAUAUCUUUUCAACAUAUAUUUGUUAUAUGGAACAACAUUUCUGUUGUCUAACUUGACACCUGAUUUUUCGACAAAAUAUCCAUUGUUUCUUCUCAUAUAUAAGGGAUAACCGUUGACAUCAACCGAAGAAUGAUCACAUAAUUGCUUUGGAAAAUUUUUCGAACAUUGCUUGUCAACCAUGCAUGGACAAUUCAUAUUUUCCAGCUCCAUAAGGACCAUGUAUCAUGAAUUCACUUACAAGUGAAUACAAUUCUGGAUCUUCAUUGAUAUUUGGAAUCUCAGCAGAAAUAAUCGGAUCAAUAUAUUCAACAGUAGGCCGCUUGGAGUCGGCAUGCAUAAACAAACAAAUAUGACUAUGUGGCAAACCUCUUUUUUGAAAUUCAAUUGUAUAGACCACUGCAAAUUAAUUUUAUAAAUAAGAUAAUCUUUGUACUGGAUGAAAUAUAUUUGCAAAUAACAAAAAAUAUUAAGAAACUAAAUAAUCAUUAUAAAAAAAUAUUAGAAAUAAAUACAACUUUUAAUACCUCCUUGUACAAUGUCGAAAAUUUUAUUUUCCCGUAUGUCUUUAAUCAAAGCAUCGAGAUUUAUUUUGAAUAACCUACAUAAGAUAUCAGGUCAAUCUUCUGGAUGUAGUGAAGUGUUAUGAAGAAACCUUUUAACUUUAGGCCAUUUUGGAUUACAUGUAAAGGUUAUGAAGAAAUCAUGAUAUCCAAUCCAUUUACAUAAGGACAUGGCAUCAAGGUAGUUUUACAUCAUAUAACGUGCACCACCAGUGAAUGAAGAAGGUAAGAUUACACGUUGUCCAACAUUGGAUAUAUCUUUAUUCCCUAGGUCUUGUUGAUUACGUAAAUUUUCAUAAGACUCACAUCUAAGAAUUUGUUGUUUGCUCCUUAUGAAAUGUAAUCUCUCACUUUCAAUCAUAGUAUAAGCAUCAACCAAAAACUGUUGGAACAACCUUUUUGAAUUAAUAAUUAGUGAAAAAUAUUGAUCCCUGUCUUGUAUUCUAUAAGAAAAAAAUUCUCUCAUUGUACAGUUGGGCCUCUUGCUGUUGCUUAUUGGUGUAAUACCUCGAUGUGGUAUGUCAACCCUAUAACCAUCAUCACCAUAUGGAAACAGUAGUGGAUUCUGAAAGAGGAAGGUAUGAUGGAUGUAAUUUACUAAUACGCCGUAGAGAACCUGAUGAAGUUUGAACAACAAUAUAUCUUUUAUCAAUUGAAUCACCAAUAUCUCAAAUAAUUAAAGCGGCAACCUCAGAAGCAGAUGGUAGGUUGUAUAUCCUUCCAUCUUGGUCCCUGAUUCCAAUAAGUCUCAACUUGAUAUCAACAUGAGGUUUUUGAUGAAAACAAUCCCUAACCAUUCUAUAAGACUGAACCAAGACAUUAUUUGAAUCCAACAUCAACUUCAAAUCUUGUAUAAUAUCAUUAUCAAGGACAGAAGAAUUUGAUGUAGAUCGUUGAUUCUCUCCACUACAAGUAACAUGAACAUAUAAACAUAAGAUAAAUAAAUAAUAUAAUGUUGAUGAAUAAGAUAUCUAUUAAUGUGAUAAUUGUGAAAAGUGUACCCAAAACAUGUUCGUCUAUUCGCGAUCUCAUUAUCAGUAUCGUAUAUGUACAACUGAGAGAAUUUUGGUUUUAACCCCUGUUCCGGUAAAAGGCUUCCGAUACUAUGAUAAUUUUGACCGCUAAGUCUAAAAAUGUAUGGAGCAUUUCCUCUAUUGAUUGAGGAAUCAAUCUUUCCACCCAUUGACGUAAAAGAAAACAUAGAAUUGUAAGAACGAAUGUUCUUCAUGAAGUGUUUGCUUUUAGAAUCUCCCGAUGUAAAAAGAUGAACAUAACUUGAAGGUGAAUUCUUUAAAGCUGGUAGUUCUACUUUGCCAUAACCACAACAUAAACAAUAAUUUUGAUUCGACUUUUUUUUUUUUACAUCUGAUAGAUUCAUCUUUCCAUAAUUUUGCAAAACAUGUUUGGUAUACAACAAUCUGAUCACCAUGAUCCAAAUAAUCUGUCAAUUAAGGUUGACAUAAAAAUGUUAAUCAUGUAAGUUUAUAUAAGUGAAAAAUAUUGAAUGAACAAAUGUAAAUAUUAUAUUUUUAUCAAAAUUACCUUUUGAUAUACCGUUGUAUAUGUUUUGAUCAUUUUGGCCAUCGAUUUUGUCUUGAUCGGAUCUCAGACCAAAUAUUGGAAUAGGAGUUAAAUUUGGCAUUUUUUUCUUUGCUUUAUUAUUUGGAUUAGUUAACAUGACUGAAGACGAUUUUGAUGUUAUUGUAGAUGAUUUGUCGGAUGUGUCGCCAUUUGAAAAUACAGAGAAUUGUCUAAUAUUUGUUAACGGCGAUUGACAACUAUUAUUGAAAAUAUCCAUGGCUGGGGGAAAAAUUGAAAGUAUGCAUUGUUAAAUAUGAUACAAUAAUAAUAUAUAUUAUAAAAUAAAAUGGUAAAAUAAAUGAGUUACCGUUGGAAAUGUUAGAUAACGGAGUUCUAACAUUUAAAUGUGAAGGAGGAGUUUGUAACAUUGCUUGUUUUGUUAUAUAUGCACUUGUUUUAGAUCAGAAUGUGCUUUUAUUUCGAUGUACAACUCCUUUGAAUUCAUAUACAAAAAAAUGGUUAUGAGAAAUGUAAAAUUGUUUAAUAAUUAUUUUAAUAUUAUAUAAAUAUGAAUAUUGAUAAAGAGAUUAUAUAAAAAGACGAUGAUGUAAUAAAUUUUAUUACAUAUAUUUAAAAAAAACUUAAAAAGUUUAAAAGCAAUCAAGUAUGUUACCGUUUGAAUCCAAUCUGAUGUUUGGUAACGGUGUCUGAAAACUGUUAUUUGGAAUAUCGAUGACUGAGAAAAGAAGAUUGAAAUGUACAUUAUCAAAUAUGAUACAAUAACAACAUAUAUUAUAAAGUAAUAUGGAAAAAUAUAUGAAUUACCAUUGGAAAUGUUAGAUAACGGAGUUCUAACAUUUAAAUGUGAAGGAGGAGUACGUAACAUUGGUUGUUUUGACAUAUUUGUUGUUGAUGUAGAUGUGGAUACGCUUUUAUUUCGAUGGACAACUCCUUUGAAUUUGAUUGGAAAAAAAAUCUUAUAAGAAAUGGAUAAAUUUUAAAUAAUCUUGUAAAUUUUUAAAUAGUAUAUGAAUAUUAAUAAUGAUAAAUAGAUUAUAUAAAAAAAUGUGGAUGACAGAAUUUUUAUUUUACAAAUUUAAAAUAGAAAAAAAAAGUGUAUAAGCAAUCAAGUAUGUUACCGUUUGAAUCCAAUCUGAUGUUUGGUAACGGUGAUUGAAAACUGUUAUUGGAAAUAUCCAUGACCGGGAAAAGAAGAUUGAAGGUAUACAUUAUUAAAUAUGAUAAAAUAAUAAUAUAUAUUAUAAAAUAAAAUGGUAAGAUAAAUGAGUUACCAUUUGAAAUGUUAGAUAACGAAGUUCUAACAUUUAGACGUGAAGGAGAAGUUUGGAAAUUUGAUUUUUUUGACACAUUGGCACUUGAUGUAGAUGCGGAUAGGUUUUUAUUUCAAUGCACAAUUCCUUUGAAUUUGUCUGCAAAUAAAAAAAUUGUUAUAACAAAUGGAUAAAUUUUAAAUAAUAAUGUAAUUUUUCAAAUAUUCUAUGAAUAUUAAUAUACAAAAUACAUGACACAAAAAAUGAGCAUGUAAGAAUUUUCAUUUUACAUAUUUAAAUAAAGAAUAAAGAAUAAAAGUGUAUAACCAAUUAAGUAAAUUACCAUUUCCCUUCAUUUUAAAAAGAUGUGAUGUUGAUGAAGUUGUAUGAAUUCAUUCGGUCAUAACUUUUUUUUUAUUGUCCAAGUAUAAUUUUCUUAUUUUUCUUUUUUCUGUAGCCUGAACAUGAUAGAUGUUCCUAUUUGAAUCUGUAUAAGCAUAUAUACACACAUAAAAUAGUUAUAUUCAGAUUAAAAACAUUGAUAAAGAAAGUUGUAAAAUAUAUAAUGAACGUACUGUUAUCACCUGGGUUAGUAACAUUUGUAGAAGAUGGAAUUCGACCGACUGAUGUAGUGUACAAAGGUAAUUGUUUUGUAUUAUCCAGAUAGAAAUUAUUUAAUUUUAUCUUCUUAUUAGUCUUAAAAGAGUCCAUGUUAGUAGCUGCUAUCUGAAAUGGAAAAAGAAAUAUAACUUUAUACAAAAACAUUAUAUAUUGAAAAUUAUUUUCAAAUUUAAGAAUAAAUAAAUAAAUAUUUCAAAUUUAAAAUAGUAUGCAAUAAACCCAAAGAAAAGAAAGUAUUAUGUAUUAUUGAUGUGCACAAAAGUACCCACUAAUUUUAAUAUUUAUAACCUAACAAACUUAGAAUAACUAUGCACUUAUAGGCAGUGUACCUAGUCAGAUUACAAUAUAGCUUAGGUAAGUCGGGUGUCGAUCACAGGGAACGGUGGUGAAUUAAUUUAAUAUAUUUGAUUAUAGGUUACAGGUCACAUGAAAAGAAUAAAGAAAUAGUUUAAUAAAUCUCAAACUAACAAUUAAUUAACAACUUUGGAUAAACUAACUGGAAAGCAAAUCUCUUCAGGUACUUUGGUUUAGAUAAAUUACACCUUAAAAAACAUAGACAAUUGUAUACACAAGUUCAUUUAUUCAUGUUCACCGAUUCCUAAAAUGAUUAGAUUCGCGUUCACUAUAACUAAUCCUUUAGCAAACAAGUCAAUUCAAACAGUGAUCAGUUGAUUAAACUAACAUGCUUCCUAGUGUUCAGUUCGUAUCAAGCAAGACUUGUAAAUAUAGUUAAUCAAAUUACUAAUUCAAUUUAACCUCUUGUUGAUGGUCAUCAAACAAGGCUCACACAUUAACUUACUUAUUCCCAAGUUAAUCCUAGUUUCACAUUCGUUAUUCCUAGACUUAUAAUCUCGAUGGUCAUCAAAAUCAUAAGAGACAAGCAAUCAAACAGAUGUUCAUAUAACUCAAUUUACUUAACAAUUAACAUCAAAUAAUUAUCAUUAAUACGUAAGGAUCUUUUAACAAGCUUGGCAAGAUAAAUUAAACAUAAACAAACAAUUCAAUAUAGCAAUUAGUCUAAUAAUCAAGGUUUCAUUCAAUCAUAAACACAAAGUAAAAGGUUUUUACACCCAAAUCAGAAACUAAAUACAGAAUAGUAACACAAUGGAAUGCUAAACAUGGUCACGUUAACAACCCAUAUGAUUACCGACAUGUAUCCACUCUCCAACCCUUCCGAUCUUCACUCCUGUUAGCUUAACGGCCUUCCGGCCGCCUUCUAGACCCUCAAAACGGCUUAACAGAAGUUUAAUAUCGACUAAAUUAGGUUGGAAGUCGAAUCCCCCCUUCUGGUUAGCUGAUAAUCGACUUUUAUAACCUUUGUAACCGACUUACGUACGCUGGGCGUACUAAGGGUUUAUACGCGAUUGGAGUUAUCCGAUGCCAGCCGUUACGUGGGGCAUACACAAGAAUUACGCUGGGCGUAACUCGUCUUAGCCAUUACGCUUGGCGUACAAGUAAAUUACGCGGGGUGUAAUCGUUCCUCCAGCAUUUUCCUUUCUUUUAGCCUCUAAGCCUGAUUUCCGCUUCAGUCUUUUCUUUUGUGCUUUAUCGACAACGAAUAGCUGCAAAUCAUAAUUUAAAGCAUUAUGAGUACUUUUUAGUUCUAAAAGAGAAUAAUAAAGGCCAAAAUAUUAAGAUAUAAUGCAUAAAAAUAUAUAUAAAAAUACACAUAUCCAAAUACCCCACACUUAGUCUUUGCUUGCCCCCAAGCAAAUUUUAAUUUUAUUUUACCAUUAUCGCAUUAAACAAUCCAUUUAAAACUCAACCAUUAUGCCAAGACCUCAACGCAUGCAUUUGUGUCUAAAAUUUUCCUAAAAUACCCCCCUACUUUAAAUACUCACAAUCUUCAUAAACACUUGCCCACUUUUUACGAACAAUGCUCAUUUUAUGCAACCCUCCGAAUCCAUCCGCAGAAAACCUCCUUAUCCUCAAGGUAUUUUCCUUGAUAAUUUGAUCUUUGAUUUCUUUGAAUUCACCAUCUUAUUUGAAUUGAUUUCUGGUAUCUUCAACUUUUUUGAAUUUCUUGGAAUUUUGAUCUAAUUCUUCACUUUAUUCGCUCCAAAAUUCUUCAAACUUUUCUUGCAAUUCUUUUUUUUUUUCUUUUAACAUGUACCUCACUUUUUUCACUCAAAACCUACAAGCUUAAGCAGAGGCGCUCAACCUCAACCUUUAUCGGUUAACGAUAAUAAUUUUCCUGGAUACAUUUCAGGUUUAGGCUGCUAAACAUAUUGCAUCCCUCAAACCAAGCGGGGUUAUGUUUUUGUUCCAUGAUUUCACUAAAAUAAGGGAGGCCACAAAUGCACUAUAACGUAUAUUGGCUCAACUAAACAUUUGAGUUCUCAUCGGAUCAUCUCAUACAAUAUUAGCAAAAUUUAAAUUAUCACUAGAUUUUUCUAAAUUAAACUAUUAUUUCAAGUUUUAAAAUUUUUAAAUUUCCUAAAUCUAGCAAUUUCCUAACUAUUAUUUUAUUUUUAUAAUUUACUAUUACCGACCCCCUACCCCACACUUAUUUCAUACAAUGCCCUCAUUGUAUGCUAAAACGAAUUAAGAACAUAAAAAGGGAGAAAAAGGAACAGACUCCCCUGGGUAGUUGUGGCGAGAUCGAAUGGGGCUGCUACAAGUUGCUCCAAAUAUCGCUGAAAGACUGAAAACUGAACUGCUGCUUCUGAAUUUGUCGAAAAAUAAAAUCAAGACUGCCGACUUCAAAAAAUGUGGUGCACAAUAUUGCAAGUAAAUGCAAUGUGUAGUAACCAUGACGUGGGAAAGUGUUGACCACAUCAUGUCUUCAAAAAUGACAUCCUCUUCUCGCGAUGAAAAAUCCUCCACAGCAUAGGAAAGUGUCAGCCAUGUCGUGGCAGCCGGGAUGAUACGUCUUCCUCGCGUCAAAAUAGAACUCUAUGGUGUGGGAACAGCUCAUCAUACCAUAAAAGGUAAAAUAUCGUAAAAAUGCCAAUCGUCUAAAUGAACGCUCACGAAAUCAAUAUGCACCCCACACUUAUGACAAAUUGUGGGUCUUGACUAUACUUUUCGAACUCUCACACGACUCUCUCUAGCAACAGUCGGACCUAGCUGCUAAACUUACUGCCAGCUUUCUAAGGGCGAAAAUUCUGCAGAGAUCUAAACAACCAAAGAGCAUCAACAUGGAAAACAAAAAUAGAACAUCCUAAAUUAAAGUUUAAUUACAUACCAAAUAAAAAACUAAAACUAGAAACACAAAAAUAAACUAAAAAUAACAUAAAAAUAAAAAGGAUAACUAAAUCACUCAUCAUCUCCAUCAUCAUGCUGCUGUGUCCCAGAAGUACCGGCCCCAUCAUGUCGUGGCCGGAAUGGUGGAGGGUAAGGAACCGAGUACUGAAACCCCUAGUGGGAAAAGAAUACGGUCAACGCAUCCCCAUACCACUAUUGUUGCCUGUCCACAUGUGCAACAUACUCACUAAGGUUCUGAACCCUCAUGUCAAGACAGUCAAUGCCCUGAGCUAGGUAGCGCAUAUCAAUCUUCGGCUCAGGUCCCUGUUGCGCUCCCCGAGGAGCAGGUCUACGCUGCUGGACCCGUCUCGGCUGUGGCUCGGCAGCACCCUCCUCGUCCGCCACAUCAUCUGCUCGUACNNNNNNNNNNNNNNNNNNNNNNNNNNNNNNNNNNNNNNNNNNNNNNNNNNNNNNNNNNNNNNNNNNNNNNNNNNNNNNNUGAUCUCUCGUUAACAACUGAUAUGAUCGGGCUAGUCGCGUGAUAAAAUGCCCUCUGCACAUCGGGCUAUCCUCCCGAAGUCCCCUGGCCCUCUGUCCCAAAUAUGCAGCUAAAGCAACUGGAAGGUUCAGGUGCCUCCCUGGAGUAACAAGUGCCCAUAGGAAAUACAAGUCUAUCGAAGGCACUCUCUCACUAUUCUUAUGAUGCGUGAGAGUCAUGGAAAUCAACCGGUGCAACAGUCUAUAUGUAGUAGACCGAAUCAUCCUACCCCGUGCAGUAGAUGGCGUAUAAACUCCCCCUGUAAUCUCAGCCCAAAAAGUGUGCUCAUUAUAUUCAUCUGGCCGCUCCGUGAGACAAUCAGCAAGGAAUGUCGGGAAGUGGACACUCCUCGUCUCAUCUGCUGUGUAUAUACCCACUCAAGUCGCAAGCUCUAUGACACUGCACUCCCGACUCACACCCCCCAGUCUAAAGGCAAAAGUUGUCCUAUCAUCGGGUGCCUUCCUAGGAUCAUAGGAAACUGUAGCGUAAAACUCCAACAAAAAUUCCCGAUAAACAGGCUCCUGGAUCCUGAACAAUCGUGCCCACCCCUGCCAUACGAACAAUUCCACUCCAAUCGCGUCCGAGUGCGUGUAUUGCAAAAAAAUCCUGGAUCAGUGUAGCAAGUCCAGUCCAGGUCGCCAAUUCCCAGUCGAAUGAUGGUGCUAUGUCGAUCUCCUUGGUGAGCAGCAAACUCAAACUGUUGACAUAUCGUGCCCGGGUUGCAUCGUUCAGAGUUUGCGGAAAUUGUAAGAAACGNUCAGAGUUUGGGAAAUUGUAAGAAACGGUGAUCGGUCACAUCCUCGGGUGGGUUGGUCCUUUGAGUUCUUCGGGCCAUAAUCUGCACACAUAAACACAAAACCAAACAAAAUAUAACAGCAUUAAAAAAAUUUUAAACCAAAAAAAAAUGGUGCUGGAUAUGGACUGUACGCUGGGCGUACGUCCAGGUUCCACGAAUAUGUGUUCUGCUUCCUUUUCUUGUGCUAAAGUUAUAACCCAUAUCAAAAAAUUUCAAAUUAACCAACUGCAAGCAAUAAACACAGCAGGGCAAACACAUGGGGCAUAUCGAGCUUCGUGGUCCAAGACAGUAGAAAAACGGGACCACUCUAAAAAAUAUGAACCAUUCUCCUGUUCGUUCCUUAUCUUAUCAAGAUUAGAAAGCACUACAAAAGAAAAACUUCAUUGGGGCAGUCAAGAAUCGAAGUCAACAGGGUUACGCUUAGCGUCCGUCCCCGAGCUCAAAAUGAUGGGUCUAUCACGGGAUUAAGACCAAAUUAGGUACUAGGGUUUAGUCCAUUGAUGGAAAUCGGUCUUUUUAAGUCCUAAUCAAAACAUACAAUUAUGAAAUCGGCCCUAAUUCAAGAACCCUAUAAACCCUAGAUUUCGAACAAAGGCAUUUUGCAGCUUAUUCCAUCGAUUUAAACACAAAUCCAAAACAUUGAGUAACCGAAAAACUUACCUGUGUGCUGAAUUUUACAAGAAAAGAAGCAAAAUUGAAAAUCCUUGGGAGAGCUUGCCGUCACAGUUCGUGUGUGCGAAGGAAAGGAUUUUGAAAAAGUAACAAAAAAGUCAAGGGUCAAAAGAUAUAACCUGGUCACCGAUUUACGCUGGGCGUAAAACAAGGUUACGCUGGGCGUAACUCCAACUCCAUGAAAAGUCCAUCCGCGAUCCGGGGUUUAUUACGCUUGGCGUAAUUAAAAUUACGCUGGGCGUAAUGAAGUAUUCCUUUUCUUUAACUGAAAUUUCUUUUCUUUUAACUAUUUAAUUAAGGGACUAAAAACUUAAUUAUUUUUCUUUUUAAUUUCUUCAGCAACUGAUGACUUUCCGAUGAGUAAAAAAAAUGAGACGUCAUAAUCACUUAUCUUUGUCAAGAUCAAACAACAAUGGUUGAUUAAAAACCUUUGCACGCAAGAAUUGGUUUGCGAAAACACCCACUUUCGGGACCCGUUAGAAUAUUUCCUUUGUUUUCUUUGCACCUUUAACUAAAAGCGGAACAAGAAGUGACCUAACUAGUCAAGAACAGCAAGAGUUCGGUCUUCCACUUAACCACCACAAUACGCCUUACUAUACUACGCCUCAUGGAUUGAGUUGGACAAAUCAACAAAGUAGUAAGCCAACCAGGUCAAGAAUUUCCUAAUCGCUUGGAUUCUCGAAACCCAUGCAAAAAGUAAAGUCAAGCAAUGUGUACAAUCCCAAAUUCCUGCAAUUAACAACAAGAACCUUCCCGACAAGUGAAAUGAUAUCAACGAAAACCAAACUAAAAAUAAAAACUAACUAAAAACAAAUAACGAAUAAUCAAAAAAACUAAAUUAAUGACAAGCUGUUCCCGGCAACAGCGCCAAAAACUUGAUGUGCACAAAAGUACCCACUAAUUUUAAUAUUUAUAACCUAACAAACUUAGACUAUCUAUGCACUUAUAGGCAGUGUACCUAGUCAGAUUACAGUAUAGCUUAGGUAAGUCGGGUGUCGAUCACAGGGAACGGUGGUGAAUUAAUUUAAAAUAUUUGAUUAUAGGUUACAGGUCACAUGAAAAGAAUAAAGAAAUAGUUUAAUAAAUCUCAAACUAACAAUUAAUUAACAACUUUCGAUAAACUAACAGGAAAGAAAAUCUCUUCAGGUACUUUGGUUUAGAUAAAUUACGCCUUAAAAAACAUAGACAAUUGUAUACACAACUUCAUUUAUUCAUGUUCACCGAUUCCUAAAAUGAUUAGAUUCGUGUUCACUAUAACUAAUCCUUUAGCAAACAAGUCAAUUCAAACAGUGAUCAGUUGAUUAAACUAACAUGCUUCCUAGUGUUCAGUUCGUAUCAAGCAAGACUUGUAAAUAUAGUUAAUCAAAUUACUAAUUCAAUUUAACCUCUUGUUGAUGGUCAUCAAACAAGGCUCACACAUUAACUUACUUAUUCCCAAGUUAAUCCUAGUUUUACAUUCGUUAAUCCUAGACUUCUAAUCUCGAUGGUCAUCAAAAUCAUAAGCGACAAGCAAUCAAGCAGAUGUUCAUACAACUCAAUUUACUUAAUAAUUAACAGCAAAUAAUUAUCAUUAAUACGUAAGGAUCUUUUAACAAGCUUGGCAAGAUAAAUUAAACAUAAACAAACAAUUCAAUAUAGCAAUUAGUCUAAUAAUCAAGGUUUCAUUCAAUCAUAAACGCAAAGUAAAAGGUUUUUACACCCAAAUCAGAAACUAAAUACAGAAUAGUAACACAAUGGAAUGCUAAACAUGGUCACGUUAACAACCCAUAUGAUUACCGACAUGUAUCCGCUCUCCAACCCUUCCGAUCUUCGCUCCCGUUAGCUUAACGGCCUUCCGACCACCUUCUAGACCCUCAAAACGGCUUAAAAGAAGUUUAAUAUCGACUAAAUUAGGUUGGAAGUCGAAUCCCCCCUUCUGGUUAGCUGAUAAUCGACUUUUAUAACCUUUGUAACUGACUUACGUAUGCUGGGCGUAAGUCGGAUUACGCUGGGCGUACUAAGGAUUUAUACGCGAUUGGAGUUAUCCGAUGCCAGCCAUUACGCGGGGCGUACACAAGAAUUACGCUGGGCGUAACUCGUCUUAGCCAUUACGCUUGGCGUACAAGUAAAUUACGUGGGGCAUAAUCGUUCCUCCAACAUUUUCCUUUCUUUUAGCCUCUAAGCCCGAUUUCUGCUUCAGUCUUUUCUUUUGUGCUUUAUCGACAACGAAUAGCUGCAAAUCAUAAUUUAAAGCAUUGUGAGUACUUUUUCGUUCUAAAAGAGAAUAAUAAAGGCCAAAAUAUUAAGAUAUAAUGCAUAAAAAUAUAUAUAAAAAUACACAUAUCAAUUAUGUAUUAUCAAUAUUAAUUUUUCUUCAAAAUAAGUUGAAUAUAUCAAGAUAAAAAGUAUAUUCAAACUAAGAAAAUAAACCAGAAACACACAUACAAUAUUUUUGAACAACAAAAGCAUAAAAGUACAUACAAAAAAUAUAAAGACAAAGAAUUUACCAUUAUGUCCCUAGAGUACUAAUAAUGAGAAGAACAAAGAGAAACUGAAAUAUAAAUUUAUAUAGUUGCACUCAUGAAUGACUAAAAUAACACGAAAUGUAUUAAUUGUCAAUGUGGUUGAGCGCAAAUUACCAUUAUGUCCCUGGAGUACUAAUAAUAAAAACAAAAAUUAUAAAAUCCUUAAAAUAGUUCUAUAGAUGGUAUACUGGUAAUUAAAACAAUCAGUUUUUCCACAUGCCUCUUAAAAAAUCAUUUACAACCAUAAAUAAGUUUACCAAUAUACCCGUAACACAUUAAUUUUGUAUAUGUAAUAUGUAAGAUAUGAGAUAUAUGUGGCGAGGGCAUUUUCGUCCUUUAAACAUACUUAUAACAAUUAACAAACCUCAUGAUACAUUAUAACAGUGGAUAAUGGAUCGACAUACAUAUAUACUUUUCCUUUUAAUGAAGAGGCGUGAAAUAUGCAAUUGACAGAAAUGCCCCUUCUACAAGACACACCUAUUUAAAUUGCAUAAAACCACACCGCUUAACCUAUUUAUUCAUAUUUGAUGUUAGAGUUCUAUAAUUACCAAGGUGUUUUUAUCUUUUACUUAAUAGAAAUAUGUCUCGAUCAAGUAAGUUCAGGUAUAUGUUUUUUUUAUCUAAUGCAAAUAUAAUGACAUAAUAAGUAAAAUAAGAGAAAAACUACAAAAUAUUGGGUAAAAUUAAAAAACGAGCCACACCCUUUAAACAAACCAUCAUUGGGUUAUCAAAAUCAGUAACAUGAAUGUAGUCACUAUAAAUUAUAUGCAAAUAGGUAUACAUGAGAAAUAGCUAAAAUGAAAAAUGAUAACUACCUCCACCUUAUAGUUUAUAAAAAAUAAGGCAAACACCUUAACUACAUGCAUAGAUACUCUACUCCCAAUACUAAAGAAAUUAGUCUACAAAUGGCUUUAGUUAAUAUGUUUUUGGUUUAAACCGGUUCAGAUCAAUGACAAAAAAAUAUAAUUAUAGUAAAACAUGACAGAAAUGCCCCUUAAUUCAAAAUGGGACCAAUCAAUCAAGUAAUACAAAAUACAAUCACGUAAUACCUAAGCAGAGAAAAUAUAACACAAAAAACAGAAAAAAAAUUUAUUUCUAUAAAACAUGACAGAAAUACCCCCGAACUAAAAAAAUAAAAAUAAUCAAAAUUACAUUUCUAUUCGUAUGAGUUUGACGGUACUUUUAGGUUUCUUUGUGUAAUCCGUCAAUGAAUCUGGCCUAUGAGUUUGACGGUACUUUUAGGUUUCUUUGUGUAAUCCGUCAAUGAAUCUGGCCUAUAAACAUGACCUGAACCAAUUUUUUUACUUGGUGAACCAAUUUAAUAGAAAAAAAAAUUUGUUCUAAUUACCAUUCUACCAUUUGUAACUUGGGAAUGAUUAAUUAACAUACAAAGGUGAAUUUUCUCUACCUGCUGCCUUACGUUCAAAAUGACAAAAUUGUAUUGGUAAACAUGAACCAAAAUGGACAAAGGUUUCAAUUUUGGACAAACACAGUAAAAAUAUGAACCAAAACAAUAAACAUUGAUAUAAUUUUGCGAUGGUAUUAUCUCCAAAAGAAUAAAAAAUUUCAAUUUUGCGAUGAUAUAGUUUCAAUUUUGCGAAGAAGCAACGUAAGCAGUAAACCAGAUUGCGGUGAGAGAGAGAGAGAGAGGGCCUGCCGCCUGCGAUUGGUAAUUUGUGAUGGUAUCUCUCGACCGAGAAAGGGGAGCGAUUGAUGAACAGAACCAUAUUAAGAGGAAUUAUGAUUGUCAAAUAAGUUUUUGAUCGUUCUUUUGAUCGUUGUUAUUUAGGACAAUAUCUCAUAGUGAAAUACGAAUAAGGUAUCAGUUAAAGUGUCACACACACGCAUACACAUUAAGAAGCAUAAAUAACUUUCAAUUUUGCGAUUAACACAGACAUUGAGAAGCAGGGGCUUACAUAUACACAAUGAGAAGCAGAAUUGAGAAGCAGAAACUUACCGAAGGAUUGAAGUCGUUGACACAGACUCCAAUAACUGAAGUGUCGAUGAUGCUUGAUUGUUGGAAGACAAUGCUGUAAAGAACCUUGGAAACACGAUGCUAUAAAUAAAUUAAGAAGCAGAAUUGAGAAGAAGAAACUGAAAUCGAGAUUGAAGUCUAAGAUUGAAUAUCCGAUAAAUAAUUAGUCCAUGAUUCAGAAACUUGAAAACAUAAUGCUGUAAAGAAAUAUUGAUUAUCAUAUUUUUGAAAUAUAUAUUGACAAUAAUAUGAUCAAAUCGACAUAAUAAUCAAAAUUAAAUGUAAUCGAUGUGAUUGAUAUGGAUACCAUAAUAACAUGCUCUUAAUCGGGUAAGAAAUGAUUUUGAGUUAAUGUGUACAACUGGUAGCAAAGAUAAAAAUCGGUAAUUAAAAUAGGGAGUUAUAUGGAUUCCAUAUUGGAUUCAAUAUUCAAUUUCAAAUUUCCAUAUUCCACAUCGAUUACUACGUGAAACAAUAAAAUAACAAAAACGGUAUUUUACAUUUGUAGAAUACUAAUUAAUUGCAGAAUACUGAUUUUUUGAAGUUUAUAAUUUCACUAUAAAAAACUGUAAUAACAUAACCAUUUUUAUUUUUCUGAUUUAUUUGAAGUAAUUUAGACUUAUAAUACCUGAAAUAGUGGUAUGUGUUUUAGAGUUUUGUACAAGAGCAUUGUGUUUUUUAAAAGUAUUUACAUAUCUACGGUACUUUUAAAUUUAUUUACUAAAAGAUUGUAAAAUUUUAAAAUUCAUGUGGACCUAUCCCUUUUAUACCAAAAAUAUAAGAAAUUAAUUAUGCGCCUCCCCACCGCUCAUUUUUCUCGCAUUUGUCGCUGGAAAAUGAUGGCCAACAAGAUAAUUUCAAAACAUUAUAAAAAGAUUUCUCUUUCGCUUGUUUGCUCGCUAGAAAAUGAAAACAAACAUAAACGGUCAUAAAUAAAAACAACCAAACACGAAUUAAAUAUAUUGACAGAUUUAGAUUCUUCCGGCUGCGAACUUGGUUUGCUCAUUGGAAUAUGAAUACAACCAAACAAUUUGGAAAUCGAAAAGGAAAUUGUUGGAAAUGCACCACGUUCAUAGAUCUUGUGCCAAAACAUUUCUCGUAUAUAUUUGUUUCAAACAUUGGUCGUUCAAUCAAUGUCAUAUAACUUGGAAAUUUGGAGGGGGGAGGGGUUGUUUAACAGAUGAUACCGAGGGUUAUGAAUGGGUUAGUCGGUGGCAAGGCGGAUGUAGAGGUUCAUCCGCAGUGUGGUUUGGGGAGAAUUUCAGCAGUGUUUUGGAGUUGACGAUGUCGGACGGUGAUCGUGUCAUAGGUGUAAACACUGCACAACACAACAUGUAGACUAGGUAUUACUGGCAAUGCUUGUUAUGAAAAAAAUAAAAAACCAGUAGACUUCAAUCGUUGAAGCAGGGAAAAUGUGGUUGUGGUAGGUUCAAUGGAUGUAUGCGCACUCAUGCACAGUAGGGGUUUGCAGCGGUGCUAAGGGUUGCCAAAUGGUUUUGCAAGUAAUGUGAGCAUCAAAAGACAAUUAACAUGAUUUCAUUUAUUUUAUUUAAGUACAAUUAAAUGGGAAAUAAUUUUAAAAGUACUAUAUUAUAGUAAAUAUUUUUCUUAACCGCUACCUUUUAGUAAAAAACUAUGUGUUUUAAACAGGUAUAACUGUAUAAAAAACCUAAGAGUUUGCAGAGGUUCAUGGGAUUACAUCUUAGUGGUAUGUGCUUUAAGGGUAAACACAUUUUUCUUCUUUUAGGCUAGAUUUAUUACAUCACAAGGAAUCCCGUGGCGAGGGCAUUUUCGUCCUUAGGAUAUAUAAAUUUUGUUUCCGGUACUGUUUUGUACUUUGUAGUGCUUAAGAAACGGGAAGAUAUGAUUAAGUUGUGAAUGAUCUGGAUCCAUAUCAAUGAUCCGGUACUAUUCUACCCUUUGUAAGAGAAAAACACAUAAAGUCACAAACUAUAUACCCCUGUUGUGAAAAUUACCAAUAUGUCACUAUAAAAAAAUGAGCAUUAUUUUGAACAGGUUGUUCUAAUUACCAUUCUACCCUUUGUAACUAGAGAAUGAUUAGUUAAUAUGUCAUGCAUUGUUUCCUCCUGUUGCGUGUUCAAUAUUAUAACAAUCAAUAAACAAUUUUAAUGGAAUUUAAAUGAUUGAAAUUGUAGAGAUGAACAAAAGAAUUGACAAAGGGCAAAAUUGACAUCUAAUGCAUUGUUUCUUCCUGUUGCGUGUUCAAUAUCAUGACAAAUCUCAUUUGACAGCUUCAUUACAAUUUUUGUUUCAUACAUUACCUCAAAUAAUAUACAAGCACAUUCCCAAGAAUGCAUUCACCGAUAUACCAUUUUAUUGUGAAAAUUACCAAUAUGUCCAUGUACAAAAAAUGAGUAUUAUUUUCAACAGGAUUUUAUUGAAUUUAUUCAUAUUUGAGACAUCUUUUUUAUAGAGCAAAUAUACUUAUAACACGAAAAUGAAAAGUAGAAUGGUAUAUUUUUUAAUUUUUUUGAAUUUUAUUGCAAAUAUAUUGGUAAAAAAAAUCUUUAAAAACAUAAUGGUUUCCUUCUUUUACACUAUCAAUAGACACACAUAUAUUAAAAGAAGAUUAAUCUAAUUACAGGCAUAACCCAAAAAGCAGUUUUUUACUUAAGAUAGAGAUUAGCAGCGUAAAGAAACCAAGAACUAUCAAUGUUUGAAUACUGAACACCACGAAGAGCAAAACUGUCAAACAAAAUCCCCAAAAAAAAUAAUUCAAGAAUAUUGUUGGUGCAUAAAAAGGACAAUCUAAAAUUACUUUUCAAGCUUUGGUAUUAAUAGACCUGUGUUUCCAUCCACCCUGGAAUUCAAGCGAGGUAUUUUUGUCGACGAAUUCACAUUAUCAUACUCAUCAAUAUCAAUGCUAUCUCCAACGUUUCGCUUUUUUACCAUUGUGGGCGAAUUAAACUUGAACGGACUUGUAGCUUCUAUUUGUCAUGCAUGGAAGGGGUCAAAUUAUCACUGGUUUGUUAUAUCGCGUCCUUAAAGCAAAAACCCGAAACAGCGUUAGUACGAUAAUAUUAACAAAUUAACAAAAAAAUAAUUUAUAAAAGGAAUUUAUAUAAAAUUAAAAAAUGUGGAUUUAUAUUAUAACCUUUAAUGACUUUGUUUCAUGAGAUGCUUCGUGAGAUGCGAUUUUGUAUCGUCAGCAUUUGUAGAAUUACCUCCCUGCUUCAAAAGUUUAAAUAUGUAUUAUCAUUUGUGGGAUUAAAUUUUUGUUCCAUCAAGAUUUACAAUUAAUUAGUGACGAUCAUUAAAUAAAAGUAUGCAUCAUAAUAAUUAAUUAAUUUUCAAAAAACAUAAAAAUAUAUGUAUAUAAAUACCUCAACAGCUAACUUUUUUUCCAAAACAUUGAUAAUGUUACUAUCAAGCGUAUAGCCAAGUAUCCCAAAACGAUUGUAGUUAUUGGAUACGUUAAAACUAUUAACAUCUAACACGAAUGCCAUCUUUUUAUGCACCAGACAGUUGAGGUCAUAAGGAUACAAUCUCGGAUCAUCACCAGCCUGGAAAGAAUGAGUUAUGUAAUAUUAUUAUGGUUAAAAGCACAUUAAUAUAGAUAAAAUCAAAUAGAUAAUAGAAUUUAAUAAAACAAAUAAUAUAUUUAUAGUAUGUCUGUUUGAUUUUCUCUAUGGGUUCACUUGCACGUUUUUUGACGAGUUUAUAAGCAUCUCUAUCAAACAUAGUGAGUGUGAUUGUUCCAGAUUCAUCUUGGACACGAAUAGGUAUUUUAUACCUACAAAAAAGUACGACAUAAAUAUCAUAUUAAAUAUUAAAUAUGUUUAAUGUGUAAUGUUUGUUAAUGUAUUUAAUUUGUGGGUGAACUAUUGUUAAAUUUUAAAAACCUUGGAACUGAAGAUAUCUCCUUUUUUUACACUUAGAAUUAUAACAUUCAACAACCACACUUGCAUCACCACUAUCUGGACCGCUGAAAACGUUUCUUGGUUCAACCUUCCUUCCACAUUUUGAACACGCAUCAUAAUACCAAUCAAUAUCUUGUCGGAUACCAUAAAUGGUACCAACAAUGAUAUAUUUCCCGACCUUAAAAAAUAUAAAAUACAAAAAGAAUCAUAAAAAAAAAUACAAUUAUAAUAUUAUAAUAAACGAAUAAUAGAUAACAAAAUCACAUUAAAAAAAACUAAAUUAUUCACAUACCUCUUGUGGUUCUAGCAAAUCGACAACAUUUUUAACGUUGUGAUUUGUCAAAAAGUCAUCAUAUUCAUUGCAUGAUUGAGAGCUAUCAACGGUCAAAGAAGAAGAAGGAUUUUGAAUUCCUCGUAAUCCAACCAUGUUGUUUUUUUUAUUUGAUAGAUUAAUUAUGAAAUUAGUAAAAUUAUUAAAAAGAAACAAAAAAAACAAUGAAUUAUUAAAAUAGAUUGUUACCUAUCUGUGAAUGUAACAAUUUCGGGAAGAUCAACAUUUAUGAACAUCGGUGUGUGUUUAUAAUAACUGUUAAAAUAGUUAAAAUAAUGAGCAAUAUAAAAGCCUAAAAUAACAAAGGGGUCCUUUUAUAAGAAAUGUACCGUUAUAGACAUUAAGUCUUGCAAACUGCAAAAUAACAACCACACGACCAACUUCUUUAUGUGCUUCAAGAUAAGAAAUCAAUUGGUAUGCAAUAUCUCCAAACAAUGUGACGUUAACCUGCAAACCUCUGCAAAAACAGUACGGGUUAAAUGAUAAUAUAAUAAUAAAAUUACAUAUGGCAGUUGUAACCUAAUCAAUUUAAUAUAUAAUAAUAAUAAUAAUAAUAAUAAUAAUAAUAAUAAUAAUAAUAAUAUAAGAUAUAAUAUAAGAAAAGUUAUGAUUUGUAAAGUUAGCCGAUGUUUGGAUUUGCUGACAUCACGGGAAUCAAGCUUUCCUAACGAAACAACUUCACCAAUAACAUCUACAAAAUGAUAAUACAAUAUGUCAAAAUGAUGUAAAAUUAAAGAAUUAAAUAUAAGAUGCAAUUAAAUAGGGGAAACAUUUACCAAUUGAGUUAUUAGAUGUAGCUGUUGCAGAAAUAAUGCUUUCAAACGAUACACAACAAAAGUCAUAUGUUGUUUUGGACUAAAAAGUUAGACAAUCAUUAACAGUUUUUCGUCCAUGCAAGUUUAACUUGGAGAGUACAUCACUUAUUUUAAAAAUGUAUCUGUUUGGAGCUAUAGUGGGGGAUCGGAUGUAAAUUGCUUUAUCUUCUUUCAGUUUUAAAAGUGUAUCUCUUGGGUAGACACUUGCUCGGAUUUUUGUACCCUAUUCACAUAUCGUAAGAAUAUUAUAUAUAUUGCGAAACAAUUGUAUAUUAAUUUAUAUAAAUUGGUCAACAUUGAAUCAAUUAUUUGACCAUGAAUGAUUUUAAAUAAUAUUAUUGGAAUGAGCAAAUAAACAAAAAAAAAUAAUUUUGAAUAAUGUAAUUAGAAUAGGAUAUUUUACCAUCUCAUCCAUUAAUAUCAUUUCAAGUGCUUUGACAAUACUAGGGUUAACUUUGGAUAAUGAUCUCCACAGCCGGAUAAUACACACUUUUAGUGUUUAAUCAUCCCUCAUGUUGUCUAAGUCUUUGAUCAAAGUGACAUUUCUAUCUGCCAUUGUCACUAUAAUAGAAAGACAUAACAUAUUAAGAAAAAAUAAUGGAACAAAAUUACACAAAAAAUAUAAAGACAAACAUAAUUACAAUUAUGUCCCUGGAGUAGUAGGCGGAUAAAAAGAUUCUGAAUAAUACAAUAAAUUAUUAUAAAACAUUCAAACAUAUUCAAACAAACUAUAUACCGCUGCUGUGAAAAUUACCAAUAUGUCCCUGGAGUUGUAGGCGGAUAAAAAGAUGAAAAACAAACAGGGCAUUUUCGUCCAUUGAACUUACUUAUAACAUGAAAAAUAAAAGUACAAUGCCAUUAUAUGUAAUAUUUUCGAAUUUUGUUGCACAUAUAAUUUUUUUUUUUGUACUGUACUGUUGGAAUACAUUUUUCUUUCCUUCUGUUAUUUUACUUUGUAACUAUUGGAACUAAUGUUUAUUAUGUUAUAUAAAGAUAAGCAUUGAUGGAAAGGAUACUAUUAGGGAGGAUGAUGUUGAUGAAUUGACUUCCAAUUCCAUAGUUACAGAUUAUGAAAUAUCAAGCAUAUCAGGUUCAGAACUAAAAUAGAACAAAAUUACACAGAAAGACAUAACAUAUUAAGAAAAAAUAAUGGAACAAAAUUACACAGAACAUAUAAAGACAAACAUAAUUACAAUUAUGUCCCUGUAGUAGUAGGUGGAUAAAAAGAUUCUGAAUAAUGCAAUAAAGUAUUAUAAAACAUUCAAACAUAUUCAAAUAAACUAUAUACCCCUGAUGUAAAAAUUACCAAUAUGUCCCUGGAGUAGUAGGCAGAUAAAAAGAUGAAAAACAAACAGGGACAACCUCAGUGAUUCAAGCAUAUCAGGUUCAGAAAAAACAAAAAACAGAGAAUUAGAUAAAAAGAUGAAAAUACAUUCUCCAUAUUUUACAGAUUUACAGAUUAUGAUAUAUCAAGCAUAUCAGGUUCAGAAAAACAAAAAACAUAGAAUUUGACAGCCUCAGUGAUAAAAUCGGUAAUUAUAAGUAAAACAAUAACAUACAACGUUAAUGUGGCCUAAGUCCUAAUUCAUAUAAAUCUGAUUAUUUACCAAUCGCAGGCGUACCUUCAAUAGUUCAAUGGGAUAGACUCGAAGAAGCAACGUAAGCAGUAAAGCAGAUUGCGAUGGGGGUAGAGAGAGAGAGAGAGGGCAUGCCGCCUGCGAUUGGUAAUUUGCGAUGGUAUCUCUCGACUAAGAAAGGGGAGCGAUAGAUGAACAGAACCAUAUUCAGACGAAUUAUGAUUGUCAAAUAAGUUUUUGAUCGUUCUUUUGCAAUUAACACAGACAUUGAGAAGCAGGGGAUUACAUAUACACAAUGAGAAGCAGAAUUGAGAAGAAGAAACUUACCGAAUGAUUGAAGCCGCUGAUUGAAUAUCUAAUAACUGAAGUAUGGAUGAUGCUUGAUUGUUGGAAGAUGAUGCUGUAAAGAAUGAUUCAUAUUUGUAUGCUUCAAGUAUAUAUUGAACAUAAUAAGAUCAAAUCGACCUAAUAAUCAAAUUUAAAUGUAAUUGAUAUGAUUGAUAUUGAUACAAUAAAAAGAUGCUCUUAAUCGGGCAUAUAACGAAAUUGAUUCAAUAUUCCAUUCGAUUUCCAUCCAUAUUCCAAAUUCCACAUUCAAAUUGCCAUAUUUCCAUAUCUAAUUUCCGUAUGUAAUGCUACGUGAAACCAAGCAGGGGUAAAAAUGGGAUUUAACAUUGGCAAGAAAGUGAAUUUUUGUUAGGACACGUUUCAAACAGGUUUUGUUUAUUAGAUAGGGAGAUGUUAUGAAUCUUGGUUAUGAUAAUACGAAUAUUGUAUGCUUGUACUUGAUUUACGAUCGAUUAUGUGGGGUUAUGCAUAGAGGGCAAGGGUAGGACCUAACACUUAGCAUGAAACCCUAUCCAGAUACAUUCGAGCCUCGUUAGUUGAGAAAUACCUUCUAGGAAAAGAGAUUAAUCCAUUUACGAGUUGAUCGGUCUUUCUAGAUGCCCGUGCGACACAUUGUACGCGUACACUUCGGUGUUUGCGGAUUGGAGUGAUGUUGGCCAUUCGAACGAGGCUUGUACAGACAUCACGUAGGUGUUGGGAGGUGGCGGACGAAUGCCACUGCUUGUACCAACACCAGAACGGCACCGCGAUGUACUUGUACAUUACAUAGUCGGAGUAGUGAAAGUGGAGUCUUGGGGUCGGUGUGGCAGGGGGGGGUCACGAACCACCUAAAGCACUUGGUUGUCCAGACACACAAGUAGCGAACGGGUUUUCCUUUUGGGUUAGGUAUUACUACGAGACUACCUAUGCCUAUACGAUUAUGAUACAUUUUUUUUUAUAUGAUGAUAUACGAUUACGAUAUGAUUAUGCAUGAAAUACAAUUGAUGUUACAUAAAUGAAUGAUAUGUGAAUGGAUGAUACAAAGUUGAAUGAUUGAAUUUUAUGUGAAAUAUGAUUGAUUAUUGAUUGGUAUGUGAAUUUUGUUUAUAUGAUUAAAAUAUGAAUGAUUGACCCGUUAAGGGAUGGUAUGUUUUCCCUUUGAUUGUGUACAAACUCUUAUUGGCUCACGAAGCAUUUGUUGACACUUGUUUCUUUGCUUUGUGCCUUUAUGAUUGGUACAGGUAGCUUAAGAGCUUCGCUUGGUGAGAUGGGGUCAUUUUUUGGUAGUUUAUCCUUAGAAUAAAGAUGCCACUUGGAAACGUUAUUUAUUUUUUGAUACUUAUGCUUCCACUACAAUUAAAUACUUUUGAUAUUUUGGUUUUAAAUUGAACGUAACUUGGUGGUUUGAAAUGUUUUUAAAAUAAAUAAUGUGUACACUCUUCCGUUGCAUUUUCCGUUAAAAGAUUUUAAAAAUAAAUGAAAUUUUUUCGCGAAAAAUCAUGACUUUACAAUUAAAUCCUUAAUAGAUUAAGUCCUUAACAGGUUAAGUAGGAACACUUAACCCUAAUCGUCAUUUUAUGUGAAAAACCCUAAUUGGGUUUGGGUUCUUAUUAGGUCACUUAUUGGACUGAGUUGUUGUGGGCCUUUGUGGGCCAAUUGGGAACAUAUUUAUGGACUAAGGAAAUUAUUGGUCUUUAGGAUAAGGCCCGUUGGAAAGGCUUGGGCCCAAUUUGGAAAAUUGGGCCAUAAUUAGGCCUUGAUGAUUAUGAGACUGGAUUAAAUGGUUGGGCCUUAAGAUAAGCCCAUGUAGAGGUUUGGGUCCAAUUUGGAAAAUUAGGCCAUAUGUUGGGCUUUGGUCCAUAGUUUGACUUUUGGGCUUUUGGAUUGGGCCUUGGAGUUGAAUAAAGCUAAGUCAGGGGUAAAAUAGUCUUUUACCCUAACCAUGGAAUUAUGGUUAUGUAUUGGAACCCAAUUAUUAAUUGGGUGUCGUUUUGAUGUUGAUAGUUUAGGAACCUAUCAACCAGCAGCUAAGAUUUUACCCGUGGAACUUGAGCAAUGCGAAGUGAGUCUCCUCACCAUACCAACGGGUCGAAGGCACCAAUGUCAGCCCAUUUUAUGUUAUGUGAUACACUAGCUAAAGUUGUAUUAUGUGGCAUGUUAGCUGGUUAUGUCAUAGGAAGUAUGCUAGUGGUAUAUGUGGUAUGCUUGUAUGGAAGACCAUGGGAGAGCCCAUGGCACCUGGAUGUAAGACCAUGUGGAGAGCCUAUGGCUUUCUUACUAUGUUUUAGUGUUAAUGUAGAUUCACUAUUGAUAUGUUUGGUAUGCACGUAUAUGUGGUAUGCUAGUGAUUAAGUGAUAUACUAGCUGACUAUGUGGUAUGUGGUAUGCUAGUUGUCUUUGUGAUACUUGCAUGAAAGCCCAUGGGAGAGCCCAUGGCACCUGGAUGUAAGACCAUGCGGAGAGCCCAUAACUUUCUUACUAAAGACCAUGGGAGAGCCCAUGGUAACCAGAUGUAAGACCAUGUGGAGAGCCCAUGGCUUUCCUAUUAAAGACCAUGGGAGAGCCCGUGGCAUUUAGGUGUAAGACCAUGUGGGGAGCCCAUGACAUCCUGGAGUAAGACCCUGGGGACGAGCCCACGACAUCCUUAUAUGUUUAUAUUCAUGGCUUAUAUGAUUGAUAUGACUUAUGUGGAUAUGUAGCUAAUAUAACUAAUAAAUAUUAUGAGAUUAUGUGGAUUGUAUGAGGUAUGCUCUGGGGAAUUCACUAAGCUUCGUGCUUACAGUUUUGUUUAUGGUUUCAGAUAUUUAACUUUAGGAAAGGAAGGGCUCAGCUUGACCGCAGCGUACACACCCAUGCUUUCCACAAUGAAUGAAAUGUUUUAAUUAACAAUGUUUUGGAAUGAUUGGAAUAAAUGAUAUCUAUGUUUGGGUUAUAUUAAAAAUGAAAUUGUUACCCCUGAUUUUUGGGUUGUUACAAUGAUAUUCAAUUAAAACACAGGUCUUUUGGCCUAGCACUAUCAUAUGUUGGAAAAGUGACCCUUCCUAAUGUUAGAAAAACGGGUUAUUUUGAUUGCUUGGAUACCAUUGAAAGUCAUGAUACACUUUCAAAUUGAAUUAUUUUGAUGGUACAAUCAAAAUAUCAAUUGGAUAAAAUUCAGUGACAAACAGAGAAUGAAAAUGUUAUGAUUCUUGUGUGUACCAGAUUUAAAUAACCAAAAAGGGAUAUAACUCCUUAUCUGAAAACUAUCAUAUUGACAUUUACAAACUGCCACAAAACCGUCACUAAAUUGACUUAGUCAGCUUGACAAACAAGAACCACAUAUUUAACAUACAAAGCAAAGAGAAAAAGUUUCCUAAUACUUGUAAAAAUCAAAUGAUGUAAAAAAAUUAGAUGUCACAAAAUCUAGUAUUAACAUAGAUUUAAUAAAACUGAUAGAUUACUUGUUUAUAUAUCGUAAAAAUUUAUUCCCAAGGUCAUCCUUAACUCACUAAUAAAUUUUGGGAGUAACGAUAUAACAAUAUCUAUUCGGUACUCCUUUGAUAAAAUUUUGAAUUUUGUGUGGUCAAUAAGUCGUAUUUUUGGAUUGCUAAUAGGAGUAGAAAAGCUAAAAUCAUUUGGGUCUAUGAGCUUCGUAAUCCUAUUUUAGCUUGCACUCUUAUGUAAUGCUAUUUUUCCUUGCUUCCUGCUAGUUUUUAUAAAAUUUUUUGCUGUUCCAAAAAAAAAAAAAAAAAAAAACUCCUCUAAUAUAUUGGUCGGUCGACUUUGAGAUACAAUUAAGAAGGUUCUCUAGCCACAUCACACAUCAUCCUCCCCCAAUGACCACCACACAAUAAUAUCGAUUUGGUAUAGACCAACAACUCUCUAUUUCCCCAUCUCCCUUAAAUCAAUCUUCACUUCCUUACUUUUCAGUUUGUUUUUUAAUAUUCAUACAUAGAAACUCAUGUUGGAGCAGUUAACACACAUAAAUGUCCUUAAUAUUGGAAUCCCUCACCAACAAAGUAGCAUCGUUAAGUAACUAAUAAGUUAGAGACCAUACGUACAAAUUAGCCCAAACCAUAGGGACCAUUCGUGUAAUUUACUCUUCCUCUUAAUAUACAUAUUUUUUAUUAGAGACAGACCGCUGUCAUCCUCAAUAUAAUACAUGUGUCCCCAAGUCCAUUUUGCAAUUCUUUUUGGAUUUGGCAAACUUGUAUAUACAAUUUCCUCUCUUUACUUUUCAUAUGUCAUAACCUUUGCUUUAGUUAUUGCUUUCUUCUUCCAAUUUCUUGUCACCUUGUAAAUAUUUCUUUGACCUCUCUUCUUUCCCAAUUGUCACUACUUAAUAGAAAUUCUUUAAAAGGAGUUUCUUUAUUUUGACCUUGAACCUUCUUGCUCCACCAUUCCGAUUAUUAGCUUAGCCUUUCAUCCUUGACGGAUAUGGCCUCCUGCUACAAUUACCAUGUAACAGAGCCGGCCCAAAGCAAGUUCAUCCAGUGCCUUUGAACAUGGCCCAAAAAAUCAGAGGGCCCAUUUUUUUUCAUUCUUUAAUAGGGUAUGUUCAUUUGGCCCAAAAAAUUUAGGUUAUAUCCAUCUAUAUACUCAGUUAACGAAUGCAGGAAGCAGGCAAGAGGGAGCAGGAACUCAAUUUUCGGGAAAAAGAGAACUCUUCGGUUUCUUCAUUGGUAACGCACGCAUGGAUAAUAGGAAUCAUCAUUGCUGGAACGGUAACAUCAAUUUACAUUCAUUUAUCAUUCAUUCUAUUCCAUCAAUUUACCUUCACUUCUUAUUUCUUCCUUCUUUAUCUUCUUCUUCACUGAUCAGUUUUUACAAAGAUUACCAACAAUUUUAGAAGAUUCAAAAGAAGAAAUUCAAAGCCAUCAAAUUUCGAAAUCAGAAGGUUCAAUAUCAGAAUUCAGAACAAUCAAAAUUCGAAAUAAGAAGCUUCAAAAUCUUACAGUCUUACAGUCUUACAGUUUGAGUUUCGAAAUCAAAGGUAUAAUACUAAAAUUAAACUUUAGUUUAUUGUUUCAUGGGUUUGUUUUUUCUAAUUGAGUAAUUUGAUAAUUUCAGAUUUCUUAUCGGUUCUUCUUUUUUCAUUUUCUUUAAUUCCAAAUUACUAAAUCAGGAUGAACAAUCAACAGUGAUAUCAGUUUUCAAAAAUUUGAACUUAGAAGGAACAAGGAAUUGAGGUAAAUUCUAAUUCAGAUUUCUACUUUUUAUGUUUUUUUGUUUAUGAUAAUUUCGAAUUUGUAAGAACUAAGAAGUAAUUAUGAAUUUAUGAUCUCAUCAUUUCAGAUUGCAAAUUUUCUGAUUUCCUUAGAAUCAUAUUCUUGUUUUUUUGAUUUGAAGUGUCGAUGAUAAUAAGGUAAUUUUUGGAUUUCUUAUAUGAUAUCAUUGCAGAUUUUGUGAUUUCUUUAGAAGCAUAUUCUGAUUUUUUUUCUUUGCAGUUUUGUUACAUUCUUUUGGUGAUUUGAAGUGUGGAAAAUCUGAACCAAGAAGGAAUCUAUAAAUUGGAAGUCAUAAAUAAGGUCGUUUCUUUCUUUUCUAUAACUUAUUAUGCCUCCUAAAAUAAAAAAAUAUGCAUCUGGAUAUGAAAAACGUAAGAAAAAACAAAAAAUUGAAGAAGAUAAUAAAACUCAAGCAGGAUCUAUGGAUAAGUUUAUAACAAAAAAAACACAAAACUUUACGAAAAAUGAAACACAAAAUGUUAAUGAAGCUAAUCUUGAUAAAAUGAUAAUGUUGAUGUUGAUGUUGAUGUUGAUGUUAAUGAUAAUGUUGAUGUUGAUGUUAAUGCUAAUGUUAAUGUUAAUGUUAGUGAUAAAGUUGAUUUUAAUGAUAAUCCUAAUGUUGUUGUUGAUGAUAAUGUUGAUUUUCACACUUUUGAUAUAUUUGAUCCAAGAAAUCGGGAUGCUCUUGAUUCUAGUAUGAUAAAUAUUUUAGUGUUGAAAGGUCCUAAAAGAGAUUUGUCUCUUACAAAAGGUCCUAAAGAUAAAUAUUUAAGAAGAUUUUCUGCAACAUAUUAUACUAAAACUUUACCAAAUGGGGAAAAAUGUGAUAGAGAUUGGCUUGUUUAUUCUAAAGAAAUUGAUAAAAUUUUUUGUUUUUGUUGUAAAAUAUUUCGAAAAGGGUGUCGGAAGGGUCAAUUAGCAAAUGAGGGUUUUAGGGAUUGGAUACAUCUUAACACUAGAAUUAAAGAGUAUGAAACUAGUAUGAAACAUGUUAAAACUAUAAAUACUUGGUAUGAUUUGCGUUUAAGAUUACAAAAAAAUGAAACUAUUGAUAAUGCGGCUCAAAAACAAUUAGAAAAAGAAAAAGUUCAUUAGAGACAAGUUUUGUUGAGAAUUAUUUCUAUUGUGAAAUUUCUUGCUAAACAUAAUCUAGCUUUUCGUGGUACUAAUGAGAAAUUGUAUGAAGAUAACAAUGGAAAUUUUUUAGGCUUAUUUGAAAUGUUGGCUGAAUUUGACAUGGUUUCUUAUGACCAUAUACAACGUAUUACAAAUGAAAUUGGUAUCCAUAAACAUUAUCUUGGGCAUAGGAUACAAAAUGAAUUAAUACUUUUGCUUUCUUCAGAAAUAAAGUCUAUGAUUAUUAAAAAGAUAAAAAAUGCAAAAUAUUUUUCUAUAAUACUUGAUUGUACUCCUGAUAUAAGUUACCAAGAGCAAAUGACUAUUAUUUUAAGAUGUGUAGAUGUCUUGUCAAAUGUUGUUUGCAUUGAAGAGUCUUUUUUAGGGUUUUUAGAUGUAAAUGAUACAACCGGCCAAGGACUCUUUGAUGUUUUACAAAAUGAAUUGAAUUUGCUUGAUCUUGACAUUAAUAAUAUACGUGGCCAAGGUUAUGAUAAUGGAUCAAAUAUGAAAGGAAAACAUCAAGGAGUGCAAAAAAAGCUUUUAGAUAUAAAUUCAAGGGCUUUUUAUACUCCUUGUGGUUGUCAUAGUUUGAACUUAACUUUAUGUGAUAUGGCUAAUACUUGUGGUAAAGCUAAAGGUUUUUUUUGGAACAAUACAACGUAUCUAUACAAUUUUUGCAAAUCCCACUAAGAGAUGACAAAUUUUAAAAGAUAAUGUGAAAGGGGUAACUCCUAAAUCGUUGUCAUCCACUCGUUGGGAGAGUCGUGUUGAUAGUGUUAAAGCUAUAAGAUUUCAUAUACAAAAAGCUUUACUUCAAGUAGCCAAAAAUGAUAAUGAUCCAAAAAUAACAAGUGAAGCUAAAUCCUUAGCAAAAAAUGAACUUGACAACUUUGAGUUUAUAUUGGCAUUAGUAAUUUGGUAUGAAAUGUUAAACACUAUUAAUUUAAUUAGCAAACAAUUGCAAUCAAAAGAUAUGUUUAUUGAUGUUGCUAUGGAAAAAAUAAUGGGGUUAAUUUCGUAUUUUAAGGAAUAUAAAGAAAAUGGGUUUUUAAAUGCUUUACAAACCGCAAAAGAUAUUGCCUUAGAAAUGGGGAUCGAUCCAAUAUUUCCUAAAAAACGUGAACCUAAAAUAAAAAAACAUUUUGAUGAGAUUUCAAACGACACUUCUUAUAGUUUUUCACAAUCCGCCCAAGAGAAAUUUAGAGUUAAAUAUUUUAUUUAUAUUGUUGAUCAAGCAAUUAGUUCUUUAACUACAAGGUUUGAACUAUAUCAAUAAUAUGAUAAAAUAUUUGGCUUUUUAUUUAAUUCAGAAAAAUUGCUUUCAUUAGAUGAUAUAACAUUAAAGUCUUGUUGUAUGUCUCUUGAAACUUCACUCAAGAAAGAUGAGCAAUCGGAUAUUGAUGGAAAUGACUUAUAUGUUGAAUUAAAAUUACUUUUACAUCUCUUGCCUAAGGAAAAAUUGACAGCAAUUGAUAUUCUAAAUUUUUUAAAACGUGUUGAUUGUUUUCCUAUUACAUCUAUUACAUAUAAAAUUAUGUUGACUAUUCUUGUUACUGUUGCAUCUGCAGAACAGAGUUUUCCAAAAUUGAAGAUUCUGAAGUCCUACUUAAGAUUUACAAUGACUCAAGAACGACUUAAUGGAUUGGUUUUGAUGACGAUUGAGCGUAAUAUGUUGGAUAAAGUUACUUAUGAAGAUGCUAUUGAAAAAGUUUAUUUCAACGAAUAUUAGGAGGAUGACUGUUUUCAAGUAGAAGCUAAUUUUUUUUUGUAUUAUUUUGAAUGAAAUUUUAAUUUUAUGUAUUUGCAAUAGAAAAUUAAACUAUAAUUUUUUUUUUGCUUAAAUUUUGAGAUCUUUCAAAUUUUAGAGCCUAUUUUUUGUUAAAUCGCACAUGGUCUUCAAUAUCUCAGGGCCGGCCCUGCCAUGUAGACCGAGACCCCUACUUGUAACUAACCUUUUCGGUCCUAAUAGAUACACAUGUAAAAAACUAAUAACUACUAACUAACUAUUAAUUAUUUAAUAUAAAAUACAAAUAGAACAUCAAUGAUAAAUAUUAAAAGGGUGUUGCUAAAUUGACACCCCUUAGACACCCUAUAAACACUUUUAUUAAAAGUCAAUUUAUAAUAAACUAUUCACAAUUUACUUUUUCAAAAAACAAUGCAAAUUAACUAAUAAAAAAAUCUUAAAAAUCAAAUAAGGUUUCAACAUGAGAGAAAUUAUAUUGCAAUAAGUUUGUUGUCAGGUGAGGAAUACAAUGCAUAAAUGAUUUACAAAAUCGAAAGUUCCAGACACAAGUUAAAACUUAAAACCCUAAAAGACCACACAAAUUUCAAUCGUCGACAUACCCCACCACAAAGGCACAAACAAUCAAUGAAACAAGUGUAGAUGUAGAGGCCUUUUUCACCACAAUCACCCUUCAUCGGCCAUUUCGAAGGCCACGUGAAAUGUCACUAACGUGGCCCUCUAAAUAUCCACUACUUUGUCUUUAACCCCUCCCCCCUCCCUUAUAAAACACUCCAUCCUCCUCCUUAAUCACCAUCACCAACAACCUUCUCUCCUCCCUCAAAAGUACCACCAUCUUUUCCGACAUGGCUACUUCUUCAAUCUUCAUGGCAACUCCCAUCACACUCCUCAAGAAAACUCCCACCUUCUCCGUCAAAUGUAUGUCACAAACACCUCAAAGCGGUGAACCGGAGGUUUCAAAACCAGCAACCACCCCAACACUACCACAGAUCAACAUUCCUCCUCCUCCGCCACCUGCUCCAAAGGUCAGCACGAAGUUCUCUGACGUGUUGGCGUUUAGUGGACCUGCACCGGAGAGGAUCAACGGAAGGUUAGCCAUGAUAGGGUUUGUGUCGGCGAUGGCUGUGGAACUGAGCAGCGGUCAAGACGUGUUCACCCAGAUCGGCAACGGCGGUGUUGCGGUGUUUGUCGGGACAAGUGUGGUGUUGACGUUGGCGUCGUUGGUGCCGUUGUUUAAAGGAGUGAGCGUGCAGUCGAAGUCGAGUGGACUGAUGACAUCAGAUGCAGAGCUUUGGAAUGGGCGGGUUGCGAUGUUGGGUCUGGUGGCUUUGGCUUUUACUGAAUAUGUUAAAGGCAGUGCCCUUGUCUAGAUAAUGUAGCAUAAACUUUUCUAUUACAGAAUUACAUCUAAGAUAGGCAAAUGUAUAUUCUUUUGAAUAUUUAUGUGUAUCGAUUUACCAUACAUAGUUCAAAUCAUGAAAAUCAUGUUUUUUUGAUAAUAUAGUAUAAAACAAAUAUGAUCAAUCAAAUCGAACGAUUGUGGUAUCUUUCAAUAUAAAAUUCUUUUUACAAAAAUAAACAAACAACAUACUAAGAUAAUUUUUUGAGGAAUGAACCUAGAUUAGCAAUAUAAGAGUCAAAGUCUACAAAGAUAUUGACAUCCUAGUUUCACAACUUCCUCUUUGAAUGUUGAAGGUGAUCAUUAAUUCAGACUGAAUAUGUGGCUAAGUCCAGCCUAGUCAAUUAGCCAAUUUAAGUUGACAAGUAUCCAAAAUUCAAAUAAACUACAUGGCUCAAUUUCAAAGAAAACUGAAAAAUGACUAAUGCUCACAAAAUGAUCACCGAAUCAAUUUAGGCUAUGAGGAGUGGUCACAUUCAAACCACCGGAAAAACGCUGCAAAGUCAGUGAUAUGUCAACUCCAUCACCUUCUAAACAUUGGAAACAAUUACCACUCCGUGUCAUUUAUAUUUUCAUUUUUUUUACAUUAGAUUAAAUAAAAAACAUAAUUACUAACUUAAGUAAUCAUUUUACUAAUUAAAAAAUCAACUAAACAUAUAUUAAUUUUCAAAAUUAAAUAAACAUAUAUAGUAUAUAUAGUUGAGGGUUUAACUUAAUUCAAAGAAAAGUAAGAGGGUAUAAUAAGAUUAAAAGACAUAAUUUUAGAGACCAAAUUUGUAACUUUAGUUAAAGCAAAUAUGAAUGGUCUUCUUCACAGGUCAUUGCUCAAUACCAUUUUUUUUCUUUUACUUCGAUGGAUACAAAGGAAAAGGGAAAAAAAGGGUCAAAUAAAUGACCGUUAUUGUUCUUGCUUUCUUAUCCGUCGUCUUCAUCCGUCUUUGCACCCACAUUACACCCAAACCACCGGCCUUAGGGGUGGUGGUGUUCACGUGUCCUUAGGCCGGACACAUCAGCAAGAUGUGUGAGUUAGUCCUCCCACUCCGAUUAGCCUUAAGCACUUAUUAAAAGCUAGUCUAUUUCUUGUUAGGUUGAAAUCUAAUGUUAUCAUCAAAUCUAUACAAGAUUGAGAUUGAUAUUAUAGUAACAAUCUCCCAAAGAAAAAUAAUAUAUUUAAAAGAAUAUAUAUAUANNNNNNNNUAUAUAUAUAUAUGAAUUAUGCCCCAAGAAGUACUAUGCAUGAGUAUAAGAUUACUAUUAUCUUUGGAUCCAUUAAUUGAUAACUAAGCAUACUUCAAAGUUACUAUAUGGUCGUAUGAGACCCGCGAAUAGGAAAUUGGCUGCACCCUUGGCCCGAUUCGAAGGCUAAAACCCAAAAGAACCAUGCACAUGAUUCGAACCAAGUGCUCUAAUGCUAUUUUGCCCAACUUACAUGAACUACCUCCAUACACAUACUUAAGAAACCCAUAAUCUCAUCCAGAUAGAGCAGGAAUGCCAGAGAUAAUCGGAAUAAUACCUCAAUCAAUUACAAAAAACAUCCGCAUUAUCGGUUGAAACAAGAUCCCAUACUUGAUUGAGACUGAACGGAUUCCAUCGCUACACAACUAGCUCGAGAAGACUUCCACGGAUCUCGAAAGUUGCCUAAACCUGAGUCUGCUAUGAAAUAGGUUCCCACUCCACCAUUGAGGGUAAACACACUUGAAGCCCCAAUGGACAUAGAUCAUACUAAGCUUGAUAACAGAUCAGCCUGACCACUACAUCUCGACUGACACAAUUAAACUUCCAAGUGAACUUUUAUUGAUUGAUGAACCCCACAACCAGUGGUCGAGGACACUUUAACACUUAGUCCAGAGAAUCAAGACCACAUAGAACUGAACAUACCCACUCAUGGAAAGAUCCAUCGACCAACGUCUGCCCAACUAAUAUGAAAAUAGUAAUCCAACAACAAACUGGGAAAUCCCUCAACAGCUAAAAAUACUCAACCUGAGAAUCCCGAUUCUCCUCCACUUAGGGCUUAAACUACCAUUCACUAGCGCUAAAACCAAAUCAUAAAUCAAACCAUAUUGAGGAUAUACUCCCUUCCUAACCCUGGAAGUUACGAGCCUCUUCACUCCUUCCCCGAACUCGGAAAAAAUGAAAGGGCAUAACCCUAGCCAUUGAUAAUGACGUUCCAAACCAACAAUCAACCACUUCCAACUGUAAAACCCAAGUCAAUCUUAAUCAUCGUCCCCUUCACGAGUCCCGCGACUCGAAUACCCGACCUCAAGCAAAACCCCCGAGGCCUCAAACAAAAAAGCUCCCUAGGUCUGCACCAAACAAACAAAAUCACUAACGCCACUGGGGCUCAAAACACUUACCAUAUCCAUCCGCAUGUCGGAGCAUCCACAAGCAAAAUAUUAACAGGAACAUAAACACUGCCGCGAAUCAUGGUAUCCAACCAUGCUAUCUUCACCGACCAACCCUUAGAAUCCCCAAAACCUUCCUUGAUUAGAUUAUGGAUCCUGUGCUUCAAGUAGUACUGGCCCAAUACUACCUUCCAUACCUAUCCAUACUUUCCUCAAGAAUCAUCCCAAGUCUUUUAAGUCCUAGUCAUAAAAUACUCCUGAAACUUGCUUAACAAUGAAGCAACCACGCUAAAAUACUCACCUACACUCCCUCUGCCAUCAACUGCUGAUAAACCCCUACCAAUGCCAGCUAACCACUUCAUGAAUACAAUUACACACAACCAAGCUUAAAUAAUCCUUCGAAUAAAGGGCUUAGCCCUACAACGAUUGGACUCAAACGAGAGCUGCACAAUAGGUUUGAGUCCUUCAUUCUAAGAUUAUUUAACCUUCAUAGCAUGUAAUUUUAUUAUAUUCACUUGAUGGUUAACUCCCAUCAACAUGGGUCCCACAAAGCACAAAGCAAGCAACAUUCGGGUAGAGAAGCCGACUGCGACUAAAACGCAACAAAAUCAGACAUAUCCUCAUAGAAAAUCCUCGAUCUCAAACUCCUCGCACCACGAGUGCGCCUUCACCCUGCUCUCACUCUCCCCAGAGUGGUUAAUCAUUCCUCGUGCUUACCCGCUAUACACUGCACCCACUCAUGAAACUUCCACCAACCCUACAACACUCGUGUAUGCUAGCCGUACAUAACACUGGAUCCUAUAGACAGUCGAAUAUCUGAUCCUACUCUAAGCCCUUCAUCAAACAAGAACAUGAAAUAAGGCCAAACCAAACAUUCUCAGGCUAUAGAAUCUUAGUUAUGUACAACUAUGAUGUAUACACUAAGUAACUGUAGUAGAUGAUGUCAAUUUCAUUUAAGGAAGAACCCUAGGCUAUCAGACAUCAUAUAAUCAUGCAACUUUGUCAUGCAAUUCCUGAAGAUCCCUAGCCUAUCACUACCAUGCUAUUCUAAUAUUUCACAAGAUCAAAUAAAGUGUGGUAAUUUGGGGUCUACUUACUAGCUCCGACUGAUCAUACACAUCGUAUCCUCUUUAGUUUGAAAGUUAUUUUUAAAACCUUUACUUUGAAAAUUACUUUUUUUAAAACACCUUUUCCUUAGUUUGAGACCGGAUUCACACGAGUUUUCCUCCCAUUCACUCAAACCAAGGCUCUGAUACCAACUAGUAACGUCACAAAAAUUUCAACAAAUCUAAACCUUUCAAAACAACCCAUAUGUUAACAAAAGUGAUUUGAUCCGCAGGCACUCUGCACGCCUUGAACUCCCGUAAUGAGGGAGUUCGAGCCCCAAUCUGACCCACAGUGAUCUCAGAUCGGAAAGAACAAUCCGCUCCUCCAUAUCCUCCAUGAUCCCCUCCUUGACGGUACUGAACCCGAUCUCGAACCUGAACCUCCUCGCGUAGCCAUCAUAAUCUUCAACUGAAAAUACAACAUAGAAAGAAAUUGAUAAGGAAGUUCAAAGGGAUUUCUCCCCACUGGACUCCUUAAAGCCUUCAGGUAUGUCCUUGUCUCGGGUACAAGUCUUGUGCUUUUAGUAGUACGGACCAAAUACUACCUUCCACACCUACCUGUACAUUCCCCCAAGGCCAUACCUGAUACCUCCAAUUCACCAAACCAUAGAUAAAACAUGACCUACGAAACACAGCACAUACACAUAUCUUAGAAUCUUCGGGGAUUUCUCAAUCCUCAUAGAACCAGAAACCUCAAUCAACACCGCAUGUUGCCUUAUGCAUGCAAGUUAUACAUUAAUAGAAUCAUAGAGACUGUCAAAUAAAGUUUCUACCCUAAGACCACAACCAAACAAGGAACAAGAAGUAAGGCAGAAUCCAUCGUUCUAGGGCUAUAAAAUCCUAAACAUAUACAACUUUGAAAGCAUACACUUAGCAAAUAACAACGUCAACAUCGAUUCCAAGCAUUAUAUUCAUAGCAUUGAACUCUCCUAGGCUACAAGGCAUCUCACAAAUCAGACAAUUCUCAUAACACCUAAAGGUAUCCUUAGCCCUAUUCUAGCAUGCAUUUCACACAUUAACAUACUAGUUGCAAUUCAUAAGCAUGGUUAAAUUUUUGGAAACACUUACUUGAGCUUGGCUGAUUUCGCGCAUUGCGCUCUCCCUUUUUACUUAAGAAAACCGGUUUAAGAAAAACUUGACUUUUGUUUCUUUUUUUAAAAAGGUUUACCAUUUCCUCAGUUUGAGUUGUGACACAUAGUGUGCCCGAAUUCCUCAAACCAAGGCUAUGAUACCAACUUGUAAAAGCCCAAAAAUCCAGAUAAAAAUUUUCAUUUAAAAAAAAAUAGAAAUUACAAUCAUAAUUUGUUUCUUAAAAUCCAUUACAUCAUUUCAUAUCAAAAUAUCAGAGUAUCAAUAUCAAUAAAUGAGGAAAUUCUUGGGAGUGAAUGUUGCGCCAUCUAGCUAGGCCCUUCCCCUUAGUACCGAAAGUACCUGAAAACACCUAAAUAAACUGUAAGCAAAAACUUAGCGAGUUCCCAAAAUACAACAUAACAUAUAACCACAGAAUACCACGCCACAUACAUAAGAUUGCCAUGGACAACCCCAUGGUCUUUACUUGGAAUGCCAUGGGCUACCCCAUGGUAUUUACCUAGAAUGCCAUGGGAUACCCCCAAGGUCGGAUAUCCAAGUGCCAUGUGCUACCCCAUUGGUCUUUACCUGGAAUGCCAUGGGCUACCCCCAUGCUCUAAUAUCCAAGUGUCGUGCGCUACCCCCAUGGUCUUCAUAUAAGUGCCACAGGCUACCCCCGUGGUCUUCACAUAAUGAAUUGCAUAAAAACUAUCAAUCCACAUGUCAGGCAAUGGGCCGCCAUUGGUGCCUUCGACCCAUUGAUAUAGUGAGAAGACUCACCUCAGACUGCUGAUAAAAAUACUGCUCGGCUAACGCUCUAGAUAUCUGACACUGAAUAUACACAAGUUAACCUAAUUAGAAUUAAGUCACAAACUCAAGGCCUAGGCCAAAACCCUAAGUACAAACUCCUCCAAUAAGGCCCAAAGUCUUUUUCCUUUAAUGGGCCUAACAUCCAAGAUCCAAAAAGGGGCAUAAGGCCCAAAAGGCCUAGCCAUGCCACUUAUGGUCCAACAACAAGUUCAAAGGCCCAAAUACUAUAAUAGAUCCAGGCCCAAGUCUAAGUAGAGCCCAAAUAGCUUAAAGGCCCAACAAAAGCCCAAAACUCAUUGGAAGCGUACGCCCAACGUACAUCAUCAGUACGCUUAGCAUACUGGGUUCUUUGGCGGUUAGCGUAGUGUACAAGCUAGUAUGCCCAACGUACAAGCUACUUUGCACAAAAAGCCAUUAAGUGCUUAAUUCAUGAAGCCAUUUCGUCCGAUUCCAGAUCUUGGUCAUCUUAAAGGUCCUAGGGCAUAAAGAUGGUAACUUUAUGUGUUUACAUGCCAUAUGGGAACCCAACACCUGAUUUUAUCCAUUAAGACUCCCUUUAAGAUCUUAAACUCAUGCAUGGUGCCAUAACAACCAUCAAGUUAGCAUUUUUAUGCUUUUAACAUGCCAAAGGAACUAGGAUCUAACAUUUAUAAUCUCUGGAGUUGUUCAAACUUACAAAAGAGGAUCCAUGGACCAAAAAUGGACUUAUUACCAAACCCUAACUCAAACUAGCGAAAGGAUAAGCAAGUUCUGGACUUUUUACCUCCAAAAGUUUUCCAAGAUGAAGUAGAUGCAGGAUCUAGAAGCUCAAACACGUCUAAGAGUUGAUCACAACCUUCUCCUUCUUACACACACAUUAAAAUAGCCACCAAAAUCACUUUUAAGCUCAAGAAUCACACUCACUUGCAAACUAGGGUUUAGGGACGAUAAGAGGCAAUAAAAGCUAUGUAGGGUUAGGUCCAAAUGUCAUAAGAGUGUUAAAAUAGGGUUCAUGCGCAAAAAUUAGGGUUUUUGUCAUAUGCCACGUACUCCUCGCAUACAUGGUGCAUGUACGCAUCUAAACCACCCUAGUACGCUAAGCGUACACGUAUGUACGCCCUGUUGGAUUAGUGUUUAAGUCCAUAACUAUAUUUGGUAUGUAUUUGACCAGGUUGUGCAUGGUCCUUUUAGGUUGCCUUCACCGAAGCAACUUGACUAGAGGAAUUAUAUAGAAAGAGGUGAUUAUGGUUUAUUAAUAUAUUAUAAGAUUUAUAUAUUAAAAGAGAAAUCAUGUUUGAUUAAUUAACAUUGGUCAAGAGUUAAUUAAACAUUAGUUUUGUGAUCAAAAGAAGUUAAUUGAACUUAAGGGGCUGAACUGUAAUUAUGUGAUAGUUACAAAGUUAGGCAAGGAAACCCUAAUGGAUAGGGUGGAUGAAUUCUAGGGAUAUAGCCUUAAGAAUUCGCCCAUGAUAGGGAUUCUAGAAUUAUCUUAUGGGCUGCUUGGUGGCUAAGUAACCAUAUAAGAAUAAUGAAUGAAACCCUAAUUCCUAAACCUAUAUAAAGGACCCUUGGUCAUGGGAAUUUCGGCAACUUGAACCCUAGAAGUCCUAGAGCCGAAAUUCUCCUCUUCCCUCUCUUGCUUCCUCUAAUUGCUAUUGGUGUUUGUUAUUAAUUAGAGGCACAACACUUGAGGUGCUAAAGUUGUCAAGGCUUCAAGAUCUUCAAUCAACAACGAGGUAAGCAUCUUGAUAUACUUUGCUAAGUUAAUUUCAAUUAUAUACACUAGAUCUAGGGUUUGAAAGUCUUGGAUGAAUGCACGUACAAUUAGAGAAACCUAGAUCCAAGCAUUAGGGUUUGCAUGAGCACAUAGGAUGUUCUUUUGGCUCAAACCUAUCAGUGGUAUCAGAGCUUUUGUUUGGUUUCUAUUGUAUUGAUGCCUUGCUUGUUCAUCCUCUCUUGAAAAUCGUGAUUUUGUGUUCUCUGCCUGACGAACUCGAUGAGUCCCAAUGUGGGCUCGACGAGUAGGAUGAACUCGACGAGUCCAUAAGGGCACUCAACGAGUCGGAGCGUCAGACAUAGAUUUUCGGGAUUUCUUGUUGUUUUGCUUAAUGAUAAUUACCUAAAUCGUUUUUGACUAAUAAAAUCUGAAUUUUAUUACUGCUUUAUGUUUAUCCUUUCCAAAACAAAAGAUAAUUUCCAUUUAUUUGAAUAAUAAAUUCCUUAUAUGAUAAUAAUUGAUUAUUUAAAUUAUUUGUUGAAUUAUCUUAUGAAUAAAAUUGAUUAGGUCAAAUUUAGAUAAUCAUUAAAUUAAUUGUUUAAUUUAAAUUAUUUGCUAUUUGAUCCUUUAUGUUUUGAAAAGUUCAAAACUUGUCCUCAAGUUUUGAAAUUUAAAUUUGUGAUUAAAAGUUUAAUUUAAACUAUUUAAAUUUCAAACCCUAGAAUUUUACAAGUUUAAAAUUCAACCUUAUACUUUACAAUANUUAAACGCUAGUCUUACUGUUAGUAGGCCUCAUUCACGAAGCCGAUCUAGAAGGAGGUAUAAGGUUAUGACCUAUAAAAUGGCCAUUUAAUGGGUGUCCACUCUCACCCACCACAUCCUUGAUUGGUGGAGGGUCGUUAGCCGAACGGGUAAGAUAGGGCAACCCUUUCUCAUGAAUAAGUAUAAUGAAUUAUAAAAGUAACUAAAUGUUUUACAAAAUUCCCAAUCUUAAUUACUUUAGGCAAAAGUGAAAUUGAUGCAAUUCCAUUAAAUUACAUUUUGUACCCGUGCUAAGACGUUAGUGGAGCGUGUGUGGUUAACUGGCACACUAAUUCGGUUCUAAGAAAAGGUGGUAAAGGGUGACUCAUUGUUUCUCAUUGUUCGAUGGAGCAUGUGUGGUUAACCAGCACAUCGAAUAGGUGACUGUAACAAUGAGGGCACCAUGUAUAUUUGCAUGGUUAUUCAUACCCACUUUGUGAUCCUCAGCAUCCCAGUCACAAACUAGAGGGGCAUAUCAAGAUUUAUACAUGCCAUUGAAAAGUUCAAUGAAUCUCAAAAUAUCUAGGAGUUUUCAAUACAUUUAAAACUUAAUCUCUUUUUCGUUUUUCAUGGUGGAGAAUUAGUGAAUCGUCAUUCACUUACCUUCAAAUUAUUUGCAUGUUAGAUUACGACACCCCUCUUCUAAUAUGUAAAUAAUGUUGUUGGAUCCUAGCCCUAAUUUCUCAUUUAGGUGUUUCAUUAGGGAUUCAUUUCUAAUCAAACUUUGUUCUUUUUCCUUUUCAGAUGUCGAACAACAACAAUGCUUCCGGAUCGUUCUCACUCAUGAACUUGUGUGGGAGAGUGAUCUUUGACGAGUCCAAUUUCAAUGAUUGGAUUCGCAACAUCCGAAUGGUCACUCGUUACGAGGACAAAGAGUAUGUCCUUGAUAAGAAGCUGAAGGAAAUCAACCUCAACACUGCUACUACUGAAGAGAUCGCCACCUUUAAGGCUCAUGAGCGUGAUGCCACGAAAGUCCAUUGCAUCAUGCUAGCGACCAUAACUGCAGAACUCCAAAAGUCCUAUGAGGACAUGUAUCCCUAUGAAAUUCAUCAAAACUUGUUGGACCGGUACCACCAAAGUGCAAGGCAAGAAAGGUAUGAGAUCAUCACUUCGAUGAUCACUACCAGAAUGGGUAAUGGAGAGUCCCUUACCGCCCAUCUGCAAAAGAUGCAGAGAUAUGUUGAUCACCUGCUAAAGUUGAAAGUUAACUUUGAUGAAGAGAUGGCAAUCGACAUUAUCCUUCACUCCUUACCUCCCUGCUACAACCAGUUCCGCAUGACUACCACAUGAAUAAGGAAGAGGUCACCUUGAGCAAGCUUCACGGCUUGCUAAGAACUGUUGAGAGCAAUUUCAAGGAUAAGUAUGUUGCAUCAACUCCAACUCCCACUGCUGCCCUUGUCUUGGAAAAAGGGCAAGGGAAGGGUAAGAAAAGGAAGGCUCCCUCAAAUAUCCACCACAAGGGAAAGUCCCAAGAUGUUACCUCUUCUAGUGGAACCAAGGCUGGUUCUGCUAAACCCAACUCUAACCCUAAUGAGCCAGAGUGCCACCACUGCCACAAAAUAGGGCAUUGGAAGAGAAGCCGCCCAGAAUAUCUGCAAGCUAUCUAGGAUGGGACGAUCAAGCCAUCCUUCGCAGGUAUUUACACUAUUAAAUCUAAUGAUUCAUCGCAUGCUAUUUCUUGGGUUAUUGAUACAGGAUGUGGUUUUCACAUAUGUUCUGAUUUGCAGGGACUAAGAAGAAAUAGGGAUGUGGAGCAUGGAAGAAUAAACCUAAUAAUGCGAAACAAAAGAUUGUCGCCUGCCACCAAUAUUGGAGUAUAUAUAUUCCUUAAUGCUUAGUAAUGGAUUAGGUUUUGAUUUAAACAAUUGCUGCUAUUCGCCAGAUAUGGCAAGAAACAUCAUUUCAUUUCAUGGUUUAUAUAGGCAAGGAUUUAGAUAUUCAUUUGAUAAUGAAAAGGGUUCUAUUUAUGCUUAUCUUAAUAGUGUUUUAUAUUUUGAAGCAUUGCCUUGUAAUGUAAUAUAUGAAACUGUGAUGGUUGUAGAUAACUUAGGAAAUGAUGUAUUGUGUGUUGAUUCUUCCAACAAUAUAGAUAAAGCAUGCUUGUGGCAUUGUCGUCUUGGACAUGUCAACAAGAAACGCAUAGCCCAACUCUAAAAGGAUGGAGUGUUGGAGUCAUUCGACCUUAGGGAUGAUGACGUGUGUGAGUCUUGUUUACUUGGAAAGAUGACCGAUGUGUGUGGGCACUUGUGAAAGGGGUGAGGGUUUAUUGGAUCUCAUACACACCGAUGUGUGUGGGCCCUUUAGAUUACCACAAAAGAUGCAAGCCACUUCUAUGUGACUUUUACCGAUGAUUAUAACAGAUAUGGGUAUAUCUACUUAAUCAAGCACAAGUCGGUAACCUUUGAAAGGUUCAAAGUGUUUAAAGAAGAAGUGGAGAAUCAUUUGGGCAGGAAUAUCAAGAUGCUUCGAUCCGAUCGAGGAGGAGAGUACCUAAGUCUUGAAUUCCAUGACUAUCUCAAGGAAUGCGGAAUCGUUUCACAAUUGACGUCACCUAGGACACCGCAGUUAAAUGGUGUGGCUGAGAGGCGUAAUCGAACCUUGUUGGACAUGGUUCAUUCCAUGAUGAUUCGUGCUUCACUACCUAUCUCAUUCUGGGGGUAUGCCUUAGAGACUGCCGCCCAUAUCCUUAACUUAUUCCCUACGAAGAAGGUUGCCAAAACACCUCACGAGAUGUAGACAGGGAAAGCUUCCUCGUUAGCACAUAUCAAGGUUUGGGGGUUGCGAGGCUUUCGUAAGACGAGAGACUCACGACAAGCUCGAACCUCGUAGUGAGUGGUGUAUUUUCACCAGCUACCCACAAAAGACCUUUGGAUAUCUCUUCUAUAGUCCGAGUGAGAACGUUGCCUUCAUUGCGAGGAGAGGGGUUUUCCGUGAGCGAGAACUCAUAAGCCUAGGGGACAGUAGGAGGCAAAUCGAUCUUGAAGAGAUUCAAGAGUUGAGCGAUGAAGGAACCUCCAACACCGGGGCUUACCCGAGGAGGAAACUCCGGUUGAACCGAUUGACGAGUCCUUACCUCUUAGACGUUCCGAAAGAGUUAGGUUUCAACCCCAGUUAUAUGGCUUUCAUAUUACUACAGAAGGGGAUACGUAUAUUAGUGAUAUUAUACUAAUAAAUUUGGAUGAACUUAACAGCUAUAAGGAAGCCAUUGCAGGCCCAGAGUCUGCAAAGUGGAAAGAGGCGACGGACAGUGAGAUUCUGUCCAAGUAUGACAACCAAGUUUGGAAUUUGGUUGACAAUGUACUAGGUCGUAAGAUGGUCUGGUGCAAAAUGAUCUUUAGGAAGAAGGUACUAAAACGUUUUGUGACAACCCGAAAUUUCCAUUUUGUACGAACAUUAGCUAUUCAAUAGAAGCUAGUCCAAUUUCAAUGAAUUUCAGACUUUUCUAAAUAAAUUUGUGUACAUUAGGGUUUACGUUUAAGGAGAUAUCAGGAGAGUGGAUGCUCAUGGGUUUGUGAAACUUGAGCAUUUCAAAACUUCAUAAUGUUAGAGUCCAAUUCCGGAAUAAAAAUAUUUUCUGCCAAAAUAUUUCAGGACUAUAAAUAGAUUUCUGAACUAAAUUCAUUCAUUAUUCACACUUCCAACUAGAGAAAAGCCAUUUUCUCUCUCACAGAUCUUCGGGUUUUCAUCCCAAAUCGUGAGUACACUUCUUUAGUUGUUUUAUAAUGCUUGUUAUAUGCUUAAUAACAUAGAUUACAUGUCAAAUAUGUGAGAUCCGGGAGUUUACCGCCCAAGAACGUUCUUGGGGAGUAAACUCGAAAAUAAAGCUUUAAGGCUAUCUAGUCCCAUUUCCUUGUUAGGUAACUAGCUUAGGAUAAUAUGUAGGAUCAUUUGAGACAAGAAAACAAUCCAGAACACAUAGCUUUAGGAGUUUUCGGCCCAAGAGUUUCUUGGACCGUAAACACCAAAUACAAGGGCUUAAAUGUGCCCUAAUCACUCCCAAAGGCUUUAGACUUUAACCCUAAAUUACUUCUAGCUAAUAUGGGGACAUUAACACAUCAAAAAAACCCCUAAAAGGGAGUUUACGGCCAAGAAAUGCUCUUGGGCCGUAAACACCAAUUAAGGGCACCAAAGUGUGCCUAGGGCCCCCCUUAGCAUAAAUCAAAUGCCUCGAAAGUAUUCUACUUGUGUUUGAGACUUGAAAGAAUUAAAACAUCCAUCCCAUGAGAGUUUACGGCCGUAAACUCUAAGGGAUAUGGCCUUUUGGCCGUAAACUCCUCAAAGGAGUGUUAUCUAUGCCCUAAACUACCCAAAGGAUUAAACCACCAAACUAGGCUUAUUCUAGAAAUCAUUUAGCACUUUAAAACACCCAUUACCACCAAGAUUGGAGUUCACGGCCGUAAACUCAAGGUUUUACGACCGUAAACUCCUUGUGUGGGGUUUAUUGGGUAGUAAACUCUUAUACAAAGUCCUUGGAAGCUUUAAACCCCUUUAGCUUGUCCCAUAACAACUUAGAUGCAACCAUUAGGACCUAUAACACUUAUACAAGGUGUUUACAUGUUCCUAAGUGUCCCAACUUAUUUCAUUAAGUUAUUAUUUGGCUAAUUAGUUAUAUAUAUGCUCAUUAUAUGAUAACUAGGCUCGUGCGUGUGAACAAGUCUCCGUUUGCCACCUAGCACGGUAUCCGACACUACAAUCCAAACCACUCACCACAAGUGAGUUCAUACCCCUUUAAUUAACCUUUGAAAUACUUUUAAAUGUUUUAAAUACUUUAUGGGGGGGAUACAAGUUAAAUGCUUAUAGUUAUUGCAUCAAUCACAUGUGAUUACAUUAAUCAUAUGUGAUUAAUAACUAGAAAACCAAUGAUCUUAUCACUGUUUAAACUGUUUAUCAAACUGUUUUACUUCAAACUGUUUUACAAACUCUUUUACUCAUCAAAUACUUUUAUUUAAACUUUGUUAUACUUCUUAUAAACCGCAUGCCCAUAUAUGUAUAGAUAUAUAAGCAAUGUUUAAAGGGUUUAGGAAGGUCAUCCGCCCUAUUUCCUUUUUCUCGAUUUGGAUGUGGUCUGGUGGGAUUUCGGGUAACCAUCCGAAGGUCGUUUCAAUAUUAAUUAUAUAUCAAAUGUACAUAUAUAGACAUAAAAGUACUCCUUNUAUACUAGGAGAAGAACAUAUACAACUAUACUAGAGGAAGAACAUAUACAACUAUACUAGAGGAAGAACAUAUACAACUAUACUAGAGGAAGAACAUAUACAACUAUACUAGAAAGAGAACAUAUACAACUAUACUAGAGGAAGAACAUAUACAACUAUACUAGAACAGUUCAUUACAUUACACAUACUAGAAUACGUUCAUUAUUGUGAUAUGAAUCGGGGCAUGACUUAAAUGCCAUGGCCCGAGUUGUAGCCAGAGUCUCUUGAAGGGAGAGCGUGAGUUUGCGUAUAGAUCUAUACUGGAUUGACUAUCCUACACCUUGCUGCUAGCUACAGCCGGACCUGCAGGUCUGCGGGUGCCAAACGUCAUUCCGUUAUUACGACCAUUCGUAUGUCGUUGUUACCAGUCGAUAGUAUGGUGCAAUUAGUCACAUGAUACCUUAAUAUAAAUCCGGUUUAAGGUAGUUAGUACAACAAUAGUUCCUAUAAUACAACACUACAGUACUACAAUAAUUUACCCAUUACAUAUAUUUAGUGAUUAUUUCACUUAAACAUUAAUGUACAAACUAUAUUUUGUUAAAUGAUAGUUACACUUGGGAAAUUACACACUUUUACAACAAACGAGCAUACAAAACAGUUAAGCCUUGGUAGAAGGCUACUUUAAUAGAAAAUAUAGGUUUUUCUGAGAGAUUCAAACUUUUACAAACACUUACAUACAUUUUACAAACUUACACUUGAGACACGUUCAAACGUUUUGAUAACAAACAUCGACACUAAAAUACUUAUGAACUCACCAGCUUAAUGCUGAUAAACUCUUUCAAAAUAACUUGUAUUCUCAGGUCAUCAAUAGACAGGUACUUAGGCCAGCUUUUGAGAAGAUGGAGCGCAUUCAAGACUCAUCUUAUUAUUUUGAUUUACAUUAUAUUUUGGUGUCUAAAACUGUACAGAACACGCUUGUAUUAAAAUUAUAUAUUUAAUGCAAUGGAUGAUGCUGUUUGCUUAUUUACAUUUACUGUGUUGUGAUACUUUACAUGACGUCCUCCGCCCCACAACGUUUCCGCCGUUCUUGGUUUUGGGGUGCGACACGUUUUAGUAUGGAGAAUUCAAAGAAGGCAGAGUUACCAAUCCAAAGUAAUGCGAAGUUGAGUACGACUCAAAGUCCGAGUACUGAAGUCGAGAUAGCAGAAAUGAGCUAAGUACCUUACGCUUCCGCAGUUGGCUCGAUCAUGUACGCUAUGACUUGUACUCGCCCUGAUGUGGCCUUCGCUUUGAGCAUGGUCAUUAGAUAUCUAGGGAACCCUAGAAAAGCACAUUGGACCGCAAUCAAGAAUAUUCUUAAGUACCAUCGAAGGACCAAGGAAUGGUUUCUAGUCCUCGGUGGGAGUGAUGACUUAAAGGUGCGAGGGUAUAGUGACGCCAGUUUUCAGACCGACAGGGACAACUACCGUUCGCAGUCGGGCUGGGUCUUUACCCUAAAUGGUGGAGCAGUGACUUGGAAAAGUUCCAAGCAAGAGACCGUAGCUGACUCAACAUGUGAAUCAUAGUACAUUGAAGCAAGCGAAGCGUCAAAUGAGGCAAUAUGGUUGAAGAACUUCAUUGGAGACCUUGGAGUUGUGCCGACCAUACAGGAGCCUAUUGAGAUUUUCUGUGAUAAUGAAGGAGCGGUUGCCUUGACCAAGGAACUGAGGGAUCACGGCAGAUCUCAACAUAUUGACAGAAAAUAUCACUUUAUUCGAUAUCAGAUGGAAAAAGGACUCCUCGUAGUGAAGUGCGUAUCGUCAGAAGAUAACCCAUCAGAUCUGCUUACGAAGGGACUGAGCAGGGUUAAGCACUUGCAGCAUGCUAGGAGCAUCGGGCUGAAGGACGAUAUUAGUUUAGAUUAGAUAGUUUGGAAACGUGUAAUAGAUAAAUUAUAAUUAACAUCUGAUGAUUAAAUAAAAGAGUAUUAUUUAUUAGUAAUGUUACUAUCUUAUGUUAAUUGUUUACCUAUUGUUUCAUUUUGCAUGUUUUGACUUCCUGAAUAAUAAGAAUUAUUUAAAUGGUCUACAGUUGUUCAUAUGUUGGAACUAGGUAUGAAUGAAGACUGUCAUGAAUUGGUGUGUAGAUUGUCUAAAGUGUAUUAGACAUAGCAAAAGUUUGCUACAACAUUCAUGAGUGCUUAUGAAAAGUUUUGAGCAUUGGAAUAAACCCAUGCUUGCUGGAAUCACUUCAUGGAAUUCAUCAUGAGUGAUCGCAAGACGAUAAUAUAUCAUAUGGUCUUAAAACAUAGAUAUAUGGUUUAUUGUUUUCUAAUUGGUUGUGCAUUGAUAAUGCGUAAACACAUCAGUAACUUGAUGUUAUAAAACGCAUUGUUGUGUAUGAUUUGAUUAGUGGAUAGUAAAUGCAUAUAAGUCUAAGUUCAUCUGUUCCUUUUAUCCUAAUAGGUUAAAAGUGAUAUCAGGACCCCUUGAUGAUUUGAUUUGACUUAUGUGUCGGGCCCGGUCAGGACUGAAUUGAUGUGUUCAAUUACGUUCUAUGUCAAAUGAAUCAGAGAUUAAGAAACAAACUGUUGGAUAAUAAGUAUGACUAUGUUCCAUGUAAUUGUCCGCAUGAUAUCUAGAACAAAGGAUUAUACGAUCCCUUAUCUUAAGGACAAGUUACUGAUAAGAUCAAGAGUUUUGAGAACUGUGAUUGCUAAUCGAAUCCAGAAGUUGCAUUUGCAUUUAUAGUUAUUAUCAAGGUUGUAAAAAAUUCUCGACGUUAGCUAGUCGGUGGACUGGGGUUAAGAGAUUAAUCGGGUAGGCGGAGAUUAAUCGGGGGAUUAAUGGAGACCAUUAAUUGAUAAUUUGUUGAAUUUUAAAAAAUUGAAUAUGACUAAUAUCAUAUCAAAGUCCGUAAGUACCACUAAUAUCAUAACAAAAUAGGUUGAUAUGUUUAAUACAACAUUAAUCAUGCUUGAAAUAGUUUCUAUUGAGAUAAAACUUCUUAAAAAUGUUUAAAUUUCAUCGUUUUAUACAGUUUUACUCAUUAUUUAUGCAUGGAUUAAUCGCUAGGUGCCAUCUAGUUGGUUGAGUAAUGCCUAGGGAUUAAUCGGAGAUUAAUCGGGACCUAGUCAUGAUUUUUACAAUAAUGGUUAUUAGACUUAUCCAAGUAGGGGAAUGUUGGAUUAGUGUCCAAGUCCAUAACUAUAUUUGGUAUGUAUUUGACCCAGUUAUGCAUGGUCCUUUUAGGUUGCCUUCACCAAAGCAACUUGAUUGGAGGAAUAAUAUAGAAAGAGGUGAUUAUGGUUUAUUAAUAUAUUAUAAGAUUUAUAUAUUAAAGGAGAAAUCAUGUUUGUUUAAUUAACGUUGGUCAAUAAUUAAUUAAACAUUAGUUUUGUGAUCAAAAGAAGUUAAUUGAACUUAAGGGGCUGAACUGUAAUUAUGUGAUAGUUACAAAGUUAGGCAAGGAAACCUUAAUGGAUAGGGUGGACAAAUUCUGGGGAUAAUGCCUUAAGAAUUCGUCCAUGAUAGGGAUUCUAGAAUUAUCUUAUAGGCUGCUUGGUGGCUAAGUAACCAGAUAAGGAUAAUGACUGAAACCCUAAUUCAUACACCUAUAUAAAGGACCAUUGGGCAUGGGAAUUUCGGCCACUUGAACCCUAGAAGUCCUAGAGCUGAAAUUCUCCUCUCCCCUCUCUCUCUUGCUUCCUCCAAUUGCUAUUGGUGUUUGUGAUUCAUUAGAGGCACAACACUUAAGGUGCUAAAGUUUUCAAGGCUUCAAGAUCUUCAAUCAACAACAAGGUAAACAUCUAGAUCUACUUUGCUAUGUUAAUUUCGAUUAUAUACACUAGAUCUAGGGUUUGAAAGUCUUGGAUGAAUGCAUGUACAAUUAGAGAAACCUAGAUCCAAGCAUUAGGGUUUGCAGGAGCACAUAGGGUGUUCUUUUGGCUCAAACCCAUCACGCCCAAUGUACGUAGGGACCUCCUUUACAAAUAAGUUUCAUUCCAAGGGUUAAAAGGGUAAAUACCUACAUUCCGAAUGUUACAUAUAGAUAGUAAAAUACUUGAUUCUACCCUAAGCCCUUCAUCAAACAAGAAAAUGAAAUAAAGCUAAACAAAAAUUCUCAAGCUAUACAAUCUUAGUUAUGUACAACUACGAUGCAUACACUAAGCAACUACAAUAAUGACGCUAAUUAUAUAUAAGAAGUAAUCCUAGGGUAUCAAGCAUCCUAUAUCAGGAAAUCCUUUCAUGUAAUUCCUGAAGAUCCCUAUCCUACCACUAGCAUGAUGUUAUAUCAUGAAAAACAUAUCAAGUAACCGUGUGGGUAACUUUGGGUAAAUUUUCUUGCUCUGGCUGAUCAUACACAUCGCAUCAUUCCUUGGUUACUUUUGAAAACAAUUUUUGAAAACCAUUAAAAGAAAACUUUACAGCUUCCUAGUUUGAGUUUGGAUUCACACGAAUGUUCAUCCAGUUCUCUCAAACCGAGGCUCUGUUACAAACUUGUAACACUCCAAAUAUCAUAGAAAAUUAAAAAUUUUAAAUUUCAACCAUUAACCAACAUUUUUUACAAAAAGAGUCAUUGCUUCAAAAGUAUUAUUCAAAAUCAUAGUUUUUCCUAAGACCUAAUAACACAAAAUAGGAAGAUGUGCACGAUCACGCCUUCUCCUUCCUACGAUCAUCCGAAGUACCUAAAACAAUAAACUGAAAUUGUAAGCCAAAGCUUAGUGAGUUCCUCCAAAGUACCAUCAUGGAACAUAUAAAAUACAUAGAUUAACAUGUUGGGUCCAUAACCUCCCAGUUGGAUUACCUUGGCUCACAACCUCCCUGUUGGAUUGCCCUGCAUACCACAUACUGGGUCCACUACCUACCGACUGGGUUGACUUAGAUGGUUUGUGGAGUUUGGCCUAUUUUGACCCAAGGAUAUUUUGGAUAAGUUGGUAGUUAUUUAAGUCGACCAAUAUUUUGGGAUAAUAGGUGUCGAGUAGAGCCGGUUGUCAGGGAAGAGAUUUAUUCAGCUUAUGUUCAGACUGAGAGGUGAGUUUUCCUCACUGUACUUACGGGUCGAAGGCACCAAGGCCGACCCAACGAAUUGAUAUCCUGUCUAUACUGAUUGAAGAUAUGUUGAGUAUGCGAUAGAUCUGAAUGAUUAUAUGAUAGUUAUGAUAUACGUUAGACUGGUAGAUCUAUAGGGCUACCUAUGAUUAUUGGUUGUAUAAUCAUCUGUAUGUUGUAUAUAUAUUAUAUGUUAUAUGCCGACAUGUUACAUUGGGGUUGAGACUACUGCUUUGUGUCGUCAGUCAACAGACCAUGUCAAUCCAAUUGGGAUGUUGUGGGCUAGGGUAAUUCAACCAGGAGGUUGUGGACACAAUAUGCUAAUCUGUGUAUUUUAUAUGUUGCAUGAUGGUACUUUGGUGGAACUCACUAAACUUUGUGUUAUAGUUUCAGUUUAUUUUCAGGUACUUCUGAUGAUCGCGGUACGAUGAAGGUGUGGUCAUGCACAUCUUCCUGUUUUGUGUUAUUGGGUCUUGGUGAAAACUCUGAAAGUCAUGACACACUUCAAAUUGAAGUAUUUCGAUGGUACAAUCAAAAUCUCUAUUGGAUAAAAUUUAGUGACAACAACAGAGAAUUAAAAGGUUACGAUUCUUGUGUGUACCAUAUUCAAAUACCCAAAAAGGGAUAUAACUCCUUGUUCGAAAUAAAGCUAAACCAAAAAUUCUCAAGCUAUAGAAUCUUAGUUAUGUACAACUAUGAUGCAUACACUAAGCAACUACAAUAAUGAUGCCAAUUCUAUAUAAGAAGUAAUCUUAGGGUAUCAAGCAUCAUAUAUCAAGAAAUUCUAUCAUGUAAUUCCUGAAGAUCCCUAGCCUACCACUAGCAUAUUGUUCUAUCGUGAAAAACAUAUCAAAUAAUAGUGUGGUUAACUUGGGGUAUACUUUCUUACUCCGGCUGAUCGUACACAUAUCAUCAUUCUUUGGUUACUUUUGAAAACCAUUAAAAAAACUUUUACAGCUCCCUAGUUUGAGUUUGGAUUCACACGAAUGUUCAUCCAAUUCGCUCAAACCAAGGCUCUAAUACCAACUUGUAACACUCCAAAUAUCAUAGAAAAUUAAAAAUUAAAAAUUUCAACCAUUAACCAACAUUGUUUACAAAAAGAGUCAUUGCUUCAAAAGUAUUAUUCAAAAUAAUAGUUUUUCCCAAGACCCAAUAAUACAAAGCAGGAAGAUGUGCACGAUCAUGCCUUCGCCUUCCCGCGAUCAUCAGAAGUACCUGAAACAAUAAACAGAAACUGUAAGCCGAAGCUUAGUGAGUUCCCCCAAAGUACCAUAAUGCAACAUUUAAAAUACAUAGAUUAACAAAAUGGGUCCACAACCUCCCAUUUGGAUUACCUUGGCCCACAACCUCCCCGUUGGAUUGCCUUGCAUACUACAUACUGGGUCCAUAACCUUCCGACUAGGUUGACUUGGCUAGUUUGUGGAGUUUGACCUAUUUUGACCAAAGGAUAUUUUGGAUAAUUUGGUAGUAAUUUAAGUCGGGCAAUAUUUUUGGAUAAUAGUUGUUGAGUAGAGUCGGUUUUCGGGGAAGAGAUUUAUUCAGCUUGUCUUCUUACUCAGAGGUGAGUUUUCCUCACUGUACUUAUAGGCCAAAGGCACCAAGGCCGACCCAAUGGAUUGAUAUCCUGUUAGGUACUGAUUGAUGAUUUGUUGAGUAUGCGAUAGAUCUGUAUGAUUAUAUGAUAGUUAUUGAUAUACGUUAGACAUGUAGAUCUAUAGGGCUACCUGUGAUUAUUGGUUGUAUAAUCAUAUGUCUAUUGUAUGUAUAUUAUAUGUUAUAUGUCAACAUGUUACGUUAGGGUUGAGACUACUACUUUGUGUCGUCAGUCAACAGACCAUGAGAAUCUAACCGGGAGGUUGUGAGCCAGAGUAACCCAGCCGGGAGGUUGUGGGCCCAACAUGCCAAUCUAGGUGUUUUAUAUGUUGCAUGAUGGUACUUUGGAGGAACUCACUAAGCUUUGGCUUACAAUUUCAGUUUAUCGUUUCAGGUACUUGUGAUGAUCGCAGGACGGUGAAGGUGUGAUCAUGCACAUCUUCCUGUUUUGUGUUAUUGAGACUUAGGAAAAACUCUGAUUGUGAAUAAUACUUUUGAAGCAAUGAAUCUUUUUGUAAACAAUGUUGGUUAAUGGUUGGAAUUUUUUUUUUUUUUUAAAUUUUUAUGAUUUUUGGAGUGUUACAUUGGUUUUGUCUUAUAACUGAUCCAAACCCCCACACACCCUUGUUAAUCAUCAAAGAAGAAUCCAAUUAGAACUAAUUCUAUUCAACAAUAACAACCAUAGGGUGUUAGAAAUCCAUUACCUCAAAUGUAGGGAUCUUUUGAUGUCUAAGAACAUUAAUCAAGAUAAAUUAAUAAGGAUAUUCAAUUAAACCAAAGGUCUUUUGGCCUAGCACUAUCAUAUGUUGGAAAAAUGACCCUUCCUAAUGUUAGAAAAACGGGUUAUUUCGAUUGCUUGGAUUCCACUGAAAGUCAUGAUACACUUUCAAAUUGAAGUAUUUCGGUGGUACAAUCAAAAUCUCAAUUGGAUAAAAUUUAGUGACAACAAUAGAGAAUGAAAAGGUUAUGAUUCUUGUGUGUACCAGAUUCAAAUGACCAAAAAGGGAUAUGACUCCUUGUCCGAAAACUGUCAUAUUAACAGUUACAAACUGCCACAAAGCUGUCACUAAACUUGUAACACCCCAAGUUCAGAAGUGCAAGUUCAGGGUUCUUGGUGUAAUUAAGGAAGAUCGACUCGGCGAGUCGAGUCGUGAUUUGGCCAUGUGCUAAGUGACUGACUCGGCGAGUAGGCAGCUAGACUCGACGAGUCAGUGCUGGAGUGAGAAACCCUAAUUCAUGGGGUUUGCACCCUAUAUAAGGAACCUUAAGUCCCACCCCAGCCUCUUUAGGACUCCCUCUGAUGUCCAGAAACUUUCCACAUCGAUUUCAAACCCUAAAUUGAGAGUGAGAGGGAUUUAAGUGUGUUUUGGAGCUUGAAGAAGAAGGAUACUUGAAGCAAGAGUUGGUGGGAUCAUAGAGGAGCGAAGUGGAUCUGAUUUCCUUGCUUCUUGGCAUCAGCAUCAAGGUAAAAAGUUGUUGCCUUGACUUUGUUGUGUUUAGAUGGUUCAUGAAUGAAGUUUUAGGGCCAAUUUAUCAUAUAUGAGCCUCUUUUCGAGUAUUGGGUUUAGAUCUGUGGUUGCUACUACAGAUCUAGACUGGUCCUGACUCAUGAAUCUGGAAAGUGAUAGCUUUGGGGCUUGAUUGAGAGUGUCCUUGCCUUAAAACUUCACUUUAGCUUGAGUAGAGCUUGUUGAGCCUUGCAUGCACGUAAAGUUGGAAACUUUACAUGUAGAUCUUGCCCUAGGAGUCCAGAUCUAUGUAUUGAAAGCAAUAGUUUGGCCUGUGAUCAUCUGAAUGAAGGUAUUACGUAUGGACUCGGCGAGUCUGGGAGAUGACUUGACGAGUCGGACAAAAGAUUUGGAAUGAAUCGCGUAGUAACUCGGCGAGUCACAUGGGUGUACUCGACGAGUUGGAUGAAGAUAGGCAAGAACUCGACGAGUUGGAAGAACAACUCGACGAGUCUAUUGAAGAUUGCCUUGGGCUCAACGAGUCUGUUCUUGGACUCGGCGAGUCUGGUCGAGGAGUCCUAACCUUUUCUGGUUAAGUCGUGAAUCGGUGAGUCGAAGGAUGACUCGGUGAGUUGAGCAUGAAGGGACUCAGAGUUUGUUGGACUCGGCGAGUCUUGGGGCAACUCGACGAGUUGAGUCGUAAUAUGAGAGUUUUGAGUAUGGGAACUCGAAGAGUCAACGAGUUGACUCGGCGAGUAGGGUCAACCAGGAAGGUUGACCUUGACUGAGGACUUGGACUUUAACCAAGGGUUGACCAGUUGACUUCCGGGGGUAUUUUGGUAAUUAUUGGUAUUUAUUGAUUUGGUUUUUGGUAAUGAUCAGUGGCGGAGUUCGUGCUGGUGGUUGGAGCAGCGUGAUCUUAUUCUUCAGUCGGCAGUGACAGUUGAGUUAUCCUCACUAUACUGACAGGGUCUACGGCACCAAGGCCGACCCUCCAUCGGAUGGAAAUCCGGGUAUUGUUGUUAUGUUAUUGCUAUAUGGAGAUCCUUGUUGAUGGAAAGGCGGCCGACGAACGCUCGGUGGACUCUAUAUCCUCAAGGAAUCAAUUUGGAACCCGGAAAAUCAUAUUUAUUUAGGAAUGUAGCAUAUGGUUUUAGAGGUUGUCCUAAAUGGGAGGAUGUGGAUACGGUUAGUUAAGUUUAAUAAUUAUUAUUUUAUAUAUAUAAUAUUACUGAAAUUACUAGUAUUUAAUUUAUAUUUUUUUUGCAGGUUAUAUCUGUAAUAAAUGUUGUGCAUACCCAUUGGUUUUUGGUGGUUCUACAUUUAGAUACCUGGAAAGUAGAAAUUUUUGAUUCAGCACAAGUUGCGGGUUACUUCUCAACAUACAACACUAAUGGAGAAUUCAAAAGUUUUGGAGAUAGUAUUAUCUCAGAGUUGGAUGCCAUUGAUUACUGGAGCCAUUUCCCCCAUUGGACACAGAGACAAGCAAAGGUCGAGUUUUUUGAUGUUUNGACACAGAGACAAAGCAAAGGUCGAGUUUGUUGAUGUUGUAGACGCCCCACAACAAGAAUAUAGUCUUGAAAGAGGGGAUUGUGGAGUAUUUGUAUGCAUGUUUAUGGAAAUGAUUGUUUCUGGGGGUACCAGUGGCGAUUUCAAGGACAUGUAGAGAAGCUGCAUUUCUCUAUAGAAAUAAGAUGGCAAAUGUUAUUUGGGAUACUAUAUAAGUUGAUAUUAGGAACUUUGUAUAUAUAUUAAUAUUAAAUACUUGUUUCUAGUAUGUAAUCGUGUCACUUCUGGUAGUAUGUAAUCUUGUAAUUAUCUUUUAUAUUUUUUAAACAUAAUUCACCAAAAAAUGUUACGAAACCAUACAUUCAAACAAAAUAAACAUUACAAAUAACAUGAAUACAUUACAAUAGAGUCGUCUACAUAAAAAUAAGGUUUCUUACGACUAACAAACAUUAGAUAAAACAUUGGAAAUAAAAUACUCAUCUACUUGAAAAAAACUUUAUCUUUUACCAGAUUCCAAACGUCCGUAUACUCGAAAUCAUGUCCAUCAAACUUGCAUAGGUAAUAUCCAUUCACAUCUUCAAGAAGUUCUUCAUUAUCUGCUUGAGAGCGUCGCAUUUUCUCAGGAUUGUAGCAUCGAUUGAACCAUGUGACCUUAAACUUUAAAUCCAUCCAUUUACUAACAAUAGCAGGUUUUAGUCGUUCGUGUCCUUGCCCGACUUGAUAGUUGAACAAAGCUAUGAGGCGGGACCAUUCAUCACCUACAAGGCAAUUCAGGGGAGCCAUCACUGGUAGACCCUCGUAAAUGGUAAUCCAACUUUGUAUUAGGACCAACAACUCUGUUGGCGUCCAUGGAGAUGUACAAUUUGUUGGAGAGGCUGCAUUAGAUGGAUUUGUUGCAUUCGAAGAACUUGGUACAUUGGACGCCAUUUCUUAAUUGAUCUACUAUCAACUAAAGAAUUGAAUUUCGUAUAGACACUACGUUUAAUAUAUGUACAAACAUAUGUUAUACAAAGAUAUGUCAGUAACGCGGACUGACGAGCCAGUAACGCGGACUUACGAGCCAGUAACGUGGACUGACAACGAUUAAUAUAUAUAAAUAGUUUCUUAAUGCGGACUGACGAGUCAGUAACGCGGACUUACGAGUCAGUAACGCGGACUGACAACGAUUAACAUAUAUAAAAAGUUUCUUAACGCGGACUAACGAGUCAGUAACGCGGUCUUACGAGUCAGUAACACGGACUGAAAACGAUUAAUAUAUAUCAAAAGUUUCUUAACGCGGACUGAUGAGUCAGUAACACGGACUAACAAUUACUAGACAAAACAGUUUUGCGGACUGACAAGACAGAAACACGGAUUGACAAGUCAGUAACGCGGAGUGAUCAUUGGCUUUGCGGACUCACAAGUCAGUAACGCGGACUGACAACGAAGUAACACGGACUAACAACCCCGUAACGCGGAUUGAGAACGCAGUAACGCGGACUAACAAGUCUAUAUAAAACGACAAACAACAAUGUAUCACUUCAUCUAAGGUAUUUUAGUUCAUGUGCUUUGUAUGUUUUACAANUUCAUGUGCUUGUAUGUUUUACAAUGGGUUCAAACCAAUGGACCGCUAACGAGUAUUUCCUUCUAGCUCGUGCAUAUAUUAAUGUCAAAGAGAACACCAGUUUGGAGGAUAUAAUGUUUUUCUCCCAACUAACGAAUACCUUCAACACUGACGCUGAAACCACCAUACAAAACCAUCGCAACACGCUUGAUAUAGCUACAAAAUGGUAUGAAUUGAAAACGGAAGUUGUGUUAUUAAACGAUCUUUAUAAUAAGAUUGAAGAUGAUCAUGUCAAUGAUACUGAGGAAGAGAUCUUGGAGGUGUCUAAAGAAGAAUACAAAUCCAUUAGCAACGGACAGAGUUUCGAGUUUGAAGCCCCUUGGAAUCUUUUGAAAAAUGUACCGUUUUUUUAAGUAGAACUGCAUUUUGUAUUGUUCUUGUAUUUCUUUAUUUAAAUGUAAUAUGGUAUUUAUCCUUUAUUUUAAAAAAAAAUAUUUGACCAACAAAUGUUACAAAACCAUACAUUCAAAAAACAUUAUCUGACAAACAGCUUACGCGGACUGACAAAUAAGCUACGCGUAAUGACAACACAUUUACGCGGACUGACAAGUAAGUUCUGCGGAAUAAUGUAUACUAAUUCCUUAUAAAUUUUGACAACCAUGACGAAAAUUUACAAGGUGUCGAAAGUUGUGAAAAUGAGUUCAGUCAAUCAGGUAUUAAGGAAAAGUUUCUCCAGCCUACCGACUUUUUUCCAUAAGCUGCAAAGAAGCAAUCCUACCACCUUCACGUACAUUACGAAGGAUCGGUACAAUCGUUUCCAAAUUUGUUUCGUGGCAUUGGGAUGCGUGGUAUGUAAUCCCUUAUAGUAAAUAAAUAUUUAGUUAUUUCAAGUUGGUAUAUGCCUAAUAUUCUUAUGUUGACUUACAGAUUCGUACAUUUCUCACGUCUAUGAUAUCAAUCAUAUUCGUUGGUCAAGUACCUCUAAUUGGGGCAUAUGUAACAUCCAUGUACAUUGCUUUUGCUUUAGAUGGAAAUCAUGAACCCCUUCUCAUAGUGUUUGCCUUGGGAACCAUAAAUUGUGACAAUUCAUGGUUAUGGUUCAUAAGGAGGCUUAAAGACUGUUUAGGUGACAAUACAUAAUUUGGUUUCAUAAGCCAUAUGUCUGAUUCUAUGGACUUUGCAGUCCACAGAGUCUACCCUGAUUCAUAUCAUGGCUAUUGUUGUAAAAAUAUAGCCAAGAAAAUACGCGCUUCCAUCGGAACCAAUACAGUCGUAGAACAGUGGUUCUGUAAGACGUGUAAAGCAUAUAAUUUAUCUCAAUUUUAUGCAUGUUUGAACAAUUUAAAAAAUGAGGUAAAUGGGAAUGAUCUUCAUUGGCUUGACAAUAUUCCCAUUGCAAAAUGGGUACGGGCUUGUUUUCCAAGAGUAAGUUUCAAUGUUAAAUUCAUUGACAUUCCCGAUGUUUUCAAUUGGUUUAAAACAAACACGCAUGAGUUUCCAAUAACAACAAUCAUUGAAAUGGUUCAUGACUCGAUGUAAGAAGUUUAUCUUCGACGUGCUGUUUUUGGAGGUAAUUAUAAGUUAUGACAUCAUUAAAACGGUGAAUUGAUAUGUUUAUUAUACGUUAUGACCUUAUAAUUUUUUUUAUUGAUUCAGUUGAUUUCACAGGGGAUAUCCAUAAUCUUCUAACCCCUUAUGCACUUAAGGUGAUUCAUAAAAGAUUUAUCCACUCGGAUGGUUGUAGGAUUACGCAUAUUGUUGGCGAUAGAUAUGAAGUGACUAAGUAUUCAACAACCGAAUAUGUACAACUAGACCGUGGUAUUUGUAGUUGCGGUAAAUGGCAAAAAUGCGGUAUACCUUGUGAGCAUGCUAUAGCUUCACUACACAGACUCGAAAUUGCAGAAAUCCAUCAAAUGGUAAAUUUAAAGUUAAGUACAGCGGUGUAUCGAAAUGCUUAUCAAACUGAGACGGUCUAUCCUAUUCCAACCCUUAGGCAUUGGGAAAAACCAGUCGAAAGUGUUGUGGUCUUACCUCCACGCCAAUUCAAUUGAACUUUAUUGUAUGGAUCACAACGAAUAUUAGUUUUUAUUCAGUUCUAUGUUAACCGUACUUGUAAUGGUUUGUUGGCAUUCUUUACUUUUUAAUAAAAAAAAUGUUUACCUUUAAAUAAAUAAUUGUAUUUUCAUAAUUGUAAUAUGUAUGCAUGACAACGACUAGACAAAAAAACUAUGCGAACUGACAAACGCAGUAACGCGGACUGACAAAAACCUCUACGGACUAACAACAGCUCUCUGCAGAGUGGAAGGGACUAUAUAUAGUCAUGGAUGGUCGUCGGAUUUUUCGUAUAGAGUUAUAAUUUUUUAAAUUUAAAAUGACUUCAUCUUCAUCUUUGUAUAUUUGCUCGUGCAACGAAGUUGAUUGUUUCUAUUGUGAUCCGAUCGACCCUUUUCUUGCACCAUCACCAAAUUUAAGAGAGUCAUAUAUGUCGGAGGAUACUUUGCAACAACUACAAUGGGCUGAAGAACAACAAAAAAAAAGAUAAAGACUCGUCUCGGGCUCUCACUGAACGACGUGACCUCAUUGCGGCGGAGUGCAAAGAUGUUGAGGAAAGGAUGACGAUUACAAAAAAAAAUCAAAAAUCAUGGGGAAUGGAAAAAAAAACNCUAAGAAGAAUCUCAAACUGUCUGAAAAAUGGCUUGCUGACAAGGAUGCAGAAAUGAUAGAACUUGGUAGGCAAAAGGACCGUAUGGAAGAUAAAAUAAGAAUAAGGGACGACUACAUAACAAUGGAGAAAGAAAAGUAUCCUUUGCAAUUCCCUUAAGUUAAUUACCGUUGUUGUACGUUUACUAUAUGUUUCUAGUUUGUUGAAUGUAUUAACUUCGAGUAUUAGUUAUUAUUCUACUAGUAAUUAUGCAGUAAUAUAAUCAUAAUAUUACCCAUCAUCUUUAAAAUAAACACACCAGCUCAAAGUAGACAAAUUAAUGUCCUCUAAAACAAAACAUAAUUAAUUAUAAAUACAACAUCAAUCAUUCAAAUCAAACGUUGAACAAUAGUCUUCUCUCUACGUCCCACUCGUCCAACGCGUGUCUUGUGUCCCGUGCGUCUCUAGCGUCUCCUGAGUCCCUUCUGUCCCUUUCCCUUUUCCUUUUGUGUUACUACUUGAUGUCGUAUUAGUUUUUCUAGCCUUUUUUUGUUUCUUUGGGACCAAUGUCGGACAAGUCGCUGCAUUAUGUGUUGUACUAUCACAUCUACUACACCUUCUUAUUAUAGGUUCCUCACCUUGUGACGGAAUACGAUUUCUGUUUCUCGGUCUACCAGCUUGACGUGUAUCCAUUAUCGGGGGUUUCACAACCAUCAUGUUAGCAGGAAUCUCCCAAUCACACGGUUCUGGAAGGGGGUAAACCGGCUCCUCAUACGUACUUCGGUAUGUUUCCAUUUUGUAAGCAUCUAUAGCCAGAUGUCCGAAGUUAGUUUUUUUCAAGUGCUUCAAGACCAUUAUCACAUGACCACAAGGCAACCCAGUUCCUUCCCAAUAUUUGCAUGUACAAGUCUCUUGCCUCAGAUCAACUAUGCCACCAUGUUUGAAAUCAUGAACUUCAUAAAGUGCAUCUGAAACACCAGAAAUGGACCAUCCUGUCGUACGCUCUUCAUUUUUACUAACUACUUUUUCAGCCCACUCGGUUAGCACUGUUGAACGUUUCCCUAUAAAGAAGAUAUAUAUAAUUAACUAAUUAUUCGACCUAAUUAAAGACAAAAUAAAAUUCAUACCUCCUUCGAUGCGACGCUUGUAACACCAUUCCUGUGAAAGACGUCGGAAGAACUCAAGAAGGGGUAUUAUAGGCAUCUUCCUUGCAUCUACAGAUAAAGCAUUCAUGAACUCUGCACUGUUCGAGGUCAUGUAAUCGUAACGUUUCGAUGGCGAAUAUGCUCUAGUCCAUUUAACACAGGGAAUUUCACUUAGAUACGCUGCUACUUGCGGCCUAGUAGAACUAAAUAUAUACCACAAUUCUUCAAAAACAUUUCUUUUGUAAGCUUUCACAAGCCUCCAAAACAACCCUUUUGUUUUAUCAUUUUUCCCAAACUUGUGUACUAUGUUUCCUAGUGUGACAUCCCCAAAAUCUUGGCCAGAAAAGACCGAUUUCAUUGAUGCUUUUUAAAAUAAUUUCAGAGUAAAUCCUUUUGAUUUUAAAAGAGAUGCGGAAUUUGUUCCCAAAAACAAAACAUGAUAAAAUAGAUCUUUUAUCAAAACAUUUCAUAAAGAAAUAUAAUUUCAUUUCAUAAUCAAAACCGGGAUGUCAUGUUCCGAUACAGACCAUAAAGCAUAAACGAUAACAUUACAAGUCAUUCAACAAAUAUUAUACAUAUGCAGACUUGUAAACAAAACAACUUGAUGAUUCAUCCAUCUUAUGCCCUUACGCCACUUCCUGUAAUACAAGUAAACUGAGUGGGUCAGGCUUGGGAGCCUGGUGAGCAUAUAGGGUUUUCAACCCACAAUAAAUAAUUAUAUUUAAUUCAACAAUCAACAAUAACCCGAUUACCCAUUCCCGUUUUCCUUACUUUACGUCCCUAAAACAACAUCUAUUAUAAGGGACCUAAUCUAGGAGUUUCAUCGGGACAAACAUUACUGCAAAGGGGCUUCCUUAGCAAUAAAUAUCCUAAAGGCAACCAUGAGGGGGAUAUAGUUCACCGGUGAACACGUCGUUCACAAGACCUACAGGUUAUGAGCCUACUAGUGUUCCACAGGACUGUCUAGAAUAGUCCGUGGUCGUCAUCCAUACUCUGCUGAAUGACUAGAAUAACACCAACAACAUCGAGGCCUCUCAUCUGUUUAUUACACACCAACUAUCUACCCAUGUUCUACCCAACAUAUUAGUAGAUAAAAAUAUACAUUUGUAUACAUAGUUUAAAACCUGUAUAGCAUGCUCAAUCAAUACAUUUUUCCACAUAACAGAUGAGGUACACACACAUAACACGUAUUUCAUAGAGAAUAAAUCAGAUCUAUGAGAUAGAAGAAAGUGAAUAUACAUCCACACAUAUAGUCAACAAAGUAUACACGUAACACGUAUUUCGUAUAAAAUACUUCAUAAUAAUGUGUUAGAAGAAAAUGACUACACACUCACUUGAUCAGAAGAUGAUCGGGCAACACUACGACUUGUAGAAGUAGUGUUUCUCCGUAGAUCUGGAAGAUCUUCACAUAAACCGGGCUCCUCGCGGGCAGGUCUUCGGCUCUGAAAUCUCACUUCUCGGGAUUCUCGGGACUUCGGAUCUUGCUUCGGGGCUCGCGAAUAAUAUUGGGGCUUCGGGGUAUGAUUGGCAAGCAAAUCGAGGCAAAAACUAGAGAGAAGAAAGAGUUUGAACUAGAGAAAAUGGUUGAUCUCGCAUUCUAUUUAUAGGCUGCUGGGUCUAGGAUUAUGCCGGGCGUAAUUUCCAGGUACGCUGGGCGUACUAAGUACACUGGGCGUAAUUAGGUUACGUUGGGCGUACUUUGACGUCACUGCAUGCGUCAAUUGGUGGCACUCGAGUAUUGGUCAGACAAGUUGCACCCCUCUGAGUACGCUGGGCGUACUCAAAUUACGCUGGGCGUAAUUUGACUCGUCAAACUUCUAAAUUGCGUAACUUUGGCAUACGAGCUCCGUUUUCGACGUUCUUUAUAUCAACGCGUAGGUUAGACCAUACUCUACAACUUUCAUUUAGACUCAAUUUUUACUUUUAUUUUUAUUAUUUAUUUUUAGUAGGCCGGGACAGGAAAACUUCGUUAUAAAUUCAUAACUUCUUCGUUCGACGUCCGUUCUCGCCUAACUUUUCAUCGUUUCACUACUAACAACGAGAUAUUCGAUUCUCGUUUAGAUUGUUCUGGCUAAAAACCGCUCGAUCUCAAAUCGAGUAUUCGGGCUGCAUACUGCCAAGUCGAAACUUCAGANGAAAAUCAUAUUCCUCAUACGAAGUCAGAUUUGGGCGUUCUAUAUAUAUUUAGAAACCUAGUUUCAACUACUACAACAUUAUCCAAAGAUAUCGAGUUUAUUUUACACUUCAUUUUGACGCUAAUUUUUAUUCUUAAUUCAAUUAAAUUAUAAUAAUUAAGAAAACACACACAUAAUUCACAUAAUUCACAAAUAAUACAUUUUUAUUAUUUCAGAUUGGGUUACAAAGGUUAACCUAGACUAUUACAUUGCUAAAAAUGGCAAGCCCAUAAUCACGGGCGUUACAAUUUUCUCCACCUUAGAAUGAUUCCGUCCCUGGAAUCACACAUCAACAAAUAAAUGCGGAUAGCGACCCAUCAUGUCACUCUCCGUCUCCCAGGUGAGAUACGACCCAUUCGUGUGUUUCCAACGGACAAGCACUAACUCAACCAUCUUACGUCGCAAUUUCUUAGUCUUCCGGUCAACGAUUGCUUCUGGUUCUUCAAUCAAUCUUUUGUUUUCAUCAAUUAUUAACUCUGAAAGUGGAAUCAUGUCGGGAACUUCUCCCGUGAACUUCCUCAAGUAACACAUAUGAAAAGUGUUAUGAAUUCCAUUCAGUUCUUCGAGUAGUUCGAGCUUGUAAGCUUGGUUCCUAAUUCUCUGAAGAACUUUAAACGGUCCAAUAAACCUUGGACUUAACUUUCCCCUUUUACCACAUCUUAUAAGUCCCUUCCACGGCGAGACUUUAAGCAAAACCGAAUCUCCAACUUCAAAAGUCAUCGGUCUUCGCUUUUUGUCAGCAUAGCUCUUUUGACGGUCGUGAGCUGCUAACAUUCUUUCCCUAAUUAUUUUCAACUUUUCAGCCGUUUGAUGGACUAUCUCUGGUCCCAUAAACUGCUUUUCCCCAGCCUCAAGCCAACAAGACUGCGUACGACACUUCUGUCCGUACAAAGCUUGAUAAGGUGCCAUCUUAAUGCUCGAGUGGAAACUAUUAUUAUAGGAAAAUUCUACCAAUGGUAAAUGUUCAUCCCAAUUACCUAGGAAUUCCAAGGUACAUGCUCUCAGCAUAUCUUCAAGUGUUUGUAUCGUUCUUUCACUCUGACCAUCAGUCUGCGGAUGGUAAGCUGUGCUUAAACACAACUUGGUACCCAAUUCCUCUUGUAGACUUUUCCAAAACCGUGAGGUGAAACGACUAUCACGAUCCGACACAAUUGUUAACGGAACACCGUGAAGCCUCACAAUUUCCUUCACGUAAGAAUUCGCAAGCUUUUCCAUAGACCAUUUCUCAUUGGCUGCUAUGAAAUGCGCACUCUUAGUGAAUCGAUCAACGACCACCCAAAUCAUGUCGUGACCAUUCUUUGUUCUGGGCAGUUUAGUGACAAAAUCCAUAGCAAUGUCUUCCCACUUACCCAUAGGCACAGGCAAUGGUUCUAAACUCCCGUACGGUUUCUGAUGUUGUGUCUUGACUCUCGCACAAGUCACACACUCGGCCACAUACUUUGCAACAUCAAGCUUCAUCGUCGGCCACCAGUAGUAGGGUUUCAGGUCCCUAUACAUUUUAGUGCUACCCGGAUGAAUCGAGUACAUGGUCUUGUGAGCUUCUUCCAUCAGAAGAUCUCUGACUCCUCCUGUCUUAGGUAUCCAAAUCCGAUCUUGGAACACCUUCAGUCCAUGACUGUUUACACCGAACACCAACGUUUUGCCCAAACGUUCCUCCUUUCUGUCAUUCUUCUCAGAAGCUUCGCUCUGAGCUUUCUUUAUACUUUCCAAAAUAGUUGAGACAACUUCAAUUCUCAACGCUCUUGGCCUUUUCCUUUCGGGAUUGACUUUCCGACUGAGAGCAUCAGCAACAACAUUAGCUUUACCGGGGUGGUAAAGUAUCUCGCAGUCAUAGUCUUUAAGUAAUUCUAGCCAGCGUCGUUGCCUCAUAUUCAAUUCUUUCUGAUUAAAGAGGUAUUGGAGACUCUUAUGAUCAGUGAAAAGUUUGCACUUCGUGCCAUAGAGGUAAUGCCUCCAUAUUUUCAGAGCGAAAACUACCGCUGCCAACUCCAAAUCAUGAGUCGGGUAAUUCUUUUCAUGCUCUUUCAGCUGUCGAGACGCAUAUGCUAUCACCUUUUCUCUUUGGGUCAAAACACAACCCAAUCCAACACCAGACGCAUCGCUAUAAACAGCGAAGUCUUCAACUCCAUCGGGUAGAGAAAGUAUCGGUGCCUCGCAUAGCUUCUUCUUUAACUUCUCGAAUGCUUCUUUAUGCUUCUCACUCCAAGCAUAAGUAGCUCCUUUGUGGGUCAAAGCUGUCAAUGGAGUAGCAAUCGAAGAAAAGCCUUGGAUAAACCUUCAAUAAUAUCCGGCUAAUCCCAAAAAGCUUCGAAUCUCCGUGGGACUUUUCGGUUGUUCCCACUUCAUCACAGCUUCGAUCUUCGCUGGAUCAACCAUUAUCCCUUCUUGGUUGACCACGUGACCCAAGAAUUGUACUUCUCGAAUCCAAAAAUCACAUCUGGAGAACUUUGCAUACAACUUAUCCUUCUUUAAAACUUCUAACACUUCUCGCAAGUGUCUGCCAUGCUCCUCCUGGCUUUUCGAGUAAAUCAGAAUGUCGUCUAUGAACACUAUNGAACGGAUUACAAACCCUGUUCAUUAAAUCCAUGAAUGCUGCUGGAGCAUUGGUUAGUCCAAACGACAUAACCAAAAACUCGUAGUGCCCAUAUCAUGUUCUGAAUGCAGUCUUCUCUAUAUCCUGCUCUCUUACUUUUAGCUGAUGAUAUCCUGACCUCAGGUCGAUUUUUGAAAAAUAACUUGAACCUUGUAGUUGAUCGAACAGGUCAUCAAUCCUCGGCAACGAAUAUCUAUUCUUUAUUGUUGCCUUGUUCAGUUCUCUGUAAUCGAUGCACAUCCUCAUACUUCCAUAUUUCUUUUGACGAAUAACAUCGGAGCUCCCCAGGCCGAUGAACUAGGUCUUAUGAAACCUUUGUCCAAUAACUCCUGAAGUUGCAUCAUCCGCUCCUUCAUCUCCAUCGGUGCUAGUCGGUAAGGUGCUUUUGCUAUAGGCGUCGUUCCCGGCAACAAGUCGAUACGAAAUUCUACUUGUCGAUCAGAAGGUAAUCCAGGAAGAUCUUCGGGAAAUACUUCCGGAUAAUCACAUACGACAGGAAUAUUCUGCAUCACCUUUUUUUCCUUCUUAGCAUCGAUCACGAAUGCUAAAUAUGAUGUACACCCCUUGGUCAAACAUUUUCUGGCUUUCAUUAGAGAAAUGAUUCCAGAAUUUACUCUGCGUUUAUCUCCAUACACCAUAAACGAUUCCUUCCCAGGCGGGUUCACUUUCACUAUUUUCUUCUUGCAUAAAAUUUCGGCAUCAUUGGCGCUAAGCCAAUCCAUUCCCAAAAUGAUGUCGAAACUGUUAAGUUCGAUAUAAAGGAGUAGUUUUCUACCAAAUUCAUGCGAUAUAAAGGAGUAGUUGGCUCCAGAAUCAAAUAAAAUUUGGGCAGACGAUUUGUUUACGAGAAAGGUACCUGAACGACAUCAGCUUCAUCUUUAGCAGCUUCCAGUGUCAUCUGGAAUGCUCUCGCCUUCGGCUUUGGCGAAAUGUUGGGUUUUGUUGCCUCCUUCUUCUUCGGACAAUCUCUUGAUAUGUGCCCUUCCUCACCACAACCAUAACAAACAUUCUUGGUGAGGGUGCAGUCGUUGGCAUAAUGCCCUGGCUUUCCACAUUUCAAGCAUGUGGCUUCCCCGCCGCACUUCCCAUGAUGCUUCUUCUUGCAUUUGUCGCACCAUUUCGCUUCGCCUCCUCCACCCCCUCUCGAACUAGACUUCGAGAAUUUACCCUUUUUGCUGGACCCUGAAGAUCCCUCGAACUUCCUCUUUUCACCAACCUCUGACCUUUCCAGACCUUUUUCCCUGAUCUGGGUCUCAACAUUUCUAGCAGCCCAGAUGGCGGCUUUCAAUGUGGUUGCUUGCUUAACCAUUAGACCAUAGUCCGCUGGUAGUCCAAGGGCAAACUUGUUGACCUUAGAGAGUUCUGUAGGCACCAAAUAUGGGAUAAACUUCAUCUUUUCUGUGAAACUUGCAGCGUAUUCAGUAACGCUCAAUUUCCCUUUCUUCAAAUUCUGAAACUCAUUACUGAUUUCCAGAAGGUCCUGCUCGGAGCAGUAUUGCAGUUUUAGUUGUUCCACAAAGUCUUCCCAAGACAUUUUGCUUGCUUCUCCCUUGGGCAUAGAGUCAGCUAACAGCUUCCACCAACUCAACACGCCAGAUUUUAGCAGAGGGAUCGCAAGAGCGGUCUUCUGCCUGUUGCUGCAUUCGCAACUUUCAAACAUAGUCUCCAUUUCGGAGAUCCAGUCCAUAACUUGCACCGGCGUCGGGCUUCCGGAUAGACAUGGUGGUUUGGAUGCCAUGAAAUCCUUAUACUUGCACCCACGACCAUCAUUUCCUCCAUACUGGUUAUUGCGUCUAACCACUGGUUGUUCGUCUUGACCAAUGAUCCCACUAAAGUUUUCUCCUUCAGACUGCCCUCCAUUCUCCUCGGGCUCUUCCGCUUGAAUUGACGGUUCUUCACGAUUCUGCCUAAGCAGGCGUCUUGUUUCUUCCAUCUGACGAUCCAACAUCAUUUGAAUCAUCAUUUGUACACCAGCCAUUGUUAUCGGCUCAGGUGCAUCAGCUACGACAGGUACUUGUUGAAUUACAGGCGGUUGAUUCCUGUUUUCAUCAGCAUUUCCAACUCCGCUUCUUGUUCUCACCAUUUUUGAUCUACACACCGAAUAAUUUCACCUUAUUACUCCAAACGAUUACAUGCUAGUUCUAAUAUCGUAUACAUACGCUUAGAAUCCUAAACACAUAAACCUUCAGAUCCGGUUGGCAACAAACCGUAGAUCCGAACAAAUAAUAUCAUAUAUGGCAACAUAUAACAUUUAGCACAUAAAAGCAUUUUAGGCAACUUUCCUAAAAUAAACUAGUGCUCGUGUCUAAAAUUUAUCAGACACACAUCUCACAAUCUCCACUUAGCAUACUAAGUUUAAGUCUAGAAAUCCUACAAAUUCCUAGUUCGCUUAAACUAAUGCUCUGAUACCAACUGUGACAUCCCCAAAAUCUCGGCCAGAAAAGACCGAUUUCAUUUAUGCUUUUUAAAACAAUUUCAGAGUAAAUCCUUUUGAUUUUAAAAGAGAUGCGGAAUUUGUUCCCAAAAACAAAACAUGAUAAAAUAGAUCUUUUAUCAAAACAUUUCAUAAAGAAAUAUAAUUUCAUUUCAUAAUCAAAAAUCGGGAUGUCAUGUUCCGAUACAGACCAUAAAGCAUAAACGAUAACAUUACAAGUCAUUCAACAAAUAUAUACAUAUACAGACUUGUAAACAAAACAACUUGAUGAUUCAUCCAUCUUAUGCCCUUGCGCCACUUCCUGUAAUACAAAUAAACUGAGUGGGUCAGGCUUGGGAGCCUGGUGAGCAUAUAGGGUUUUCAACCCACAAUAAAUAAUUAUAUUUAAUUCAACAAUCAACAAUAACCCGAUUACCCAUUCCCGUUUUCCUCACUUUACGUCCCUAAAACAACAUCUAUUAUAAGGGACCUAAUCUAGGAUUUUCAUCAGGACGGACAUUACUGCAAAGGGGCUUCCUUAGCAAUAAAUAUCCUAAAGGCAACCAUGAGGGGGAUAGAGUACACCGGUGAACACGUCGUUCACAACACCUACAGGUUAUGAGCCUGCUAGUGUUCCAUAGGACUGUCUAAAAUAGUCCGUGGUCGUCAUCCAUACUCUGUUGAAUGACUAGAAUAACACCAACAUCAAGGCCUCUCAUCUGUUUAUUACACACCAAUUAUCUACCCAUGUUCUACCCAACAUAUUAGUAGAUAAAAAUAUACAUUUUUAUACAAAGUUUAAAACCUGUAUAGCAUGCUCGAUCAAUACAUUUUUCCACAUAACAGAUGAGGUACACACACAUAACACGUAUUUCAUAGAGAAUAAAUCAGAUCUAUGAGAUAGAAGAAAGUGAAUAUACAUCCACACAUAUAGUCAACAAAGUAUACACGUAACACGUAUUUCGUAUAAAAUACUUCAUAAUAAUGUGUUAGAAGAAAAUGACUACACACUCACUUGAUCAGAAGAUGAUCGGGCAACACUACGACUUGUAGAAGUAGUGUUUCUCCGUAGAUCUGGAAGAUCUUCACAUAAACCGGGCUCCUCGCGGGCAGGUCUUCGGCUCUGAAAUCUCACUUCUCGGGAUUCUCGGGACUUCGGAUCUUGCUUCGGGGCUCGGGAAUAAUACCGGGACUUCGGGGUAUGAUUGGCACGCAAAUCGAGGCAAAAACUAGAGAGAAGAAAGAGUUUGAACAAGAGAAAAUGGUUGAUCUCGCAUUCUAUUUAUUGGCUGUUGGGUCUGGGAUUACGUUGGGCGUAAUUUCCAGGUACGCUGGGCGUACUCAAUACACUGGGCGUAAUUAGGUUACGUUGGGCGUACUUUGACGUCACUGCGUGCGUCAAUUGGUGGCACUCGAGUAUUGGUCAGACAAGUUGCACCCCUCUGAGUAUGCUGGACGUAAUUUGACUCAUCAAACUUCUAAAUUGCGUAACUUUCGCAUACGAGCUCUGUUUUCGACGUUCUUUAUAUCCACGCGUAGGUCAGACCAUACUCUACAACUUUCAUUUAGACUCCAUCGGCUAAUUUUGACUUUUAUUUUUAUUAUUUAUUUUUAGUAGGCCGGGACAGGAAAACUUCGUUAUAAAUUCAUAACUUCUUUGUCCGACGUCCGUUCUCGCCUAACUUUUUAUCGUUUCGCUACUAACAACGAGAUCUUCAAUUCUCAUUUAGAUUGUUUCGGCUAAAAACCGCUCGAUCUCAAAUCGAGUAUUUGGGCUGCAUACUGCCAAGUCGAAACUUCAGAAAAUCAUAACUUCCUCAUACGAAGUCAAAUUUGGGCGUUCUAUAUAUAUUCUGAAACCUCGUUUCAACUACUACAACAUUAUCCAAAGAUAUCGAGUUUAUUUUACACUUCAUUUUGAUGCUUAUUUUUAUUCUUAAUUCAAUUAAAUUAUAAUUAAGAAAACACACACAUAAUUCACAUAAUUCACAAAUAAUACAUUUUUAUUAUUUCAGAUUGCAUUACAAAGGUUAACCUAGACUAUUACAUUGCUAAAAAUGGCAAGCCCAGAAACACAGACGUUACACCUAGUAUAUGAAAAGCACACAAGCCAUGAUGAGCAUGUGGAAAAACAUUUUCAAUACUAACGCGAAUUGUAUCGGCCCUAUCAGUUACAAAAGUCAAUUCUUGACAAUCACUAACACAUUCAUACAACUUUUCAAGAAACCAUGUCCACGUAAGACCACUUUUUUUUUUCAUAUUCCGUGCGUAAGGGGCAGUAUCUGGUUGUUCCCAUCCAUAGCUACUCCAUGCAAUAUGGUUCCCUUAAAAGCACCCUUCAAAUGGGCACCAUCCAUAAUUAUAACUUUACGACAAAAACUUUUGAACGCUCGUAUCUGCAAUAUAUAAAAAUGGAACACAUAAACACUCUAUAAUUUGUUUACAAAAAUUAUAUAUUAAAUAACAACAAGUUUUUUGUAUUUACCGUGCUCCCAAUGGCAUAAAAACAACACUCGAAACAAUCUUCAGAAUCUGUUUGAAUAUACGCAACUGUACCGGGAUUAUGCCUCUUCAAAUUGUGAAAAUAAAUAGGAAGUUUGGCAAAACAUUCUUCAGAGGAUCCCAACAACAGUUUCAUAGCAUAUUGUUUUGCACGCCAAGCUUGUUUGUAAUCUACGUUGAUUUCCAGCAAAGCAUUCAAAUCCCUUGAUAUUUCAUUAGGCCUCCAAACCUUGGAACGAGUUUUUCCCAUAAUCUCAUGCAAUAUAGUACCCAUGACUUUUUUAUUAGCAUGCUUAUGAUUAGGGUGUAUCUGUAAUGACGAACAUGUGUACACGUUGUUGAAAGUCCUGAUUUCAAAUUCAUCAGUGAGAUCAAGGCGUUUUGCAUACAAACGCCAACUACAGUUCUCAAUUUCACAAUAUACCUCAUAACGAUUUUUGUUAGAAUGUUUGGUCUUAAACUGAAACUUUUCUCUUGUUGCUUUAAGAAUCAAUGCAAAAAUUAGUUGUUGUUUGUUGUCAUAUGUUUGACGAACAAACAUAUCAUCAUUUGGACCUAAACUGUGAAAUGGUCCGGGUUCAACAAUAGGAUCAGGACAAUCAGGUAUGGGAGACAUACCGUAAAAAAUGUCUGAAGCUUUUUUCCCGUAUGUGAACUCAUCUUCUGACCAUCCUUCAUUUGACUCUUCACUGUCUGAGAAAGUUUUGUUAGUCAAUCUUCUAAACCCAUAUAAAUUUUUUUCUUCAACCGUAUUCAGUGCCACCGUUUCUUCUUCUGGACAAUCUUCAACAUUAUCAGAUACAAUGUUAUCAACAUUGUAUGGUACAACUUUCUCAGCUGCUUCUGUCUGUUCGACCAAUCCCUGAAACACCUCUAAAUACAAAUGCACAAUCUCCUUCGUUUCAGAAAUUACAUUUCUGAGUUGAUUAACAUCUGCUUCAUCUAAAAUAUUCAUCACAUACCCAUGAACCGGGUGUUGAAAUGACAAUGAUAUAUUACUAUUGAACACCUUAGCCUUACUUUUGACCAAAUCAAACAAUAUUCGAAAAUCAAAAUUAGGCGGAGGCAGUAAACCCAAGUUGUUUAACUUUGGUCUAACGUAGGUGUUAAUCGCAUUACUUAUCUGCAAAAAACCUCCAGUACAUAAAAUAACAAAACUCAUAUUUGGUUUUGAAAAUCAAAUGAAAACGAACUGAUCUAUCGACCAAAAUAAAACAAACAUAUGAAAAAGAAACUUUUGUAUCAAAAAACUCUUCAAAAUCCGCUCCAACCACCCAUUCCACGGAGGCAUUACUCUCUCCGCAGAGACCCAUUCCGCGGAGCAUGAUUAAAAAGGCUAACAACCUAUUGUUCGACCACUUCGCAGAGAUGACUUCAUUCCGCGGAGGUCCGCGGAGGGUCCUCCGCGGAAUGCAUGUCUAUAGCUGGAAUUUUUUUUUUGUGUCUAAAUUUUUAAAUUUCCCCCUUUUUUCGUCUAUAGCCUAUAUUUUCUCUAAAUGAUUUACAUAUUGAAAGUUCAGAAACAAGUUAAAACUUAAACCCUAAAAGAGCGUACAAAUUUCAAUCGUCAACAUACCCCACCACAAAGGCACAAAUAAUCAAAGAAACAAAUGUAGAUGUAGAGGCCUUUUUCACCACAAUCACCCUUCAUCGGCCAUUUCGAAGGCCACGUGAAAUGUCACUAACGUGGCCCUAUAAAUAUCCACUACUUUGUCUUUAACCUUUCCCCCCUCUCAUAUAAAACCCUCCAUCCUCCUCCUUUACCACCAUCACCAACUACCUUCUCUCCUCCAUCAAAAGUAUCCCCAUCUUUUCCGACAUGGCUGCUUCUUCAAUCUUCAUGGCAACUCCCAUCACACUCCUCAAGAAAACUCCCACCUUCUCCGUCAAAUGUAUGUCACAAACACCUCAAAGCGGUGAACCGGGGGUUUCAAAACCAGCAACCACCCCAACACCACCACAGAUCAACAUUCCUCCUCCUCCGCCACCUGCUCCAAAGGUCAGCACGAAGUUCUCUGACGUGUUGGCGUUUAGUGGACCUGCACCGGAGAGGAUCAACGGAAGGUUAGCCAUGAUAGGGUUUGUGUCGGCGAUGGCUGUGGAACUGAGCAGCGGUCAAGACGUGUUCACCCAGAUCGGCAACGGCGGUGUUGCGGUGUUUGUCGGGACAAGUGUGGUGUUGACGUUGGCGUCGUUGGUGCCGUUGUUUAAAGGAGUGAGCGUGCAGUCGAAGUCGAGUGGACUGAUGACAUCAGAUGCAGAGCUUUGGAAUGGGCGGGUUGCGAUGUUGGGUCUGGUGGCUUUGGCUUUUACUGAAUAUGUUAAAGGCAGUGCCCUUGUCUAGAUAAUGUAUCAUAAACUUUUCUAUUACAGAAUUACAUCUAAGAUAG